This 88965-nucleotide long non-coding RNA is filed under the name Durio zibethinus. RNAcentral describes it as "long non-coding RNA (DZIB_LNC001962)". Lineage: Eukaryota; Viridiplantae; Streptophyta; Magnoliopsida; Malvales; Malvaceae. The record is from RNAcentral.
UCAUCGCCUUUGGUUGAUUUCAUUCAAAGAGGUAAUAAGAGACCAAGUUUUGUUCCAGUUACUGAUUUGGGAACAUCUGCACUGGUUGUUCUUGUCAUUGAUGAAUGUCUAGAUGAGCCACACCUUCAGCAUUUACAGAGCUCCCUGCAUGCAUUUGUUGAUUCUGUGCCACCAACAACAAGAAUUGGAAUCAUUUUGUAUGGUCGGACGGUAUCAGUCUAUGACUUUUCAGAGAAAUCAAUAGCAUCUGCUGAUGUGAUUCCAGGUGGCACUUCACCAACUCAGGAGACCUUGAAAGCAUUGAUUUAUGGAACUGGUUUAUAUUUGUCACUGAUCCAUGCUUCAAAAGAGGUGGCACACCUGAUAUUCUCUUCAUUGAGGCCAUACAAGUUGAAUGUUCCAGAAGCAUCAAGAGAUAGGUGCUUGGGUACUGCAGUUGAGGUUGCUCUGACUAUUAUUCAAGGGCCAUCUGCAGACAUGUCUCCAGGUAUAGUUAAAAGGCCAGGUGGUAAUAGCAGAAUCAUUGUGUGUGCUGGUGGACCGAAUACUUAUGGCCCUUGAUCCGUCCUUCAUUGUUAUACUCUUCCUAAUUAUCCUCAUAAGGAAAAGACAGCAAUGAAAUGGAUGGAGCAUCUUGGUUGAGAGGCUCAUCAACAUAACACAGUGGUGGACAUUCUCUGUGCUGGAACUUGCCCUGUACGGGUUCCUGUGCUGCAGCCUCUUACAAAAGCUUCAAGGGGUGUUUUGUUCUUCAUGAUGACUUUGGUGAAGCGUUUGGUGUACACUUGCAGAAGGCAUCUGCAAGGGCAGCUGGUUCGCAUGGUUUGUUGGAGAUACGCUGUUCUGAUGAUAUUCUUGUUACUCAGGUCGUGGGUCCUGGUGAAGAGGCACAUAUUGACACCCAUGAAACCUUUUAAAAUUAUAUUUCUCUUUAUAUUCAAAUGCUGAGUGUUGAAGAAACACAAUGCUUCUCGAUAUUGAUGGAGCAUAAACAUGACAUCAAGAGUGAUUUCGUAAUUUUCCAGUUUGCCAUUCAAUACUUAAAUGUUUAUCAAGCUGAUAUAGCUAGAGUGAUUACUAUCAGAUUGCCAACUGUGGAUAGUGUUUCAGCCUAUCUUCAAAGUGUUCAAGAUGAGGUGGCUGCAGUCCUAGUUGCCAAGAGGACUCUUUUGCGAGCAAAUAGUUAUAAUGAAGCAAUUGAUAUGCAAACAACAUUAGAUGAAGGAGUUAAAGACAUUGGUUUAAAGUUUGGGUCCCAAAUGCCAAAGUCAAAGCAAUAUCGGUUCCCAAAGGAAAUCUCUUUACUACCAGAGCUUCUAUUCCAUCUUAGGAGGCGCCCACUGUUGGGAAGUAUAGUUGGUCACGAGGAUGGGAAGUCUGUACUUUGGAAUUUGUUUUUGAAUGCAUCCUUUGAUCUUUCACUUCGCAUGGUGGCCCCUUGCUGUCUGAUGCACCGGGAAGGAGGCACUUUUGAAGAAUUGCCUGCUUAUGAUCUUGCCAUGCAGUCUGAUACUGCUGUUGUUCUAGACCAUGGUAGAGAUGUCUUCAUUUGGUUGUUAUGUCAAUCAAUCCAUCUUAUAGCUUUGGCAUGUUAUAUAUCUGUUAUAUUUGCUUUCUGGCUAUUUUUGCUUUUAUGUUAUUCACCUUUGAACCAUAAAGUCUGGCAUGCAUGUGUCUGCUAUAUGUGGUCCAUUUUUUGCUUUGUGAUUGAGUAGGAGAUCCUUGAAUGCAUGUAGUUUGAAGGCAAGUUGCAAACAAAGACCUUAGCGCAUUUGUUCCUAUGCUCUUUAUGAACACCAUCAAGCUCGGUUAUUAUUAAGAUUGUAUUUCUCUCUGUUAAUAUCAGGCCACGGUAGAAAAGAGAUGCUAGCUUGAUGUAUGGGGAACUGGAAGUAAAGGUUUGGAAUUGAGAAGCUAUUCGUGCCUUUCUAAAUGUGGUCACAGCUAGCUCAUCCAUCUAACAUUUUUAUAUCAUGGUCACUUUGUAAAUGCAUUUUGUAUAGCAUACCCUUAUAUAUAUGUACACACCAUGUGACAACCUUGCCUUGGACGCAUUCUUUUUCUUUUUCACUUUUAUUCCACCUGUAUGUGUAUGCCUGGUAUGUUUAUGUUAUGAGAGAAAUACUGGUGGAUUACGUUUUUUAGAAUCGACUUUAGAAUCUAUGUUUAUUUAUUUAUUUAGUUUUCAGUGAAUAAUAUUGAACAUCUUCCUGUCAACUGCUGGCUUCAGGGUGCUGAACUUGCAGCUGAUGAAGGACGAAAUGCAGCAGCUUUGACAGCUUGUAGAACAUUGGCAGAAGAGCUCACAGAGUUACAAUUUCCAGCACCUCGGAUCCUUGCUUUCAAGGUUCUUCUUCCCUUAUUUAGUCCGAAUAUUCUAUAAACUGUGCAUUGUUCCAUCAAACAGAAAAAGAACCUAAUGAUCUGGUUUUAUUGCAGGAGGGGAGCUCUGAGUCUCGAUAUUUUAUUUCUCGGCUGAUACCAGCACACAAGGAUCCUCCUUACAAACAGGUAAGAGAAAAAAAAUAAUGGGCAAACCUCUUUGCUUUUAGUCCUAACAGGUCUAUCUGUUUCUGUAUGUAUUUAUUGAAAAAUGAAGGAAUGCAUAUAGUUAGAAAACAGUGAAGUAACUAUUGCUUGAUGCUUAUGCAGGAGGCAAAUUUCCACAGCUCCAAACACUUGACAACAGAACAGUGGACAAAACUGAAAAGCAGUUUUGUUCAUUUUGAUGAUCCCAGCUUCUGUGAAUGGAUUCGGAAUUUGAAAGUAGUGCCACCAGAAAAAAGAUAAGAUAUAUUUUCCUUUUUUUUGCAGUUAAAAUUCCUCCAAAAAUCAUUUAUUGGAAUCUUUCUGCUCUUCUUUUUUCUUCUCCCUAUGAAAGGAAUGUAACUCAUUCAUUUUUUCUUUUCAUUAUUAUUUUUUUUCUUUUCCAGCUCUCCUUUACAAAAUUUCCCUUUUUUUUUUUAUAUAUAUAUAAAAGAAGUUGCAGGCGCUGGGAUUUGAACAUAGACCUGCUGGGUGUGAUUGAAGGUAGUUCCAUGAAUCAACUAAGCUAAGUUCCAAUUUUCUCACUCUUUUAAAAUUGAAAGAAACAGUUAUACUUCAUAGUACUCCAAAGUUCAACUGUAUUGUCUCAUUGUUAGUUGAAAAUUCUUUUGCUAGAGAAAUAGUUUUACUUUACCUUGUAUCAUUCUUAUAUAAAUUAUGCCAUUUUUUGUAAAUCUCUUCCGAUGGUAUCCUUGAAGUUACUGCAGCAUGGUUGGUUCCGGAGAAAGUCUAAUUCAAGGAAAUCAGACUCUUAAUAGUUUUUUUCUUUGGUUUUGUAUACAAUUGAGCUAGCUGAUAACAAAUAUUCUAUUUGGAGCAAUCAGGUUUUGUGAUUUCACAAUUUGGUUUGAUUGAGAACAACUGAUGAAAUGAUUGACUGGUAAGUAAACUUUUGUGUUGGUGGCCUAGUUUAUAAGCCAAUAAAGCAUUGGUGAGCAAUAAUUUUGCUUAAAAAAUGGUGAAAUAUAAAUGUUAAACGGAGACUUUGAUGAAUUGUAUAUUCGUAUAAAUGAUUUCACAAUAAAUCCAUGUUUUAUAAACUAUUAUAAUCCAAAUCACGAUUUUGCAACACAAUUCAACUAGAAAAGGAGAAUAAAAAAAAAAAUAACUUUUUUUGUAAAUUGUGUACUGUAUUUCCUUUAGUACAAUUAACAUUCUAACGUCAACUGUUAACCCACCAGUCCAAAAGAAAAAUAAAAAUAUCAAUAUAUUUGUAAUUGGUUGGUUCGGUCUUUUAAGAUGAUCUUUUAAAAAAUAUAAUAAAUUGAUUGAUUUAUUUUUAAAAAAAAAAUAACUGAAUUGACAAAAGGUGUGUCGAAAAAUCAAAAUUUUGAAUAAAUUUUUGUCAUUAAUUUUGAAUAAUUUGUAAUAAUUUUAUAAAUAAAAUUUACUCAUAAUUUUAUCAUCAAUAUUAUAUUUGUUAUUUUUAUAAAUAUAAUAUUAUUUUAUAUAUAUUUUAAUUAUAUUAAAUAUAAUUUAAAAUUAUCUUAAUAAAAAUCAAUUAAUUAAUUGAUUUAAUUAUUAAUUUAAAAUAAUAACGUCAAACUAAUUUGAUUAAUCAAAUCAAUCAGAAAUCGAUUUAUACUCACUUUUAUUUAUUGGUAUAGUAGAAUCAAAAUUAGAACAUUUGGUCUCUUUGGAUUGAGUCAGUAUAUUGAAUUAGAUGUGAUAAUUUAAAAUAUAAUAUGAUUAUAUAAUAUAAAUAUGAUUCAAAUAAAAAAUUAAAAUUAAUACAAUUUAAAAUUUUAAUAAUAAUUAUAUAUAAAUUUAAUAAAAUUUUAAAAAUAUUUUAUAUUUUUAUAUUUACACGUAAAUUAUUAUCCAUAAUUUUUAUAUAAAAUAUGAUAUAAAUUUAUAAAUUUUAAUGUAUAUAUAUAUAUAAACACGCACGAAUCGUCGUGUCUACAGUAAAGGACAAAGUUCAUGUCUACAUUAAACCAGAAAUUCACUAGUUAGUGAGUUGGUCCGGGCCUGAGUAGUAACGAGUACUGUUUUCCCACUAAACGGGUCAUCCAUUUCCCAAAAAAUAAACAAAAAAGCAAAUUUCAUUGCUUACCAAAAUCCAGUGUUUUAACAUUCUCCGCCCCGCCUAUCUUCUGUUAUUUCUUUACUUCCCCUCACUGUGUCAAAAGAAUCUAACGCAACCAAAGAAUCUACCACUAUUCAUUUCUCUGUAAGACUUCAUAUCUUCCCACAUGCUUUCGUUUUUAUUUACUUUCGCAGUUUUUCAUUUAUAUUUUCGUAAGUUUUAUAUGAUAUUUUUGUUCUAAUUCUAGACUCUGACAACAUUAAGCAUUUCUAGUUUUCUUGGGUGUUUUAUGGUUACCCAUCUGAACCUUGAUCUGAAUGCACGUGUCCUACACGUGUUUCUGUUUUUUAAUAAAGUAAAAGGGUCGUCGGACAGUCCAGAAAAAUCACUUUUAGUUUUGUCUUUGAUCUCAAAGUUGGUAAAGGCGGUAAAUGUAGACCUGGCAAUUCGUGUAUCAUUGUCAUAUAUGUUUCAUUUCGUGUCAAACAUAUGUAAAAUAUGAAAAUUAUCGUAUCCAUGUCUGACAUGCCAAACUCAUAUAUGGUUUUUAUCGAAAUUUUAGACCGAGUUAUAUCGUUUAAGUGUCAUAUCAUUAUAUCUUGUCAAAAUUACUAAGUUUAGGUAACUGUUAACGGUAAUUGCUUGUUCACCAAUCAACAUGGUUGUCCUCCAAGAAUUUUUUUAGAAUGUUCAGGACCCAUCAUAAGUAGGCUUGAACAGAUACUGAAGUCAUUAAUAUUUGUAAUUAGUAGGGUAGGGGGUUUAUUUUGCUUUAAUGGGGAUAUUAAUGUUUAAACUGAUAGGUAUGUACUGUUNNNNNNNNNNNNNNNNNNNNNNNNNNNNNNNNNNNNNNNNNNNNNNNNNNNNNNNNNNNNNNNNNNNNNNNNNNNNNNNNNNNNNNNNNNNNNNNNNNNNNNNNNNNNNNNNNNNNNNNNNNNNNNNNNNNNNNNNNNNNNNNNNNNNNNNNNNNNNNNNNNNNNNNNNNNNNNNNNNNNNNNNNNNNNNNNNNNNNNNNNNNNNNNNNNNNNNNNNNNNNNNNNNNNNNNNNNNNNNNNNNNNNNNNNNNNNNNNNNNNNNNNNNNNNNNNNNNNNNNNNNNNNNNNNNNNNNNNNNNNNNNNNNNNNNNNNNNNNNNNNNNNNNNNNNNNNNNNNNNNNNNNNNNNNNNNNNNNNNNNNNNNNNNNNNNNNNNNNNNNNNNNNNNNNNNNNNNNNNNNNNNNNNNNNNNNNNNNNNNNNNNNNNNNNNNNNNNNNNNNNNNNNNNNNNNNNNNNNNNNNNNNNNNNNNNNNNNNNNNNNNNNNNNNNNNNNNNNNNNNNNNNNNNNNNNNNNNNNNNNNNNNNNNNNNNNNNNNNNNNNNNNNNNNNNNNNNNNNNNNNNNNNNNNNNNNNNNNNNNNNNNNNNNNNNNNNNNNNNNNNNNNNNNNNNNNNNNNNNNNNNNNNNNNNNNNNNNNNNNNNNNNNNNNNNNNNNNNNNNNNNNNNNNNNNNNNNNNNNNNNNNNNNNNNNNNNNNNNNNNNNNNNNNNNNNNNNNNNNNNNNNNNNNNNNNNNNNNNNNNNNNNNNNNNNNNNNNNNNNNNNNNNNNNNNNNNNNNNNNNNNNNNNNNNNNNNNNNNNNNNNNNNNNNNNNNNNNNNNNNNNNNNNNNNNNNNNNNNNNNNNNNNNNNNNNNNNNNNNNNNNNNNNNNNNNNNNNNNNNNNNNNNNNNNNNNNNNNNNNNNNNNNNNNNNNNNNNNNNNNNNNNNNNNNNNNNNNNNNNNNNNNNNNNNNNNNNNNNNNNNNNNNNNNNNNNNNNNNNNNNNNNNNNNNNNNNNNNNNNNUCCAAGAUUACCUCUCCAGGCAUUUGUUGGUUAGAAUGGGUCUUGCUCAGUUUCAUAAAAGACUUUUAAUGUUUUGUAUAAAUGUAGGAUGUGGAGAAAGACGUGAAAGCACGAACGAAGGGUGAUAUGGGAGCAGCUAAGUCUCUUUGUACCCCGUUUGAACAGCCUGAACUCCCAGAAGGUAAAGCAGGCAUUUAUUUUAAACAAUAGGAUACUUUCCCUCCCUCAUAAUACUAGUAGUAUUUUGUUUUUUAAUAAACUGUUACUGCACCAGCAUGCACUAAUGGGCAACUGCCAAGAAUCUUAAUCUGUGACAAACUACAAAAGAUUAUUGGAAAUUUAGAGAAAUCAUACUACAUUAAGAGGAAUAAGAGAUAAUAAAUUAAUAUUAAUCAGUAGUUCAAUUAAUUUGAAGGAUUAAGUAAAAAUCCGGCACCCAGUGAGCUUGGUUCAGGUGAGAUGUGAUUGCAAAUGUGUCAUUGUGAUUGAACCUGAAGCUUAGCUCAGUUGGUUCUUGUAAUCACUCUUAAGAAGUGGUAGUUAAUAAAUCUAGGGUUCCAAUCUCAGCACCUGCAUCCCCCUCUCUUCUCCAGGCUGCAACCACUUUUGUAUCAAAAAAGAAAAAGCUUACUUAAUCCUUUUGUAACACAGUCUUUUCUCAAUUUAGAAUUUUAUAAAUUUCUCUUACACUUAGUAUUGAGGGAAUUCAUGUGUAAAUGCUGUUUGAUUAUUUUGUAACCUUACAUCCACAAAAAGAAAAGAGGAGAUUAUACGUCUUCUAUAGAAUUCUCUUCUCAUGAAAAAUGAAAUUAUGCAGGUACUAAAUGCUUUGCCUCUGGAAGCCUGCAAAGAAAUGGACCUAUUGGGGUAGAAGUUACUGGAAGAUUAUUCUCUUUUUAUGACCAUCUCCUUCACAUUGCCCCUGUCUGAUGUCAGCUGUGCUGGUGUGUGGACCAUUCUUAACAGGAUUAAUUUUCAAUUUGAAAUUGUUAUAUGAAACUGAUGAGAGUACUUGGUUUUAUUAUCAUAUAGUUUAAGAGUUCACUACGAUGCAUGGCAAAAAUAUUUACAUGAGUAAAUGUCACUCAUCUGUCAUUUCUUUUGGUGAUUAAAACAUGCAGAAUGGCAAAAUAUUUACAAAACAUGCAGAAUGGCAAAAUAGUUACAACUGUAGAAUGGAUGUCCUCAUUUCCAUCUGGUCAAUUUAUAAAAGUGAUCAAAUCUCACCGCACUUAUGUUUUGGUGGAAUCCAAAUGAUCCCUUAGGCUUAUGUGCGGUGUGGUGGAAUUGUAGAGAUAUUGGUGCAAUUAAGUCUCCUACCAAUCUUAUAAUUUUGCUGAUUUGGACCCAAAGAGAUAUUGGCACGUAGACAUGAAAUCCAAGUUACUCUCAACGACUAACAAGUUUGCUUUCAGUAAUGCCAUAAAUUCUUGGAGUCUAUACUAAAAUGAAAGCUAUAUAUUAAUAUUCAUCACAUACAUUUAUUAAUAGUUUGUAGUUCCUUGAUAAAUGAUGUGCGGAUCAAAAUAGCUUUACACUUUUCAAUUAGUUAAGGCUAAUUACAAUUAUAUUACAAAUCAUUGCAAAUAUCAAUUAGAACAUGGCUAAUAGGAAUUUCAUAUCUGUGGAAAAUAUGUUGCUAUGAUGCUCAAUUGUUAAUAUGAGGUGGCUAUACAAUGUGCAGAAUCAACUCAGAGGUAUUUUAAAGAUAUUUCAGCAUGGCAUAUUUAAUUCUUUUUGAAGUAGGAUUUAAGUUUAUAAGACUUAUUUCCUUCAUAACAAAUGGUCUAUUUGAUUCUUGAUGUGCCUAAAGCUAAGCCAACCUUGAACUUGAUGACCAAUCAUUAUAUAGAAGUAUAAUGCUGAAGCAAAAGAGAAAUAAGAAAAAUGAAAGCAUGAUUGCUACAUAGCCAUUUGACAUUUUAACUAUUGGAAAGCAUCUUAAUUGCAGUGGACUGAGGUAAAAUUUAAAGUAAUGUGAUUUUAGUUAUUGAAUCUUUUUGCUGGAUUUUGAGAUUUCAAUAAAUUUUAGACAGUAAGUUAAGAUACUUGCUGUAGAUUUGGUGACAAAGAAAACUGUACGCUAAGAAAGAAAAGAGUUCCAAUGGCGACUUUUAACCUAUUUUUUGCAAGUGCUUUGAUUGCAACUUAACUACUAUUUUGCAUCUUGGAAACAUUGAAUUUUCUCUUGAAGAGAGCAAUGAUUCUUAAGUCUCACCUCAAUCAAAAGGAAUUUUAUUUGAUUUGUUACUUAAGUCUACUGAAAUUCAUAUUCAUUAUUUGUUUGGCUUGAAUGUCUUAUUUUGUAAAAUGACAAAGAAAAGUAGUAAUUUUUUUGAGAAAGCUAAAUUUUAUAAUUUGUGGGAGUAAUUCAAAAGACAAGAAAGCAUUUCCUUGAAUGUGAUUAUAUAGAUUUAAUUACGUUUGCUCAUCCUUAUUAUCUAUUCUUCACAUAUUCUAAUCUUAAUUUAUUUAUCUAAUUAAGCAUAAAUUAGUCAAUUUUCUAACUUUAAUAGGCCCAUAUUGGUGAUCCUUUAAGGAUCGUGCAACCAUAAAUUUGAACUAUUGUUUAGUUAAACUUGUGUAACUAUGAUUUUUUUGUUUACUACAUGUCACAUUUCAAAUCUAUUUUGGGUCACCCAUAAGUUUUGCCAUAAAAUUGGUAAAUUUAGUUAAAUUGAUACAACUAAUAAUUAAAUAGAUUUUGGUAUGAAAACAAAAAUACAAUAAUGCUAAAAUUUAAGGUGACAAGUUUCCAAUAGAUAUAUCAACAAUAACAUUUUGUCUAAAAAGAAAAAAAAAUUGAAUUCAUGGGAUUUCAUCUAAAGUAAACUUUAAAAUGAUAUAACUAAAUUCAUAGACAUCAUUUUUUUUCCAAACUCUUGACAACUUAAUUUUUUAGUGACAACAUUUUAUAACUUUAGUAUUUUUAAGAUGUCAUUCCUCCAGCUAUUGAAUGUUAGCUUCAAAAUGUCAUCUUAUUUACUUAUUGAAUGUUACCUGAACUAUUAUAGAAAAUAUCAGAAAGAAACAUUUGUUUGAAGGAAGCUUUUUAAGUUCAACAUGUAGACCCUACAGGUUGUAUAAUGAAAUUCAAUUUAUGAGACUCAGGUAUAUAACACAAAAGAAAUAAGGAUUUAAUCUUAUUUAAAGAUAACAUGUAGAUUUACUUAACCUAUACAUGUAAAGUGAAAAUUUUUACACAAAUCAUAUUUGAUUAAACCUUCUAAUGACUUGAAUUUAUGGGUUGGAUGAAGUCCUUUGUCCUAUGUAGUAAAAUGGCAUAUCAAAGAAAAUGUAUGACUUAUGUUUAGAGCAAAAGAUGGUCAAGUUUACCUUGCAUUUGAGUCAUAUUCAUUAAAAUAAACAUAGGAGAAAAAUAUAAGAAAAAUUUAAGCUAUUGAAUCUAAUAUAAGCAUGUAAACUUAUUGGACUUAUUAUAAAAAAUGGUCAAAUUCUAACCUGAUUAAUGAAAACAACAUUCUGAUUAAAAGGUUGAGUGCUUGGACCUUUUCAUUUUUUGGAUUGAGUUUCAAAACAAAUAUUAAAUUUGCGCUUACCAUCAGUUUUAUCACUUUUCAUUUUUAAUCCUUUCACAUUCAUGACUUUUGAAUCAUCCAUAACAUUAGAUUUUUUAGCAUCAUCUUCGUCACCUUUUAUAUAAGAAUCAUCAAAGUUGCUCACUAUUAAACUUUUAAAACCCAUUCAACUAGUUUUACCUGUUGAAAUCUUUUCUAUCUUAAGCAUUACCUUUAAAGAUUCUAUUAAAAGCAAUGUACCAUUCCUUUGUUUUAACAGUCCAUGUUGACAACUUAAUUGCAUUCCUAUUUAAUUCUUUAUAGCUAACUUAGGAUCUUUUUUUUCUAGUGCUUCUGUUGAUGUCUCUUACACUUCCAAGCUUUACAGCUUUCUUCCAUCUCUUUACAAUAUAUUUCUCAGAUACAAACUUGAUAUUUUUUGAGUUUAGCACCUUUAAGAUAUGAUAACAGAGAAUUCUCCAAAAUUCAAAUUUCAUACAAGUACAAAAAAUUGAAUUAGUUGAAGAGUUGAAUUUAACAAAAUGAUUUUGAUAUUCUCCAAAAGCAUUGAUCUUGUACUCAAAGAAUGAUUCGUUUUAACUAUAAUCUUCAAUAACCAAAUUAAAAUUUUUUUAAAAUUCUUUUUGAAACUCUUUAAAAACAUUAAGAAUGUAAACAUCUCUAGUAUGCCUUAACGUGGUUGCAUUUACCUUCAUUAUUGGAAUGCGUUGACUUAUGUCAUAAUUAGAUUUUACCUCAUUGCAGCAUAAAUCAACCACUAACCUUUCAAAAUAAUUGAGGAAUCGGACCACAUUUAACCAUGAAGUUACGUAGUUGUUCAAUUGGUUAUUGAAACUCUCACUUAGUUAAGUACUCUUUCUCCCAAUACUAAAUGUUUUCUUUUGAAAUGCCAUUGCCAACCUUUCUCUGUUUUCAAAAGUUUUAGCUAACCAUGUAUUUUCUUAAAGAUUAUACUUGCCAAUCAUAUCUUCCAUGCAUGAACAAACUCUUCCUUGUAUAAAAUAUUAUUAAUGCAAUACAAAAACUCUUUAACUAAGGUGUUAUGCAUUUGAAAGUGCUACCCAAAAUGUAUUUUUGCAUUUUCCCACAUGUGCCAAACGUAUAAUCAAUGAGUAGUUUCAGGCAAUAUAUUUUUUACAGCUUUUACCAUUGCUUGAUCUUGAGCUAUAAUAAUAGAUGUUGGUUUCUAACUAGACAUUACUUGAACAAAUGUCUUAAAAAGUCAUUCAAAUGAUUCAUUACGCUCAUCGUAAAGAAGCAUGGCCCCAAACAUUACCAUUUUUUUUUAUGAUUUAUUCUAACAAAUGAUGCAAAUAGUAGAGAAAGAUUGUUAGCUUUAUAGGUAGUAUCGAAGCAAACAACAUCACCAAAAUGGCCAUAAUCAAGUACCAUUCUUACAUCUGCCUAAAACCCAAAGUUAUCAAACCAUCCACAUCAAGUUGUACAGCAUAAAAAAAAUGAUAGAUUGUCUAACUAUUAUUUUUGGAAAUAAUUCAGCAACCUUUCAGCAUCUCCUUCUUUCAUAUCUUUAAUUCGUUUUAAACACAAAUAAUUAUUAUAAUCAAGGAGGAGAUAACCAACAUUUUUUCCCUACUUAUUUAUUCAUGAACUCAAAGGUUGAUUUUUGUAGAAUAUCAUAAUCAUCUGCCAUAUUUGCUUCAAUAGCUUGAGCAACAAUCACCUUUCUUUGUGAGGGCAGCAUGUAAGCUUGUUCUAAAGAUUUAAGCUCAUGAUUAUGAUUUUCUUCAAAAUAGGUGACUUUAUAUUUUCCAUUGGACUAGCAAGAAAUAGUUAUACGUGCCAAGCAACUUGUACUUACUUUUUUUUUAGGUCUCUUAACUUUCAUGUAAGAUUUAUUUGGUAUUCAAAAACUACUUUUGUAGUAAAAAAAUCUCUGAGACACUACAUGCCCAUCUAUUUUACUUUUAUUCGAGAAAUCUUUUCGAAUACUACAACCAACCAUUCCAGCAUUAUUGUUAUAAAACCAAUAAGCUUGAUUUUUUUAUUCAAAUUACAUGUUCAACUUUGAUACCAUCUCCAAUAUUGCCUUAUUCGGAUCAUAAUUUUCUUCUAUUAUAUUUGCACUAAUAAAAACGAAUUGCUUAUUAACAUUAAUACUAAAAGGAUAAAUUAUAAUUAUACUUUUUUUUAAUGGUCGCCUAUUUUUUCCAUUCUCUCUUAAAAUACAUACAUGUUCUCAAUAAAGAGUCCUUGCUGUAUUACCUUUCACUUUAAUGGUACUUGCCCAUUAAUAUAUAUAUAUAUAUAAUCUUUCACCUCUUGACUUAGUGGUUAAGAGGCUUUUAGAAAGACGUGGGGGUGGGUUCUAACCCCGUUAUCCUCCUUUCUCUUUGAACAGGCAUUUGCCUUCCUUUGAACAAAAUAUAUAUAUAUAUAUUUAUCAUAUUUAUCAUUUUCAUGAUUUAUCUUAGCCUUUAUAAUAAAUCAUAUAUUUUUAGGUAUUGAAUAGAACUAUGAAAAUAGAUUUCAAAUAUCAAUUCCUACUCUUAAAGUUCAAAAAACUAUAAACUUUUCUUUUUUUGUUUUUAACCCACUUAGAUCCGUAGGUUUUUUUACACUUACUUAGAUCCCUAGUUAAACAAAUAAUUAAGAUAGGUUAAUUACAUGUUGCGAUUAUUUUUAUAAACAAAUUGAUCAUGCCAUCAAACUAAUGCAAACUUAUUUAUAAUUUCUUUUCUAAUUGUAACUUCAUUUGAUUUAGAUAACAAACUAGCAAUCUCCUUAAUAAUAUCAUAAUUGAAAUGUGAAUCCAAUACCAUAGGUUUAGAUUAUUAGUUGAAUUGAUAGCUACAAAAAAUUGACCAAGGAAAACAUAAGCCAAAUUAAUUAUGAUGGAUGGGGAACGCAAGCAUGGGCAAAAUGUCAAGCCAAGGAGAAUGUCAAGUUCAAAUCAUUAUUUCUGUCACCAAUCCUAUGUAAUCUAUCAUGAUUUUAUUUUUUAUGUGUGCUUUGAAAUAAAAGAACAUUUAUGAAAACAAAUAAAUUGUGAAUGAAUGUAUUAUUGUUAAAUUUUUUAUUAUAAAAUAUUUAUAAAUAAAAUAAUAUAUUAUUAAGUGGCGAAGCCAAAAGGCAGGCAGGGAUUACGACUCUCUCAAAAUAUUUUUACCUUUUUUACACUAAAGUGCCUGAACCCACUAAAAUAUUACUUUGACCCUUUUUUCUUUUUGAAAUUACUAUUUGACAUCUUUUUUUACCUAAUUCCCACUUUCGUCACAUUAUUAAUAAAUAAAAUAAAUGUGAAGCUGUUGAAGAAUGAAAAACCCUUAUAAUGACAAAAAAUUGUGAACAUUAUUGUUCUCGUAACUGUAAUAAAAUUACUUUAAAAAUGAUUAAUAAUUAUUAUUAUUAUUAUUAUUAUUAUAUUUUAUAAUAAAUUAUGUAAAAUUAAAAAAAUUAGUGAACACGAUGAAUUUAAUGAUUGCGAUAACAAUUAUUAUAUCUAUAAUUAUAAUAAAUAUAAUGUGAUUGAAAAUGAGAUUGUGAUCCUAAUUUAAAUAUUUGAUUGCAGGUUAAUAACAUUUAGUGCUUAUUUAAAAAAAAAAACAUUUAAUCAUGGAAUGAAUAACACCCUAAAAUUAUGUUUGAUGUAUAUGAAUAUUGAUACGAUAAGAUGAUAAUUAUUUUAUUUCACAUUUGAUUUGUAUUCAAAAUGAGAUAUAUAGAUUGUAAAAAGAAUUAAUAUAUUCUUGUACAAUAUUAUUCAAUCUUCUCAAAGUAACAAAAUAUUUUUUUAAUUAAUGUAAUUAAACUUACAUAUUUAAUUAUAUUUUUAAAAAUUACAUUAAUAAUUUAAAUUAUAUAAGUUUUAAUUAAUGAUAAUUUUGACAAAUAAAUAAGUUAUUCUAUCAUAAUCUUUGUAUAUAUCAAAUAUAAAAUAAAAUAAUAUUAUUUAAUCUAAUUUUAUUUAUAAUAUGAUUUUAUUUUAUCUUAUUAUAAUCUUAUAUAUUAAACAUAAUUUAACAUUUAGUCUUAAAUUAAUCAUUUAAACUAUCAUCUAUAAUUUUUAUUCAAAUUUUAAAUCUAAUAUUAAAUAUAUUGUCUUGCUGAUGUUUUUUUUGUCUAAAAAAUUUGAGGUAAAUAAAUUAUUUAAUCUUCAGAUUAUAAUAAGAUAUAUUUGUAUCUAAUAAUUUAAGAUAAAUGAUUACAGAUAACAUAUUCGAGAUUAAUUCAAUAAAUUAUCACGACUCAGAACAAAAAAUAAUCCUAACCGAUUUAAACAGUUAGAUGUUUAAAAUGGCCAAAGUGGAUGCGUCAAUGGUUACCAAGUUUAGUAGACCCGAGAGACAACGGGCUCUAUUUCAGGGGCUCGGCUCCUCCAUGUCAUAAGAAACAAAGCCAUAACCCAACACAGAGACGAAGAAAGAGAGAGUUUGAUAAAAAACAUUCAAAGAUUAUUAUGAUUCCAAGUCUUUGAUGAUUCAAAUAAAAGACUCCUUUCUUUCUCAUUUCCUCUUACAUCAGGUAUGAAAUUUCCUUUUUGGUCUUAUUAUAUACAUAAAAACACUAGAUUUAAUUCCAUUUUUUUUUAAAAUUUGGAUUUUAGAUUGGAUUCUGGAAGAAGGGACUUAAUUGAAGCUUGAAUUGAGGUGAAGAUAUAGAGCUAAGUGAUCAAGUUGCUUCUUUUCUUUUUUUUUUAAUCUUGGAAGGUGAAUUGUGGUGAAUUUUAUGGGGGUUCUUGAAUCUUGAUUGAAUUUCUGCAUUUUCUGUUGAAAUAUUGAAUUGGGUUUCCUUUAAAAUCCAGUUCUUUGUUUGUUUAUGGGGUUUUAAGGUUUUGUUUGGGCUUUUGCUGGUCUGAACAUUGCAUUGAAGUUUAAUGCAAAAGCUUAAAAUCUGCACCUUCACUUCUCUUCCAAGAGCUGGAAUUUGGUUGGUAUUACUUGUUGUAGCCCUGGUGUUUCGCUGUUCUUGAUGUUUAAUUAAGAAAAACUUUCAAUUUCAAUGGCUACCUCGCCACAAGCUUCUCCUGUCUACUCUAAGACUAUUACUCCUCAGAUGGAUUCUGCUUCACCUAAUCCUAAAAAAGUUCAAUUGCACCUAUAUUUCCUGUGCCAAAUUUACAACAAAAUCAGAUCCCUUCCCAUUCAAUAAAAAAUCCUACUAUGCUGUCACAGGCAAAUGGGUCAAAACUGGAGCCCAAUUCCACAUCUGAGUACUCCCCUGGCCCUCCUGUAUUUACAUCACCAGUCUGGCUUGCUUGCCGUGUCCACUCCGAAUCUCCGCUUGCAACUUCCUCGCCAUUUAUUAGAACAAUUAAAACGUCUAAACUCCAGGUUAGCUUUAUCCCACAUUUAAGAAAAAUAAACUACGCUAAGAUUCCUAGUAAUUCAGUUUUUUGAGUAUAUUGUUUAAGCUACUUAUGAUGGGGACUUUUCUAAAGGUCCUUCAAUGUUGAUUGGUGAACAAGCAAUGUUAAACUUACCUAAACGUAAUGACACAUGAUAAUUGUGGAGCUUAUUCAAAUCUGUAUUCUAGCAUACUAAUUGGCUCAGGCCAUUGCAGUGUAUAUCUGCUGGCAUCUAAAUGGAAGUGAAGGUGAAUACAUAGCAUCAAGCAAGGAAGAGCUCGUAAUUUUCCAGAGUUUGUUAUCGCCUUUGUUGAAUUUCAUUCAAGAGGUAAUAAGAGACCAAGUUUUGUUCCACUUACUGAUUUGGGAACAUCUGGCACUGGUUGUUCUUGUCAUUGAUGAAUGUCUAGAUGAGCCACACCUUCAGCAUUUUCAGAGCUCCCUGCAUGCAUUUGUUGAUUCUGUGCCACCAACAACAAGAAUGGAAUCAUUUGUAUGGUCGCACAGUAUCAGUCUAUGACUUUUUAAAAAAUCAAUAGCAUCUGCUGAUGUGAUUCCAGGUGGCACUUCACCAACUCAGGAGACCUUGAAAGCAUUGAUUUAUGGCACUGGUUUAUCCUUUGUCACUAAUCCAUGCUUCAAAAGAGGUGGCACACCUGAUAUUCUCUUCAUUGAGGCCAUACAAGUUGAAUGUUCCAGAAGCAUCAAGAGAUAGGUGCUUGGGUACUGCAGUUGAGGUUGCUCUGACUAUUAUUCAAGGGCCAUCUGCAGACAUGUCUCCAGGUAUAGUUAAAGGCCAGGAGGUAUUAGCAGAAUCAUUGUGUGUGCUGGUGGACCGAAUACUUAUGGCCCUUGAUCCGUCCUUCAUUCUUAUACUCUUCCUAAUUAUCCUCAUAAGGAAAAGACAGCAAUGAAAUGGAUGGAGCAUCUUGGUUGAGAGGCUCAUCAACAUAACACAGUGGUGGACAUUCUCUGUGCUGGAACUUGCCCUGUACGGGUUCCUGUGCUGCAGCCUCUUACAAAAGCUUCAAGGGGUGUUUUGUUCUUCAUGAUGACUUUGGUGAAGCCUUUGGUGUGAACUUGCAGAAGGCAUCUGCAAGGGUAGCUGGUUCGCAUGGUUUGUUGGAGAUACGCUGUUCUGAUGAUAUUCUUGUUACUCAGGUCGUGGGUCCUGGUGAAGAGGCACAUAUUGACACCCAUGAAACCUUUUAAAAUUAUAUUUCUCUUUAUAUUCAAAUGCUGAGUGUUGAAAAAACACAAUGCUUCUCGAUAUUGAUGGAGCAUAAACAUGACAUCAAGAGUGAUUUUGUAAUUUUCCAGUUUGCCAUUCAAUACUUAAAUGUUUAUCAAGUUGAUAUAGUUAGAGUGAUUACUAUCAGAUUGCCAACUGUGGAUAGUGUUUCAGCCUAUCUUCAAAGUGUUCAAGAUGAGGUGGCUACAGUCCUAGUUGCCAAGAGGACUCUUUUGCGAGCAAAUAGUUAUUAUGAAGCAAUUGAUAUGCAAACAACAUUAGAUGAAGGAGUUAAAGACAUUGGUUUAAAGUUUGGGUCCCAAAUGCCAAAUUCAAAGCAAUAUCGGUUCCCAAAGGAAAUCUCUUUACUACCAAAGCUUCUAUUCCAUCUUAGGAGGCGCCCACUGUUGGGAAGUAUAGUUGGUCACGAGGAUGGGAAGUCUGUACUUUGGAAUUUGUUUUUGAAUGCAUCCUUUGAUCUUUCACUUCGCAUGGUGGCCCCUUGCUGUCUGAUGCACCGGGAAGGAGGCACUUUUGAAGAAUUGCCUGCUUAUGAUCUUGCCAUGCAGUCUGAUACUGCUGUUGUUCUAGACCAUGGUAGAGAUGUCUUCAUUUGGUUGUUAUGUAAAUCAAUCCAUCUUAUAGCUUUGGCAUGUUAUAUAUCUGUUAUAUUUGCUUUCUGGCUGUUUUUGCUUUUAUGUUAUUCACCUUUGAGCCAUAAAGUCUGGCAUGCAUGUGUCUGCUAUAUGUGGUCCAUUUUUUGCUUUGUGAUUGAGUAGGAGAUCCAUGAAUGCAUGUAGUUUGAAGGCAAGUUGCAAACAAAGACCUUAGCACAUUUGUUCCUAUGCUCUUUAUGAACACCAUCAAGCUCGGUUAUUAUUAAGAUUGUAUUUCUCUCUGUUAAUAUCAGGCCACGGUAGAAAAGAGAUGCUAGCUUGAUGUAUGGGGAACUGGAAGUAAAGGUUUGGAAUUGAGAAGCUAUUCGUGCCUUUCUAAAUGUGGUCACAGCUACCUCAUCCAUCUAACAUUUUUAUAUCAUGGUCACUUUGUAAAUGCAUUUUGUAUAGCAUACCCUUAUAUAUAUAUACACACCAUGUGACAACCUUGCCCUGGACGCAUUCUUUUUGUUUUUCACUUUUAUUCCACCUGUAAGUGUAUGCCUGGUAUGUUUAUGUUAUGAGAGAAAUAUCAGUGGAUUACGUUUUUUAGAAUCGACUUUAGAAUCUAUGUUUAUUUAUUUAUUUAGUUUUCAGGGAAUAAUAUUGAACAUCUUCCUGUCAACUGCUGGCUUCAGGGUGCUGAACUUGCAGCUGAUGAAGGACGAAAUGCAGCAGCUUUGGCAGCUUGUAGAACAUUGGCAGAAGAGCUCACAGAGUUACAAUUUCCAGCACCUCGGAUCCUUGCUUUCAAGUUUCUUCUUCCCUUAUUUAGUCCGAAUAUUCUAUAAACUGUGCAUUGUUCCAUCAAACAGAAAAAGAACCUAAUGAUCUGGUUUUAUUGCAGGAGGGGAGCUCUGAGUCUCGAUAUUUUGUUUCUCGGCUGAUACCAGCACACAAGGAUCCUCCUUACAAACAGGUAAGAGAAAAAAAAUAAUGGGCAAACCUCUUUGCUUUUAGUCCUAACAGGUCUAUCUGUUUCUGUAUGUAUUUAUUGAAAAAUGAAGGAAUGCAUAUAGUUAGAAAACAGUGAAGUAACUAUUGCUUGAUGCUUAUGCAGGAGGCAAAUUUCCACAGCUCCAAACACUUGACAACAGAACAGUGGACAAAACUGAAAAGCAGUUUUGUUCAUUUUGAUGAUCCCAGCUUCUGUGAAUGGAUUCGGAAUUUGAAAGUAGUGCCACCAGAAAAAAGAUAAGAUAUAUUUUCCUUUUUUUUGCAGUUAAAAUUCCUCCAAAAAUCAUUUAUUGGAAUCUUUCUGCUCUUCUUUUUCUUCUUCUCCCUAUGAAAGGAAUGUAACUCAUUCAUUUUUUCUUUUCAUUAUUAUUUUUUUUCUUUUCCAGCUCUCCUUUACAAAAUUUCCCUUUUUUUUUUAUAUAUAUAAAAGAAGUUGCAGGCGCUGGGAUUUGAACAUAGACCUGCUGGGUGUGAUUGAAGGUAGUUCCAUGAAUCAACUAAGCUAAGUUCCAAUUUUCUCACUCUUUUAAAAUUGAAAGAAACAGUUAUACUUCAUAGUACUCCAAAGUUCAACUGUAUUGUCUCAUUGUUAGUUGAAAAUUCUUUUGCUAGAGAAAUAGUUUUACUUUACCUUGUAUCAUUCUUAUAUAAAUUAUGCCAUUUUUUGUAAAUCUCUUCCGAUGGUAUCCUUGAAGUUACUGCAACAUGGUUGGUUCGGAGAAAGUCUAAUUCAAGGAAAUCAGACUCUUAAUAGUUUUUUUCUUUGGUUUUGUAUACAAUUGAGCUAGCUGAUAACAAAUAUUCUAUUUGGAGCAAUCAGGUUUUGUGAUUUCACAAUUUGGUUUGAUUGAGAACAACUGAUGAAAUGAUUGACUGGUAAGUAAACUUUUGUGUUGGUGGCCUAGUUUAUAAGCCAAUAAAGCAUUGGUGAGCAAUAAUUUUGCUUAAAAAAUGGUGAAAUAUAAAUGUUAAAAAGGAGACUUUGGCGAUUUGUAUAUUCGUAUGGUAUAAAAUAUUAAAAUUUAUGUUUUAUUAUUUUUUUUACAUAAUAAUUACGUAUCAUAAUUUAUGUCGAAAUGAAAAUAUAAAAUAUAUUUUUUAAUUAUGUUAAAUUCAUAUGUAAUUAUUGAUAAAAUUUUAAGUCGUUUUAUAUUUAGGUUUUAUUUUCGUAUCAUAUUUAUAUCAUGUCAUUAUAUCGAAGUUUAGAUUGUUAAAUCUAAUCAAAUCCGUAUAAAAGAUUUCACAAUAAAUUUAUGUUGGUUUAAGUGACAAGAAAUAUUUUUUUAUUUGCUGUUCGAGUUCAAAUCGUUUUGAAAAAAAUUAUUUUUCACGAAUUUAUAAAUAAGAAUGAAAUCGCAGUUUGGAUUUGUGAUUCUUAACUAAAACUGGAUUUUGAGUGGAAAACAAAGAUUUUCUCAUGUUUUAUAAACUAUUAUAAUUCAAAUCACGAUUUUGCGACACAACUCAACUAGAAAAGGAGAAUAAAAAAACAGAAAUAACUUUUUUUGUAAUUGUGUAUUGUAUUUCCUUUAGUACAAUUAAAUAUUCUAGCAUCAACUGCUAUCCCAUCAGUCCAAAAGAAAAAUAAGAAUACGAAUAUAUUUGUAAUUGGUUGGUUCGGUUUUUAAAGAUCGAUCUUUUAAAAAAUAUAAUAAAAAUCGAUUGAUUUAUUUUUAAAAAUAAAAAAUAAUUGAAUUGACAAAAGGUGAUCGAAAAAUCAAAAUUUGAAUAACUUUUUGUCAUUAAUUUUGAAUAAUUUGUAAUAAUUUUUACCAAAUAAAAUUUACUUUAUAAUUUUAUCAUCAAUAUUAUAUUUGUUAUUUUUAUAAAUAUAAAUUAUUUUAUCUAUAUUUAUAUUAUAUAUAAUAUAAUUUAAAAACUAUCUUUAAAAAUCAAUUAAUUUGAUUGAUUUAAUUAUUAAUUUAAAAAUAAUAACCGGUCAAAUUAAUUCAUUAAAUAAUUUUAUUUAAUAAUAAUUUUCAGAAUUAAAUGGAUCAAAACAAUCGAUCGAAUUUAAUUGAUUUUGAUUAAUCAAAUCAAUCAGAAUCGAUUUAUACUCACUUUUAUUUAUUGGUAUAGUAGAAUCAAAAUUAGAAGCAUUUGGUCUCUUUGGGUUGAGUCAGUAUAUUGAAUUAGAUGUGAUAAUUUAAAAUAUAAUAUGAUUAUAUAAUAUAAAUAUGAUUCAAAUAAAAAAUUAAAAUUAAUAUAAUUUAAAAUUUUAAUAAUAAUUAUAUAUAAAUUUAAUAAAAUUUUAAAAAUAUAUUUUAUAUUUUUAUAUUUACACGUAAAUUAUUAUCCAUAAUUUUUAUAUAAAAUAUGAUAUAAAUUUAUAAAUUUUAAUGUAUAUAUAUAUAUAUAAACACCACGAAUCGUCGUGUCUACAGUAAAGGACAAAGUUCAUGUCUACAUUAAACCAGAAAUUCACUAGUUAGUGAGUUGGUCCGGGCCUGAGUAGUAACGAGUACUGUUUUCCCACUAAACGGGUCAUCCAUUUCCCAAAAAAUAAACAAAAAAGCAAAUUUCAUUGCUUACCAAAAUCCAGUGUUUUAACAUUCUCCGCCCCGCCUAUCUUCUGUUAUUUCUUUACUUCCCCUCACUGUGUCAAAAGAAUCUAACGCAACCAAAGAAUCUAACGCAACCAAAGAAUCUACCACUAUUCAUUUCUCUGUAAGACUUCAUAUCUUCCCACAUGCUUUCGUUUUUAUUUACUUUCGCAGUUUUUCAUUUACAUUUUCGUAAGUUUUAUAUGAUAUUUUUGUUCUAAUUCUAGACUCUGACAACAUUAAGCAUUUCUAGUUUUCUUGGGUGUUUUAUGGUUACCCAUCUGAACCUUGAUCUGAAUGCACGUGUCCUACAGGUGUUUCUGUUUUUUAAUAAAGUAAAAGGGUCGUCGGACAGUCCAGGAAAAAUCACUUUUAGUUUUGUCUUUGAUCUCAAAGUUGGUAAAGGCGGUAAAUGUAGACCUGGCAAUUCGUGUAUCAUUGUCAUAUAUGUUUCAUUUCGUGUCAAACAUAUGUAAAAUAUGAAAAUUAUCGUAUCCAUGUCUGACAUGCCAAACUCAUAUAUGGUUUUUAUCGAAAUUUUAGACCGAGUUAUAUCGUUUAAGUGUCAUAUCAUUAUAUCUUGUCAAAAUUACUAAGUUUAGGUAACUGUUAACGGUAAUUGCUUGUUCACCAAUCAACAUGGUUGUUCUCCAAGAAUUUUUUAGAAUGUUCAGGACCCAUCAUAAGUAGGCUUGAACAGAUACUGAAGUCAUUAGGUUGAUAAACUAUAUUAAUAUUGUAAUUAGUAGGGUAGGGGGUUUAUUUUGCUUUAAUGGGGAUAUUAAUGUUUAAACUGAUAGGUAUGUACUGUUUCUAAUUGUUCUAAUUAAAUGCUUUAUUUUGUUUGUACUCGAAGUUGAUGAUAUGGCUGGAGUGGAGCAGAGGCAGAACAAGUCUGGAGGUGGUAAGUAUUUUUUUUGCUCAGGUUGGUUAGAUUUCAUUAGUAAUGUGCCAUAAAGGUGUGGCGGUUUCUAAUUGUGUGGAUGUUUUGUUGUUGUUGUUGAUUUUUAGGAGGGAAAAAGAAGGAAGUGAAGAAGGAGACUGGUUUGGGUCUCUCCUUUACCAAGGAUGAGAAUUUCGGGGAGUGGUACUCUGAGGUGCAAUGACUUAGUGCCUGUUAUACUAUGUUAUUGAGAUCUUAGUAUCUUAUUGUUAUAUCAUCAUUUUGGCUUUUGUAGGUUGUUGUCAAUGGUGAAAUGAUUGAGUACUAUGACAUUUCUGGCUGUUAUAUUCUGAGGCCAUGGGCAAUUUCAAUUUGGGAGAUCAUGCAAGUGAGUCAUAUGAUGUUUAUACUCAUAUUGCUCUUUAAAUGUAAAUAAGAAGUGUUUAUUAAUUACAAGGAAAAAAAAUUUAUGGAUUUCAUUCCUCGAUCUUUGUUUUCUUUCUGUUUCCUUUCAUGGUUAACUUAUCCAUGGUGUUAAACUGUAGACAUUCUUUGAUGCUGAAAUCAAGAAAAUGAAAGUCAAGAACUGCUAUUUCCCUCUCUUUGUAUCUCCAGGCGUUUUGCAAAAGGAGAAGGAUCAUAUUGAGGGUUUUGCUCCAGAGGUGAGAAACAAUUUUUUUUUUUUUUGGCAUAAUUGACCUUGUGGAAUGCUUCGCAGCUUGAAAGUGUUGGUUUCUUUUUUAUCAAACUUUUUGAAGCCAUUUGAAACUCAUUUUGUUCCUAAACUUUUUUGCCCUGUUUUCAAUGAUUUACUUCAUUUUGUGGAAAUCCAUAGUUUAGUUUCUAUCUAGGGCUCAAAUUGGAGAAAGUUUUUAUCUAGGGCUAAAUUUGGCAAGUUCUUCCUCAUUUGAGCAAGAUACUUUCAUGAAUAUGCUGAAAAAAUGGCAAUAUUUCGAUGUUUUUAUACUUUUUAGCACUGGACUUAUGCAACACUUAAGUUUUAUGCAUUUUUUACUAGAAAUGUUAUGUGAUCUAAUGAAAAAAUGACAUGUGAAUGGCUUUGGGAUCCUGGUUUAAUCAGGUUGCUUGGGUGACCAAAUCUGGGGAGUCUGAGUUAGAGGUGCCAAUUGCAAUCCGCCCAACUAGUGAGACAGUUAUGUAUCCCUAUUAUUCUAAGUGGAUUAGAGGACACCGUGACUUGCCUUUGAAACUUAACCAGUGGUGCAAUGUCGUUCGAUGGGAAUUUAGCAAUCCCACACCAUUUAUCAGGUAAUUGUCUUAAAAUUGGUCAACUUUAGCUUUUCCGGUGUUAUCCUGCAUCCUUUUCCCCCCUCUCCUUUUCCGGAUGGGAUAUGGUAUGCCAUACAUGUAAUGAGAUGUUAAUUUUCGUAAAAUUUUCUAAUCUCGGUUCAAUUUUCUUAUCCUUAGUUAUUAAUGUUUACAGAUGAGAACAUUAUUUUCUCAAUUCUUUUGAUGCCAAGUUAGAAAAUUAAUUUAAAAUGAUUUGAUGAUAGAUUGGUCACCACUAACUUGCUUCUUAAUUGUAGGAGUCGUGAAUUUCUAUGGCAGGAAGGGCAUACUGCCUUUGCAACAAAGGAAGAGGCAGACACAGAGGUAGCAUAGACUUAAAAUUUUUACCUUUGAUCAACAUUUCAACCUUAGAGAGCUGAAGUUUGCCCAUUGUUCUAUUGGUGUACAAUGGAAUAGGGAAGGUUAAAGUAAAUAGAAAUUUUGCAUGGCUGAUCCUUUUCUUUUUCAUAUUUAUCUACAAUUAAAUUUUGGUUUAAAAUGGCAUUUUUGCCUCAGAAUUGCCGAAUGAAGUAUUUAAGUAAGCAUUUCAGAAAUUUCCCAUGUGAUCUUAUUUUGAAUAAUUUCAAUAUUUUGUUGGUUUCUGUGCUGUGUCAAAAGUCAAAGUCAUAUUUCAUUGCUGUUACAGAUUUCACUUGUCUUGCCUUUUGAAGUAUCAUUGAAGGAUGUGCUAGAUCCUUAGAACCUUUUAUGUGUGUCUAAAUAUGGUUUUGUUGGUGAAUAUAUUAUGGAAGGGGGACUGAGGUGGCAAAAAUGACAUGCUGAGUUAUAUGUAUUUAUUGUUGAAAUACUUUGUGCUUGGUAGAUUUUAGACUUUAGUUCCUACUUCUAAUCACUCUUGCAAUAGUUGUACUGCUUCUCAUUUUCACAUCCUUUGCGAUAUCUCAUGCUGUUAACUAAACAGGCAAAAAAGGGACUUAGUAGCCAAUAACAAUGGUAGGGAUGUCAGCCGGGUCUCUUUACGUAUGUCUAAAUUUUGUUAUAUUUCAGGUUCUUCAAAUAUUGGAACUGUACCGAUGUAUAUAUGAAGAAUUCUUGGCUAUUCCUGUUACAAAAGGCAGGAAGAGUGAACUAGAGACGUUUGCUGGUGGACUUUACACAACUAGUGUCGAGGUAUGGUAUAAACUAUUAUGCAUAUAUACAUGUAAUAACAAUCUCUACUUAUUGGCAUGAACAACGAACUUAAAUUGUCUGCUUGAUCAAUGUGCUUUAAUAUAAAUUGAGGAACUUUUAAUCUGUUCAUAAUAUGAUAGGCAUUUAUUCCAAACACUGGGCGUGGUAUUCAAGGUGCAACCUCCCAUUGUCUGGGCCAAAACUUUGCAAAAAUGUUUGAGAUAAACUUUGAAAAUGAAAAGGGAGAGAAGGGUAUGGUCUGGCAGAAUUCCUGGGCGUAUAGUACUCGAACGGUAAAACUUUUUGUCUCUUUACUUAGAACAUUCUUAGCAUUUAUCAUUUCAAGUCCUUUGUCAUGCUAUCCCUACCAUUUAUGUUUUGUGGUUUUGGGUGAUUACAUGGGGUUGGAAUCCUUAACUACCAUAUAAUUCCCUUUCUAUUCUUUUCUCCUUAUUCCUGCUACUCUGCUUAUGUUUUCUACUGUUUUUCAAAUUUUCUCAGAUUGGGGUAAUGGUUAUGGUUCAUGGGGAUGACAAAGGUUUAGUGCUGCCUCCAAAAGUAGCAGCUUUGCAACUUAUUGUGAUUCCUGUGCCUUACAAAGAUGCAGAUACUCAAGGUAUUUUUGAUGCUUGUGUUGCCACUGUGGCAACCCUCUCAGAUGCUGGCAUUCGUGCUGAAGCUGAUCUUAGAGAUAACUACUCACCUGGUUGGAAGUAUUCAAACUGGGAAAUGAAAGGUGUUCCCCUAAGGAUUGAAAUAGGACCUAGAGACUUAGCAAAUAAUCAGGUGAACCCCCUUCUCUUUUUUUUUUUUUGGAUGCUGCUUUCCUUCUAUUCUUUUAUUUAUUAAUUUGCUAUUGUACUUAUACAGUUAAAACCAGAAAAGUGCUUUAUUUGACAGGUACGUGCAGUUCGCCGUGACAAUGGAGCAAAAACUGAUAUCUCAAGAGUCUUUUUGGUUGAACAAGUAAAAGGAAUGUUGGAUAAGAUUCAACAGAACCUGUUUGACGUUGCAAAACAAAAACGAGAUGCCUGUGUUGAAGUUUUAAAAACUUGGGAAGAGUUUGUAACAGCUCUUGGGCAAAAGAAACUGAUCUUAGCUCCUUGGUGUGAUGAGGAGGUAUGACUUGAAUUUGCAGAAUCCUUAUUCUUUACAGGGACCAUGACUAUUUAGUAUUUAAUCAGUGUUCCUUUAGUGCUUAUCUGCUACACUUAGUCUUUGCAUUGAAUCAUUAGGCUGAAGUGUUUUGUUGGUUAUAAAAAUGAGUUGGAUCAUAUUUAGAACGUCAUUAAUUUCCAAGAUUACCUCUCCAGGCAUUUGUUGGUUAGAAUGGUCUUGCUCGUUCAUAAAGACUUCAGUUUCAUAAAAGACUUUUAAUGUUUUGUAUAAAUGUAGGAUGUGGAGAAAGACGUGAAAGCACGAACGAAGGGUGAUAUGGGAGCAGCUAAGUCUCUUUGUACCCCGUUUGAACAGCCUGAACUCCCAGAAGGUAAAGCAGGCAUUUAUUUUAAACAGUAGGAUACUUUCCCUCCCUCAUAAUACUAGUAGUAUUUUGUUUUUUAAUAAACUGUUACUGCACCAGCAUGCACUAAUCAGCAACUGCCAAGAAUCUUAAUCUGUGACAAACUACAAAAAAUUAUUGGAAAUUUAGAGAAAUCAUACUACAUUAAGAGGAAUAAGAGAUAAUAAAUUAAUAUUAAUCAGUAGUUCAAUUAAUUUGAAGGAUUAAGUAAAAAUCCGGCACCCAGUGAGCUUGGUUCAGGUAAGAUGUGAUUGCAAAUGUGUCAUUGUGAUUGAACCUGAAGCUUAGCUCAGUUGGUUCAUGUAAUCACUCUUAAGAAGUGGUAUCUAAUAAAUCUAGGGUUCCAAUCUCAGCACCUGCAUCCCCCUCUCUUCUCCAGGCUGCAACCACUUUUGUAUCAAAAAAGAAAAGCUUACUUAAUCCUUUUGUAACACACAGUCUUUUCUCAUUUAGAAUUUUUUAAAUUUCUCCUUACAUUAGUAUUGAGGGAAUUCAUGUGUAAAUGCUGUUUGAUUAUUUGUAACCUUACAUCCACAAAAAGAAAAGAGGAGAUUAUACGUCUUCUAUAGAAUUCUCUUCUCAUCAAAAAUGAAAUUAUGCAGGUACUAAAUGCUUUGCCUCUGGGAAGCCUGCAAAGAAAUGGACCUAUUGGGGUAGAAGUUACUAAGAUUAUUCUCUUUUUAUGACCAUCUCCUUCACAUUGUCCUCUGUCUGAUGUCAGCUGUGCUGGUGUGUGGACCAUUCUUAACAGGAUAAUUUUCAAUUUGAAAUUGUUAUAUGAAACUGAUGAGAGUACUUGGUUUUAUUAUCAUAUAGUUAAGAGUUCACUUCGAUGCAUGGUGGGAGAACUCCCACCGCGCCGCGCAUGUCAUUUUAUUCAUUGGACCCUUGGAGGUUAAGUCAUAAAAAUGCAAUUACGGCGCGGUGAAAGUCUCUCUCACUAUGUUACCAAAGGGACAUUAAAACUUGUGGGAAUUUUUUUUUUUUAAUUUUCGCCAAGGGUGUAUUGUAGAACUUUUGCUUUGCUACAAUUGAUUUACUGCUCUAUUUGUGAUAUUACAAUAUUAGAAUAUGGUGAUGGUACUUGAAGGUUAUAAGUUUCUUGUUUGGAUUCAUUUGGUGAUGGCUUUGACUUUUAUUUCUCUGUCAUUGUUUCUUGAUACUGUUCAUUAGUGGAUUGUUCUUCAAUUGAAGCAGUUGAAGGAGAAUUUCACGAAUUACAAUGACACGUAAAUGAUAUCAAAAAAUAUUAAAAUAAUAUGAUUUAAAAUUUUAGUAAAAAUAAUAUGUUAAGUUUAAUAAGAAUAAAAAAUAUAUAUUUCGUAUUUUUUUUUUGUUAAUAUUAGUUGUAAUACAAAAUUUUUAUAUAAAAUAUGAUAUGAAUUUAUGAAUUAUUAAUGUUUUUAUAACAUAAAUACAUGAAUUAAUUUUUUUUACAUGAGUAAAUGUCACUCAUCUGUCAUUUCUUUUUGGUGAUUAAAACAUGCAGAAUGGCAAAAUAGUUAAACUGUAGUAUGGAUGUCCUCAUUUCCAACUGGUCAAAAUUUACCAUUAAGGCUCGUGCCUGGCCUCAAACAUUUAAACGUAAAACUUACUCUCAUUGGUUAUAGCCAAAAAUAACCAAAAAUUUUCUAACUUCACAAUGUAAUAAAUUUUGAAUCCAAAAAUUAAUUCAGUUGAUUCAUACAAUCAUCUUUAAAAGAUAGCAUAUAACAUAUUUGAAGUUCAAAUCAUUUGUAACUCAUUCUUCUAUUCCUAGAUUACAACCUUCUUUAUAUAUAUAUAUACAUAUAUAAAGAACAAAUUCCUGGCUAAAUUCAUCGGUUCGUUUCUAUUCUGACCACAAAUAUCUCAUUGGACUUCAAGCAAUGCUCCUUGAUUCACUUCAUCACCAUCAAGAAGUUCCUGGAUUAUUUGAUUGAUAGCAUUUCCUCGAGCCUAUGUUUUGUAAGACAAAUAUUUCAGCACACAAUCAAAACCACAACAGGAUAAGACAAUCUGCAAAGCGGAAACCCCUAACCUUUACUCCAAUUGCAAUUGCUGUUUUUAGCUUUACAAGCUCACCCAAUCUUAGGGACCCCUUUUUAUCAUCUCUAACAAUCAUCAAUGGUACCUUCCUUGACAAAGCCAACGUUGGCAGGUGCUUUAUUAGCCACUUUGGACUGCAAUCAGCAGCUAACAAAAUAGCCUACAAGCUCAAAAAACAUAUAACAAACCUUAAGCAGUGCUUGUGAAAACAUGACAGCGAAGGAUCCACAUGGAUGGAUGGCGAGAUUCAAAACAGCGGUGGUAAUGAGAUUACAUGAAGUUUAAUAUGCAAGCAGUAAGAUUAAAAUCAAUGAUGAAAAUAUGUAAUUGAAUAUAAUCGCAAAGUGAUGGGAAGAUUGAGUAUAACAAUCGGUUGCCUCACUAAAGCCAAUUGAUUGUCACAAUUGCAAAAUGUCUUCAUUUUCAUUUUUACGCUAAGGCAGUCGACUGCUCUAGGAUCUAGAUGUUCACUGAAUCCUUUCCCCCAGCCAACUGCACCGCCGGGUGCUUUUGGAUAGCAUCGUGCGGUACAGUUGGCCCAAAAAAAGGUUGCGAUGGAAUCAAAACUAGCCCUUAGUAUAACAAACAUAUUGCAAUAAACAACUAAGUAUAGAUUGUUAUAAAGGCAUGACAGAUCACUCAAAAUUUAAAUCUAGAAACAGGGAAGCCAACCUGAAGCCUAACACAAGGAGAUUGAGCAGAGCUUCCAUUCUCAACACCGGGUGCCAUCCGUUCAAGUACACGAGUCACAUCAUUAACACCAAUGGCAAAUUGUUGCUAAUAACGAUGCACCAAAUACAAUAUAACAAUCAGAUAAUAAUAAAACCACAAGGAUCAUCAAAGAAAAUCAAUAAAGCAUUGAACAAGAGAUCAAACCUUAAGCCAUACUUUUUCAGGCAAGGAGUUUCCAGCCAAUGCUCUUGCUGACUCUACCCCUCUGUUCAUUGCAAUAACUUCAACUAUUACCUCUGAAAAAGAACAAGAAUUUGAAUACCAAAAAAGGGUAUUCUUUAAUUAUUGAUAAUGUGUUCGAAUCGUUUACCUUUGGAUUGAUUUAAGCACGUGAACAAGACGCUCCCCUUCAUAACAACUGCCAAGAUAAAAAAUAAAGAAAUUAAAUCAAAGGCCCAAAAUUUGCAUAAAAUCCAAUGAAACAAAGGCAGACUUACUCUUGCUGCUGAGGAACGGAACCGUCAAGAAUGUUGUUUUUGGCUGCCUUAUUUCUAGCCGUCAUGUUUCAUUUUAGAGUUCGCUACUUGUUUGAUGAAAAGCUUGAAAAAAAAUUGGUGUAAAUUGCCUAAUAUAACUUUGAUUUAAGCCCAUAGGAUUUGGGUAUUGGGCCAUUGAGCCUUUGCGGCCAAUUCAUUUAAUUAUCAAGAUAAUUAGCCCACAGCUAGAUCCAGGCUUUGAGCUCUUAUAUUUUAAUUUUCAUUCCUUUUAUUAUCAUUAAAGGAAAAAAAAAGAAAUAAAAACUAAACCCAAUGUAAUAAAAAUCUUAUAUAAAUAUAUAAAAAUAAAAACUUUUGGUAAAAAAGAAAAAAGUCUAAUGUAGAAUUUCUAUUCUUUUGAUAUGUGGACAAUUUUAAACAAUUAUCACGUGUCUUGCAUCUAAUAAAUAUACAUUCUUAAUUUAACAAAUAAUUUUAAAAAAUUAAUUGCAAUUAUUACUUCUAAAUAACUAAUAUUUACACCAUAUAUAUAUAUAUAUAUGGUAAUAUGUAAAUUUUAUGUGAAAGGAAUUUGAUAAUGAAGGCAAGUAUUUAUUUCCUUUUUUGCUAUGCAAAAUUAGUCAAAUUUUAAAAUCAUAGGGAUUUUUCCUUUGCCAUAAAUAAUUUAUGUUGGCUAUAAACACCAUCCUAUAAAGGUGAUUGUAGACAUGGAUUUUAAACUUAAUCGGCUAACUUUUUAUUUAUUUUAUUUUUUAUGCAAUAACCAAUGGGUGUUAAAACAUUUUUCUUUCAUUUUUUUAAUACAAUUUAAUUUUGUGCUACCUUAAUUUAUCCGUUUGUAGUAUAUUUUAUAGUAUAUUUCCUUGGUUUUAUAUAUUUUAUAUUCUUUUUAUUGUUAUUUUUUACAUUAUUUUGAUUUAUCAAAUUGUUAGAUUAUUUAUAUUCCUUUGGAUACUAUACAAUUUUUUUUGAAUGUUUAUUAGCAUAUCUUACUUUUUCAUAAACUUAUUUUAGUACUUAGGAAGCUUGUUUUGUUAUUAACAUCUCUAUAUUAGUGGUAUUGUCAAUGAUUUUAUUUUUUAAACUUUAUUAUCUCCUUUUCUAAUUUUUUUUUAUGAAUAAAUGUUUAUAAAUAAUAUCUAUUAUAUCCCAUAUAUAAGAAAAGUUGUAUUUUGGAAAAGAAUAAUAUUUUUAAAAAGUGUGCAUUUUUUUUAAAGUGGGUAGUUUUUUUUUUUUCAAAUAAAAAAUAUAUACAUAUGCAUAUUUAGUUGUAUAUUUUUAUAUUUUAUUUUAUUUUGUAAUUUUUGUAAUUAAGCCAUAGCAUUAUUAUAGAUGAAAUACUAUUUCGAUGCGAAAUACUUUUAUAUAAUGUCCUUUAAUUUCAUAAGACCACAUUUUAAUUCAUAAAAAAAUUUGUACAAAUGUAUAUCUAAUUUUUUUUUUGUUUGCCAUUUUUAAGUAUGCAUUAUUUAUAUAUAAAUAUCUUCAUAACCAAAAAGAAAGCGAGAAAGAGAAGAUUUUAUAUUUAUCUUUUUUAUUAAUUAUUGUAUUUAUUAUUAUAUUUAAAAACAUUAUGAGAUAAAAUUUUUAUUAUCUAAAUUGGCAUUAUUCAUUAGUAUUUGAAAGAGAUUUUAAAAACCAGAACCAACUAUUCGUGACAUAAACUAUUUUUAACAUUAUUUUUGUAACAUACAAAUUUGCAUUUACAACGAAAAAUUUGCUAUUAUGAAAAAAAAAAAGAAUUUGCUGUUGAUGAUGAGAAUUAAAGUUUUAUUAUCUUUUAUAUGAAUUUUAACUUGGAGUAAUUUAAUAUAAAUAACAAAAAUAAUUUUGUAUUUAAUUAGUUAAAAAUAAUAAAAAUUGACUAUUAACAAAAUUAGAACUAAUUAUAUUGAAAAUAUUCAAAUUAGUAGUAAUUACGCAUUUAAUAUUUUGUCAAACACUCCCAUAAUAAAAGCAAGUAAUGGAAAUGAAAUCAAUGAAAAUUUUAAUACUUAUAUAUAGUUUUCAAAUUAUUAUACUAUAUCUUUUUGACAAUUGAUUUUGUAGACAAAUAUUUAUAUUGGUUGCAAAAUCCUUUUGUGUAUUUGAAUUUUGGUAAUUGAAUUUUCAUUUAUAUAUUCAUUUGGGUUAAUAAUUACAUGAAAGUGAGUUAUUUUUAUAAAUCUAACAUAUAAGUUUAUUUUUUUAAAAGAAUAUUAACUUGUAAAUUGGAAUAAAUAUAAACAAUGCAAAAUUAAUAAAGUAAUCUUGAGUUAAUUCAGAAUUUUCUAUAAGAUAUAUUCACUUUAUUUUCUUUAACAAUAUUGCUCAUUGAAUAUUUUAAAAGUUUUAUUUUCUUAAAUGUCACAUAGAUAUAUGUAUAUGUAAAUUUUGUAUUUUUUAAUUAAAAAAACUAUUUGUGUGUAUAAUAAUAUAUAUAUAUAUAUAUAUAAACAUUAACCCGUACAUCUCAUGGAUUAUAAACUAAUUAUAAAUAAAGAGUAAAGCAAUAGGCAAUUUAUAUGUACGGAUUUUUUUUUUUUUAAUUUUAGGAGCCAUGAAUUGGAACCCAGGACAAUUUUCGGUAUUGGUCCUAUAUCCUUGACAUGUUUUUAGCCCAAGUGAAAUUACUGGAAUAAAUUUCAAAAAUUAAAAUCAAAAGUAUCAAUAUAAUUAAACUUGAAGUUUAGCAAAAUUAGUUCAUACAAUUAUUUUAAAGUUUAGACAUCUAAUAAAUUUGAGGUUAAAUCGCUACUCAUGUGACAACUCUUUUUUUCAAUUAUUAAACUACAACCUCUUUUAUGAAAAAAUAUCAAUAUGAUUAAUAGGUAGUUAAGUUAAAAUAAUGAAAAUCAAGCAAAAAGUUAUUAUUGCUGGUCUUCAGUUGAAGAGCUUUAAUGGAAGUUUGUCAUAAUUUAUGUCGACAUAAAAACAUGAAAUACAUAUUUUUACAAUUUGUGGAUAGACUUGUUUUUAUUCAUUUAUUGAGAUUAACAAAUAAUCAUGAAUAAUAUUACAAGGUUCGUUAAUUAAAUGAACAUAUUGCGAACAUAAUAAAGCUCAUUCAUAUUUUGUUCGUUUACAUUUAAGUAUAUAAAUAGUUCAUGAACAUGCUUGAUUUUUGUUUAUUUAUUAAAUUUAACAAACAAUCACAAACAAUAUUUGGCUUCAUUAAUUAAACGAAUAAAUCACGUAUAUAACAAAAUUUAUUCAUAUUCGAUUGGUUUACACCCUUACCUUCUUUCGAACUAUCAAUUAAAGUAUAUAACAAACUACUAGUAAAAACACAAAAAACAAAUAGGACACAAUUUUAUAAAUUCCCUAUUUUCAAUGAUGAUGAUGAAUGAGAGGUUGAAUUUACAUGUGGCAUUUUUUUUUACCUUUUCAACAUAUUUUAUGAACUAAAUUAAAAAAAAAGAUUAUGAUCUCAUGAAAUGAAAUAGGAAAUUGGAUGGAUUAAAGAAUUUAAGAUUCCUCAUCUCUAUCUUAUACAAGACUUUUAAUUUUUAAAAAAGUCUCUCAAGAAAGAGCACACGCCAGAAACCUUAUCACACAUGAUAUACCAUUACCAACUACACCCGUUUUCAAUUUCAUCGAGUAUGUACUUAUUUUUAGCUUCAUUAAAGCUAUUAACUUUUUUGGGUAAUCCUUCAUUUCUUCUUAUUAGUGUAUUGUAUAGAAUAGAAGGAAUGAGAAAAAAAAUUAAUGGAUCAAGUGAAGACAUCAGAAGGACUUAUUGGUUAAUUUUAGGUGAGCAACAAUGAUCACCUUUAAUAGUUUUUCUUUGGGUGGUUUUAGUGGUUUUCCCAUUAACCCAUCUAAUCACCCAUACUUACACACACUCUUCCUCAUCUUCCCAGUAUAUUCCUUUUGUCUUUUUUUUUUGUUUUGAUCAAAUAAAAAGGAAAAGGUUUUAGUUGAAAAAGUAUGAGUUUUGUCGCAUCUGCAAGUUGUCUUCUUAAGUGUUUAAGAUGAAAGAGAAAACACACAUCUCAUGUAGAAUGAAUUCUUAGGUCAUUGCUUUUCCUUUUUAUUUUUUGUUUUGUUGUUUUGAGUUUUCAUUUUUUUUAUUUAAAUGUGACUUACUUUGUUCCUAUUAUUUUUGCUACAAAACUAAGUUCUUAGAUUUUGAACAAGAUCUUAAUCAAAUACUUAAAUUGUGUUAUGAAAGAACAAUUUGAUUGAUCUAAAUUUUUUUUGUACAUGUUGUUGGGAUCUAAAUGAGCAAAAUGGUUCGUCUUUUUAGCUUUUAUGAUUAUGGUAUACUAGUAGUGGUUAUAAACAAAUAUAUUUUGCUUUUUCCCAUUUGGAUUAGCUGUGUCUUCUCUCGGCCUAAUUAUAGUGUUUGUAAAAUGUAGUUUAGUAACAAAUAAUUGAGUGAUUUGUCAAAAAAAUGAAAAUGGAUAAUUAUGUCUUUGAAAAGUUUUUCUCUGGCUAGUUAUAGUUUUAAAUGCCAACAAAUUAAAUUUUGGUAUUUUUGAAGAGAUUAAGUUAUUCAAAAGCUCAAUGAAAACAGAAUCAUAGAAAACUUUACAUUUAAUGUGUGAUUGCUACUUUUUAUCCUGUAAGUGCAUAGGUCACAUCAAGUAAUAAAAUAAGUAUAAUAUCAUUCUCAUGAGGAUUAUAUGUAGGGUGUAAAACCAAGUACCAAAGGAGAAUCUUUCUAACUUUAUAUUUAAAUAGAUAAAGAAUUGAUUAAUUGUAAUUGAAAGUAAAGUAUAAUUAAUAAUUAAAUUGAUACUAACUUAAUAAUUAAAUAGAUUUUGGUAGAAAACAAAAACAAUAACACUGAAAUUCAAGGUGACAAGUUUCAAAUAGAUAUAUCAACAAUAACAUUUUGUCUAAAAAGAAAAAAAAAUUGAAUUCAUGGGAUUUCAUCUAAAGUAAACUUUAAAAUGAUAUAACUAAAUUCAUAGACAUAAUUUUUUUUCCCAAACUCUUGACAACUUAAUUUUUAGUGACAACAUUUUAUAACUUUAAUAGCUUUAAGAUGUCAUUCCCACCAACUAUUGAAUGUUAGCUUCAAAAUGUCAUUUUUGUUGCUUAUUGAAUGUUACCUAAACUAUUACAAAAAAUAUCAUAAAGAAACAUUUGGUUUUGAUGGAAGCUUUUUAAGUUCAAGAUGUAGACCCUAUUGGUUGUGUAAUGAAAUUCAAUUUAUGAGACUUAGGUAUAUAACACAAAAGAAAUAAGGAUUUAACCUUAUUUAAAGAUAACAUGUAGAUUUACUUAACCUAUGCAUGUAAAUCGAAAUUUUUUAAGGAAAUCAUAUUUGAUUAAACCUUCUAAUGACUUGAAUUUAUGGGUUGGAUGAAGUUGCUUUGUCCUAUGUAGUAAAAUGGCAUAUCAAAGAAAAUGUAUGACUUAUGUUUAAAGCAAAAGAUGGUAAAGUCUACUUUGCAUUUGAGUUCUAUUCAUUAAAAUAAACAUAGGAGAAAAAUAAAAGAAAAAUUUAAGCUAUUGAAUCCACUAUAAGCAUGUAAACUUAUUGGACUUAUUAUAAAAAAUGGUCAAAUUCUAACUUGAUUAAUGAAAACAACAUUAUGAUUAAACGGUUGAGUGCUUGGACCUUUUCGUUUUUUGGACUGAGUUUCAAAACAGCUAUUAAAUUUGCGCUUAUCACCAGUUUUAUCACUUUUCAUUUUUAAUCCUUUCACAUUCAUGAUUUUUGAAUCAUCCAUAACAUUAGAUUUUUUAGCGUCAUCUUCGUCACCUUUUAUAUAAGAAUCAUCAAAGUUGCUCACUGUUAAACUUUUAAAACCCAUUCAACUAGUUUUACCUGUUGAAAUCUUUUUUAUCUUAAGCAUUACCUUUAAAGAUUCUAUUAAAAGCAAUGUACCAUUCCUUUGUUUUAGCAGUCCAUGUUGACAACUUAAUUGCAUUCCUACUUAAUUCUUUAUAGCUAACUUAGGAUUUUUUCUUCUAGUGCUUCUAUUGAUGUCUCUUACACUUUCAAGCUUUACAACUUUCGUCCAUCUCUUUACAAUAUAUUUCUCAAAUACAAACUUGAUAUUUUUCGAGUUUAGCACCUUUAAGAUAUGAUAACAGAGAAUUCUCCAAAAUUCAAAUUUCAUGCAAGUAUAAAAAAUUGAAUUAUCUGAAAAGUUGAAUUUAACAAAAUGAUUUUGAUAUUCUUCAAAAGCAUCGAUCUUAUACUCAAAGAAUGAUUCAUUUUAACUAUAAUCUUCAAUAACCAGAUUGAAAAUUUUUUCAAAUUCUUCUUGAAACUCUUUAAAAACAUUAAGAAUGUAAACAUCUUUAGCAUGCCUUAAUGUGGUUGCAUUCACCUUCAUUAUUGGAAUGCGUUGACUUAUGUCAUAAUUAGAUUUUACCUCAUUGUAGCAUAAAUCAGCCACUAAUCUUUCAAAAUAAUUGAGGAAUCACACCAUAUUUAACCAUGAAGUUACGUAGUUCUUCAACUGGUUAUUGAAACUCUCACUUAGUUAAGUACUCUUUCUCCCAAUACUAAAUGUUUUCUUUUGAAAUGCCAUUGCCAACCUUUCUCUGUUCUCAAAAGUUUUAGCUAUCCAUGUAUUUUCUUAAAGAUUAUACUUGCCAAUCAUAUCUUCCCAUGCAUGAACAAACUCUUCCUUGUAUAAAAUAUUAUUAAUGCAAUACAAAAGCUCUUUAACUAAGGUGUUAUGCAUUUGAAAAUGCUACCUCAAAUGUCUUUUUACAUUUUCCCACAUGUGCCAAACGUAUAAUCAAUGAGUAGUUUCAGACAAUAUAUUUUUUACAGCUUUUACCAUUGCUUGAUCUUGAGCUAUAAUAAUAGAUGUUGGUUUCUAACUAGACAUUAUUUGAACAAAUGUCUUAAAAAGUCAUUCAAAUGAUUCAUUACGCUCAUCGUNNNNNNNNNNNNNNNNNNNNNNNNNNNNNNNNNNNNNNNNNNNNNNNNNNNNNNNNNNNNNNNNNNNNNNNNNNNNNNNNNNNNNNNNNNNNNNNNNNNNNNNNNNNNNNNNNNNNNNNNNNNNNNNNNNNNNNNNNNNNNNNNNNNNNNNNNNNNNNNNNNNNNNNNNNNNNNNNNNNNNNNNNNNNNNNNNNNNNNNNNNNNNNNNNNNNNNNNNNNNNNNNNNNNNNNNNNNNNNNNNNNNNNNNNNNNNNNNNNNNNNNNNNNNNNNNNNNNNNNNNNNNNNNNNNNNNNNNNNNNNNNNNNNNNNNNNNNNNNNNNNNNNNNNNNNNNNNNNNNNNNNNNNNNNNNNNNNNNNNNNNNNNNNNNNNNNNNNNNNNNNNNNNNNNNNNNNNNNNNNNNNNNNNNNNNNNNNNNNNNNNNNNNNNNNNNNNNNNNNNNNNNNNNNNNNNNNNNNNNNNNNNNNNNNNNNNNNNNNNNNNNNNNNNNNNNNNNNNNNNNNNNNNNNNNNNNNNNNNNNNNNNNNNNNNNNNNNNNNNNNNNNNNNNNNNNNNNNNNNNNNNNNNNNNNNNNNNNNNNNNNNNNNNNNNNNNNNNNNNNNNNNNNNNNNNNNNNNNNNNNNNNNNNNNNNNNNNNNNNNNNNNNNNNNNNNNNNNNNNNNNNNNNNNNNNNNNNNNNNNNNNNNNNNNNNNNNNNNNNNNNNNNNNNNNNNNNNNNNNNNNNNNNNNNNNNNNNNNNNNNNNNNNNNNNNNNNNNNNNNNNNNNNNNNNNNNNNNNNNNNNNNNNNNNNNNNNNNNNNNNNNNNNNNNNNNNNNNNNNNNNNNNNNNNNNNNNNNNNNNNNNNNNNNNNNNNNNNNNNNNNNNNNNNNNNNNNNNNNNNNNNNNNNNNNNNNNNNNNNNNNNNNNNNNNNNNNNNNNNNNNNNNNNNNNNNNNNNNNNNNNNNNNNNNNNNNNNNNNNNNNNNNNNNNNNNNNNNNNNNNNNNNNNNNNNNNNNNNNNNAAGGAAAAAAAAAGAAAUAAAAACUAAACCCAAUGUAAUAAAAAUUUUAUAUAAAUAUAUAAAAAUCAAAACUUUUGGUAAAAAAGAAAAAAGUCUAAUGUAGAAUUUCUAUUCUUUUGAUAUGUGGACAAUUUUAAAUAAUUAUCACGUGUCCUGCAUCUAAUAAAUAUACAUUCUUAAUUUAACAAAUAAUUUUAAAAAAUUAAUUGCAAUUAUUACUUUUAAAUAACUAAUAUUUACACCAUAUAUAUAUAUAUAUACAUACAUAUAUAUAUGGUAAUAUGUAAAUUUUAUGUGAAAGGAAUUUGAUAAUGAAGGCAAAUAUUUAUUUCCUUUUUUGCUAUGCAAAAUUAGUCAAAUUUUAAAAUCAUAGGGAUUUUUCCUUUGCCAUAAAUAAUUUAUGUUGGCUAUAAACACCAUCCUAUAAAGGUGAUUGUAGACAUGGAUUUUAAACUUAAUCGGCUAACUUUUUAUUUAUUUUAUUUUUUAUGCAAUAACCAAUGGGUUUUAAAACAUUUUUCUAUCAUUUUUUUAAUACAAUUUAAUUUUGUGCUACCUUAAUUUAUCCGUUUGUAGUAUAUUUUAUAGUAUAUUUCCUUGGUUUUAUAUAUUUUAUAUAUUUUAUAUUCUUUUUAUUGUUAUUUUUUACAUUAUUUUGAUUUAUCAAAUUGUUAGAUUAUUUAUAUCCUUUGGAUACUAUACAAUUUUUUUUGUAUGUUUAUUAGCAUAUCUUACUUUUUUCAUAAACUUAUUUUGUACUUAGGAAAGCUUGUUUUGUUAUUAACAUCAUCUCUAUAUUAGUGGUAUUUGUCAAUGAUUUUAUUUUUUAAACUUUAUUAUCAUCCUUUUCUAAUUUUUUUUAUGAAUAAAUGUUUAUAAUAUAUCUAUUAUCUCCCAUAUAUAAGAAAAGUUGUAUUUUGGAAAAGAAUAAUAUUUUUAAAAAGUGUGCAUUUUUUUUAAAGUGGGUAGUUUUUUUUUUUUCAAAUAAAAAAUAUAUACAUAUGCAUAUUUAGUUGUAUAUUUUUAUAUUUUAUUUUAUUUUGUAAUUUUUGUAAUUAAGCCAUAGCAUUAUUAUAGAUGAAAUACUAUUUCGAUGCGAAAUACUUUUAUAUAAUGUCCUUUAAUUCCAUAAGACCACGUUUUAAUUCAUAAAAGAAUUUGUACAAAUGUAUAUCUAAUUUUUUUUUUUUUGGCCAUUUUUAAGUAUGCACUAUUUAUAUAUAAAUAUCUUCAUAACCAAAAAGAAAGCAAGAGAGAAGAUUUUAUAUUUAUCUUUUUUAUUAAUUAUUGUAUUUAUUAUUAAAUUUAAAAACAUUAUGAGAUAAAAUUUUUAUUAUCUAAAUUGGCAUUAUUCAUUAGUGUUUGAAAGAGGUUUUAAAAACCAGAACCAACUAUUCAUGACAUAAACUAUUUUUAACAUUAUUUUUGUAACAUACAAAUUUACAUUUACAAUGAAAAAUUUGCUAUUAUGAAAAAAAAAGAAUUUGCUGUUAAUGAUGAGAAUUAAAGUUUUAUUAUCUUUUAUAUGAAUUUUAACUUGGAGUAAUUUAAGAUAAAUAACAAAAAAUAAUUUUUUAUUUAAUUAGUUAAAAAUAAUAAAAAUUGACUAUUAACAAAAUUAGAACUAAUUAUAUUGAAAAUAUUCAAAUUAGUAGUAAUUACGCAUUUAAUAUUUUGUCAAACACUCCAAUAAUAAAAGCAAGUAAUGGAAAUGAAAUCAAUGAAAAUUUUAAUACUUAUAUAUAGUUUUCAAAUUAUUAUACUAUAUCUUUUUGACAAUUGAUUUUGUAGACAAAUAUUUAUAUUGGAAUCCUUUUGUGUAUUUGAAUUUUGGUAAUUGAAUUUUCAUUUAUAUAUUCAUUUGGGUUAAUAAUUACAUGAAAGUGAGUUAUUUUUAUAAAUCUAACAUAUAAGUUUAUUUUUUUAAAAGAAUAUUAACUUGUAAAUUGGAAUAAAUAUAAACAAUGCAAAAUUAAUUAAGUAAUCUUGAGUUAAUUCAGAAUUUUCUAUAAGAUAUAUUCACUUUAUUUUCUUUAACAAUAUUGCUCAUUGAAUAUUUUAAAACUUUUAUUUUCUUAAAUGUCACAUAGAUAUAUGUAUAUGUAAAAUUUGUAUUUUUUUUAUUAAAAAAACUAUUUGUGUGUAUAAUAAUAUAUAUAUAUAUAUAUAAACAUUACCCCGUACAUCUCAUGGGUUAUAAACAAAUUAUAAAUAAAGAGUAAAGCAAUAGGCAAUUUAUAUGUACGGAUUUUUAUUUUUUCUUAAAUUUUAGGAGCCAUGAAUUGGGAACCCAGGACAAUUUUCGAUAUUGGUCCUAUAUCCUUGACAUGUUUUUAGCCCAAGUGAAAUUACUGGAAUAAGUUUCAAAAAUUAAAAUCAAAAGUAUCAAUAUAAUUGAACCUGAAGUUUAGUAAAAUUAGUUCAUACAAUUAUUUUAAAGUUUAGACAUCUAAUAAAUUUGAGGUUAAAUCGCUACUCAUGUGACAACCUUUUUUCCUAUUAUUAAACUACAACCUCUUUUAUGAAAAAAUAUCAAUAUGAUUAAUAGGUAGUUAAGUUAAAAUAAUGAAAAUCAAGCAAAGAGUUAUUAUUGCUGGUUUUCAGUUAAAGAGCUUUAAUGAAAGUUUGUCAUAAUUUAUGUUGACAUAAAAACAUGAAAUACAUAUUUUUACAAUUUGUGGAUAGGCUUGUUUUUAUUCAUUUAUUGAGAUUAACAAAUAAUCAUGAACAAUAUUACAAGGUUCGUUAAUUAAAUGAACAUAUUGCGAACAUAAUAAAGCUCAUUCAUAUUUUGUUUGUUUACAUUUAAGUAUAUAAAUAGUUCAUGAACAUGCUUGAUUUUUUGUUUGUUUAUUAAAUUUAACAAACAAUCACAAACAAUAUUUUAGCUUCGUUAAUUAAACGAAUAAAUCAUGUAUAUAACAAAAUUCAUUCAUAUUCGAUUGGUUUACAUCUUUACCUUCUUUCGAACUAUCAAUUAAAGUAUAUAACAAACUACUAGUAAAAACACAAAAAAAAAAAAACAGUCAAUUUUAUAAAUUCCCUAUUUUCAAUGAUGAUGUUUUCAAUGAUGAUGAUGAAUGAGAGGUUGAAUUUACAUGUGACAUUUUUUUUAACGUUUUCAACAUAUUUUAUGAACUAAAUUGAAAAAAAAUAUUAUGAUCUCAUGAAAUGAAAUAGGAAACUGGAUGGAUUAAAGAAUUUAGGAUUCCUCAUCUCUAUCUUAUACAAGACUUUUAAUUUUUUAAAAAAGUCUCUCAAGAAAGAGCACACCCAGAAACCUUACCACACAUGAUAUACCAUUACCAACUAUACCCGUUUUCAAUUUCAUCGAGUAUGUACUUGUUUUUAGCUUCAUUAAAGCUAUUAACUUUUUUGGGUAAUCCUUCAUUUCUUCUUAUUAGUGUAUUGUAUAGAAUAGAAGGAAUGAAAACAAAAAAAUUAAUGGAUCAAGUGAAGAUAUCAGAGGGACUUAUUGGUUAAUUUUAGGUGAGCAACAAUGAUCACCUUUAAUAGUUUUUCUUUGAGUGGUUUUAGUGGUUUUUCCAUUAACCCAUCUAAUUACCCAUAUUUACACACACUUUUCCUCAUCUUCCCAAUAUAUUCCUUUGCCUUUUUUUUGUUUUGAUCAAAUAAAAAGAAGAAGGUUUUAGUUGGAAAAGUAUGAGUUUUAUCGCAUCUACAGGCUGUCUUCUUAAGUGUUUAAGAUGAAAGAGAAAACACACAUCUCAUGUAGAAUGAAUUCUUAGGUCAUUGCUUUUCCUUUUCAUUUUUUUUUUUUGUUGUUUUGAGUUUUCAUUUUCUUUAUUUAAAUGUGACUUACUUUGUUUCUAUUAUUUUUGCUACAAAACUAAGUGCUUAGAUUUUGAACAAGAUCUUAAUCAAAUACUUAAAUUGUGUUAUGAAAGAACAAUUUGAUUGAUCUAAAUUUUUUUAUACAUGUUGUUGGGAUCUAAAUGAGCAAAAUGGUUCGUCUUUUUAGCUUUUAUGAUUAUGGUAUACUAGUAGUGGUUAUAAACAAAUAUAUUUUUCUUUUUCCCAUUUGGAUUAGCUGUGUCUUCUCUCGACCUAAUUAUAGUUUUUGUAAAAUGUAGUUUAGUAACAAAUAAUUGAGUGAUUUGUCAAAAAAAAUAAAAAUGGAUAAUUAUGUCUUUGAAAAGUUUUUCUUUGGCUUGUUAUAGUUUUAAAUGCCAACAAAUUAAAUUUUGGUAUUGUUAAAGAGAUUAAGUUAGUCAAAAGCUCAAUGAAAACAAAAUCAUAGAAAACUUUACAUUUAAUGUGUGAUUGUUACUUUUUAUCCUGUAAGUGCAUAGGUCGCAUCAAGUAAUAAAGUAAGUAUAAUAUCAUUCUCACGAGGAUUAUAUGUAGGGUGUAAAACCAAGUACCAAAGAAGAAUCUUUCUAACUUUAUAUUUAAAUAGAUAAAAAAAUUGAUUAAUUGUAAUUGAAAGUAAAGUAUAGAAAAUGUGAUAAUUGAAUAGCUAACUAACUGUCAUUUAGUAGCUCCAAAGGUAGAAUGAUUAUGUAAGAAAAUAAAAAUUAAAAAACAAAAAGCUUGUAAAAGAAUUUAAUAUUAUCUAUUGUAAAGAAGGCAUAAAACAGAGAUUUGAAAGUUUUUGAAAAAAAGAAAGAGUCUGGGUGUAAAUAAAAAAAGAGAUCUUAAAAUGAAAAUAGAAAGAGAACUUGUAUUAAGAAAUAGCUGUAGAAAACAAAACUAUGGUUACUCUGUCACCCUAACCAAGAAUUACGAAAGAAUUAGAAAAGAUUUAAGUUAGUCUAUCACUAUAGCCAAAUGUAAAUGACAAGAAAAAAACUUAGAAACCUAAAAAAAUCCUAAACUAAAGAGAAAAUAAUGGAAGAAGGGAUUCGUGAAUGCUUUACAAGUGAAGUUCAUGACCUAUUUAUAGUAUAAGGUUCAACCAAUGGGGUGAACCUAGACAUUCUUAACUUUGAAAGGUGAUCUUGAAAGCAAUUAAGGUCUAAUUGAUUGAGAAAUCUUUAUGAAUAUGAUUGAUCUUAAUUAGUCAAAUUUUGUCUUGCCUUCAAUACUUAUGUUGCCCUUUCUUCAAGUCAACAUAAUUUAUAAUUAAAGAAAGAGAUUUGAUCGAAUAUUAAAGACCAUACCUAAGUGAUUUAGCAAAUCAACAUUUAAAGACUAUAUCUCCUUGAUUUUGCACUAGUCAUGGGAUUCUUUAGAAUUUACAAAGACCAAUCUUGCAUUCCAUUUUAGCUUUGGCCAAAUAUCAUUUGGAUACUAUGGGUUUCUUGAUUUAUGCUAGGCUGGACAUGAUUACCACAUUUGCAUGGAUCACUUAUCUUUGCAUGCAUGGCCUCAUCUUGUCACCUUUGCAUGUUUUGCAUGGAUUUUAGCAUUUACAUUCAAAGUAAUUAAUUUUUUCAUGCAAACCUGAAAAUCACUAAUUUACACCGUUAUUAAACAAAAUUCAUGAAAAUUUUUAAAAUUUAAAGUCUCAAAUGAUAUGUAAAUAGCAAUAAAUUAUAAGGUCAUGACACCCCACACUUAGUUUUUUGCUUGUUCUUAAACAAAUUCUCAAGUUAUUAUUGCCAACAAUCACAAAGAUGCGUUCAUAAUUAACAUAUCACAAGUUAUCAAUCAUGCACUAUAGUAUAAUGUCAAGAUAGUUAUGAACAUAGUUAAACAUAAAAUUUAAUCAUAAGUAAGAUUUCAUUUUCAUGCAUUUUUCAUAUAUGUGUAAUCAAUCUGUCUUUAAUCUAUGUAUGCAAUUUAAGUAAAAAGUAUAUAAAAUAUGUCAUCACAUAUUGAAUCAAAGAUAAAGCAUACUUCAUAGGUUUACUUUUCUCAUUCCCUUUCCACUAAUGUAGGCUUAUAUACUUGAUUUAAGAUCAAUAAAUUUUUAUUGGCUUGUAAUGUAAAGUUAGGAUCAAGGUAAGAAAAAAAAAAUUUUAGGCUUAGAACCCUUUGCUUACUCAAAUUUGGAUUUGAGAACUUUUACAAGGCUUUUCAAGGUAAAGACAUCUUUGUUUUUUUUUUUUUUUUUUUUUCCAUAGCCAUUUUCGAAUUUUUCACUUUUUUUUUACUAAGCCAUUUUUGGCUUUUUUUUUUUUCAUAGCCAUUUUUAGCUUUUGUACUUUUUUUUCUUUUUUUUUUCUUUAUGCCUCCCUUACUCUAUGUAACUUGUUCUCUUAUUUUAUUCUUAACAUGCAUAAGCAAUAUGGUGGGAUUAGAAAAAGAUAGAUAAUUCAUAGAAAGGCCUUGAGCUUAUCAAUCUAGUUAAAUAACAAAGAAAAAAAAUAUAAAGGCUAAAAAAUAGGGUACUAAGGAUGCUUAUUUAUAGGUGGGCUUGAAAAAGACUUAAAUGGUUCAAUGAUGGCCUAAAUCAUUUAUUAAGUCAAACAUAGUCUAAGAUUUUGUCUCAAGGUUUAAGUAGGCAAAUUUUAAAGUUAUACUAAUGUCUUAAAUUUUUAUGCAAUUUUAUAUUCACAUGACUUUUCACAAAAAUUAAUGCAUGUCAAAUAUCAAGAUUAAAUUCACAUGUAUAAAAAUAAGCAAUCUAAAAAAUAACAUACUUAAGAUUUCAUUUCAUGUUUUUCCUACAUUCAUAUUUGUCCCAAGAUUAUACAUAUGUCACUCAUGAUUAACUUGUUAGAACUUAACUAAAAUUGCAUUAUUAUGAUUGAAGGCAUGUUAACUUGAUUUGAAAAUAAAAACUUUUAGGGUAACUUUUGAAAAGAUUUUGAAAUAGUAUUUUGCACAAAAAUUUUCCCUCCCCCACACUUGAAUUGCAUGACAUCUUAAUUAAAACAAUUAAAAAGUUAGGGUAAAGCAAAACUACUCUAUCUUUUCUUCUUUUAAGAUCGAAACUUGUAGACUUGCUUAGGAAUCAUUUAUUCAUCCUUACUCUAUAUUUAUCCUAAAACAAAUAAAACGAACAAACAAACCAAAUCAAUACAUACCUAUUCUAACAAAAAAAAAAAAGAAAACAAAUAAACAUAACUUAACAAUUAAUAUAAAAAUUAGGUUAUUUCCCAAGCAACGUUAGUUUUAGUCAAACUGGAUCAUACCUAAAUAUCUAAAAGGUUAUGUGACUACCCUACACUACAUACCAGCAUCCACCCACUUAAUAGUCUUACUUCUUAGUCUUUAUCAACAUUAGGCUCUAAAAGGUAAUAAUGCUCAAUUGUUAUGACUAGAUCUCCUACCUCUAACAAUGCCUUCAUUACAAAUAUACUACAGUAAGUGGGUACUGGCUUCAGUACUAGUGAAAGAGAUAUAACAAUGAAAAAUAUAUGGUUAGUCUCUUAGGUUAAAGGUUCCUCCAUGGGUGGCAUAAUUAGAGUGGGUGAUGUGUUCUUUUUUUUUUUUUAAGCUUGACAAUUGGUUUUUUGAAAGUUUAAGCACAUUUUAAAUAAAACAACCCUUAACAACAUGUUUUUCCACCUUAUUUAAUUUCAAAUCAUAAUCUUCAUAAGGUUGAAGAAUUGGCAAGGGUGGAUUGUAAGGCUCAGAGUCAACUUCACUAUGAUUAAUGUUAGAUUCAUCAAUAAUGUUCAGUAGAGUCGAUUUUACUUCCAUGACAUAAAAAUGAUCUCUCACUUCCAAUACCUCUUUGUCCACACCACCUUAACAAAUGCUGGUAAAUGAAUCACAAUGAGCAUUUUAUCAUUUUGCUUUUAUUUGGUCAUUCCCUCUUCAAAGCACUCAUCUUCAGGUCUUUUUACAAAACCCAACAAGUUAACUACCAUUGGUUCAUCCAUUAGGUCUUUAUCAUUGUCAUUAGCAACAUACACCACUUUUCAUUUCCUUUGAUCAUCCUUUAAUGUACAUUCCAUUUCACCUAACCAACUUGGAUCUACAUGGUCAUUAAGGUUUUCAAAUUGGCAAUCUAAGCUUUAAGGACGAUGGCUUGAUUUUGAAUUAAUCCUAUGAAAGUUUCAUCAAGGGCAGGUUCUGUUUGAGGAAGAGAUGAUGGGUCAUAUGAUGGCAAGUGUUAUGGUGGUGAAAAGUACUGAAAAGAUAAAAGGUACAUAUUAUAGUUAAAGGUAUAUAUAGAUGACUAUUUUUUAUUUCUCUCUUAUGCAUAACUAGGAUAAUCCUCCCUAUCUAGACUGUAAGUGUUUAGGUAAAAGUUGGAUUGAUUAUCUUGACAACUAUUAUUAUAGUAUUACACUCUAUAACUAUAACAAUUAUUAAAUAUGCUUUGAAUUGACUGAACAUGUCUAAGUUUAUGUUUUUUUUCAAGAGCAUCUACUUUUUAGUUAAAGAGGCUAAUUGUUAUGCUAUGACUACAGAGGGUUUUCAUUAUACAUUUCAAUAGUGCUCCAUGAUCUAAGGUCUUAAAAUGACAGUUAAAUGCAAGAAUACUCAUAAGAUGGCUUAGCAUAGUCCUCAAAGGUUCUGAUCUCACUAUAAUAAAAAUUAGACAUAUAGGAAGAAAAAUAAAGAACACACUAGAUCAAAAAUAAAAGUUUAAAUUACAAAAUAAAAAGAAAUGUUAUUGAUAUUGGUCUUCUAGCAUCGAUAUAAUCCUAAGCAACAUGCCAAAAACUUGAUUGUUACUUUUUAGGUUGCAAGUGCAUAAGUUGCAUUAAGUAAUAAAGUGAGUAAGUAGAGUAUCAUUCCCACAAAAAUUAUGUGUUGGGUACAGAGCCAAGAACCAAAGGAUAUUUUUUCUAGCUUUAUAUUUAAACAAAUUGAAAAGUUGAUUGGUUGUAAUUGAAAGAAAAGUAUUGAAAAUGUGAUAACUGAAUGUCAAGCUAACUAACUAUCACUUAGUAGCUUCAAAAGGCAAAACAAUUAUGCAAAAAAAUAAAAAAAAAUAAAAAACUUAUAAAAGAGUUAAAUAUUUCUAAUUGUAAAGAAAGUAUAAAAUAGAGAUUUGAAAGCUUAUAAAGAAAAUAAAUAGUCUAUGUGAAGAUAGAGAAAGAGAUUUUAGAAUAAAAAUAGAAAAAGAACUUGUAUUAAGAAAAAGCUGUAGAAAACAAAACUAUGGUUAGUUUGUCACCCUAACCAAGAAUUACAAAGGAAUUAGAAAAGAUUUAGGCUAAUUUAUCACCCUAGUUUAAUGUAAGUGACAAGAAAAAGACUUAGAAAAUUAAGAGAUUUUAAACUAAAGAGAGAAGAAUGAAGAAGGGAUUCGGAGUGAAGGUCAUGGCUUUUUUAUAGUACAAGGUUCGACUAAGGAGGGAUGAACCUAACAUUCUUAACUUUAGAAGGUGAUCUUAAAAUCAAUUAAGGUCCCAUUGAUUAAGGAAUCUUUAAAAAUGUGGUUGAUCUUGAUUAGUCGAAUUUUGCUCUUACCUUUAAUAUUUUUGUUGCCCUUUCUUUAAGCCAACAUAAUUUACAAUUCAAGAAGAAGAUUCAGCCAAAUAUUAAAGACCAUAUCUAGGAGAUUCAGCAAAUCAAAAUUUAUAGACUAUAUCUAUUUGAUGUUGCACUAAUCAUGUGAUUCUUUAAAAUUUACAAAAAUCACUCUUGUAUUCCAUUUUAGUUUUGGCCAAAUAUCAUUUAGAUCCUAUGGGUUUCUUGGUUCAUGUUGGACUGGACAUGAAUACCAUCUUUGCAUGGAUCACUUUUUCUUACAUGCAUGGCCCCAUCUUGUCACAUUUGCAUGGUUUGCAUGGAUUUUAGCAUUUAUUUUCAAAAUAAUUAAUUUUUUCAUGCAAACUUGAAAAUCAUCAAUUUACACCAUUAUUAAGUAAAAUUCAUGAAAAUUUUUAAAAUUUUAACUUUAACAUGAUUUGUAAAUACCUAUAAAUUAUAAGGUCAUCAAUGUGUAAUUGCUUUAGUUGCUUUUUAUUAUCAUUAUGCCAUGUGGUUUGUCUGACCUAUGUAAUUGCUUGACUUGCCUUUUAUUAUGAGUGUGCCAUGUGGUCUAUCCAACUUGUUUUGUGGAAAUUUUCAUCCUUUUUAUGAAAAGAAAAGGCAAUUUUCAUGCUUUUAGAAGGAUAUAUAUGUUAGAAUUAUUUUUAAAAUAGGUGAAAGAAUAACUUAAACAAGCAAUGAAGUAACAUAAGUCAAGUUUCAUGAUGUAAAACACUUAAGAAAGAAAACUUGUCUUAAUAGUGGUUGAUUACUACAAUUAAUGGAACCAACUGUUAUAGGCUAGGCAUAAGGAGCAGUCAAUUGCCAUGCACUUUAAAUAUGUACCAAAAUUUUUAUGAAUUUUGGAUUUAAUAUAACAGAAAACUAAUUGAUUCCUAACCCUUUUGCAAUCAACUGCUAUGGUUGGAAAUCAAACUAGUCUAUUGCUUAACUUAGAGGCAAUCGACUUCUUGAAAUUUGAAAGUCUUCUAUUUCAAGAAAACACAAAAGUAGUUGACUGCUAUAAACUAGAAUCGAUUGUUCUCAUGUGUGAAACCUUAUAUAUUUGCAUCAAAGUUGACUGCCUUAAAAGAAGCCAACGUAUUUUGGAACUCAAGGAGAUUGUUUCUGUAUUUUUGUUUUGAUGAUGGCAUAACAUGAGAGAACAUAGUAGGAAAGCUACAAAAUUGACACCUUGGGCUUGAAAACCUUUUUAAUGAACCUGAAAACCAGUCUUUGAAAGUGAAAGGAUAAUAAAAUUAAAGGAAAAAUUUUUUUGAACAUCCCAUAAAUUUUUUAAUAAAAUUAAUCUAAUGGUUAUAAACUUUAUAACCCUUUGCAUUCAAAUUCCCAAUGGCCAAAUUUAUUUGUAUCUUCUUUUCUUUUCUCUUUUUUGGCCAAAUUUUUUUUUUUUUUUUAGUAAUUAAAAGUAAAUACUUGAAUGACUUUUAAUGAUAUGAAUUUAUUAGCCUUCAAACAAAAGCCUAGCAACGACAACAAAUAUACUUAUGUACAAGUCUAAAUGCAAGAUGUAAAUAAGAAAUGGACAAAUUAUAUUUUAUUGAUUACAAGGUUUUUUUUUCUAUCUUUUAUCAUUUCAUUUUUUCUUUAAUGUUAUUUUGGUUAAUUUUUUAAAAGAAAUAAAAAAAAAAAACUCAAAAUUUUUUAUCACAAUUAAUAAUGAAGUUUAUAGAGUUCACAAGUUGAAUUAAUAAAGUAAUACAUACAAUAAAAAUUUUAAUAAUUAGAAAUAAUUAAAAAAUUAAAGCAUGUGACAAGCUGAUUGUGAGAACUAUGCAAUGAACUACAAAAUAACAUAUAGUUGUGAAUAUGUCCUUUAUAUAUUGGCAUAUAUGAAAAAGUAGAUGUAAAGCCAAUAUUAAUUAAAAUGAAUAAAGAUUGUGAAAACUGUGCAAUGAGCUUGAAAUGCAACUACAAAGUAUGGGAAAAUGUUGAAGAUUGAGAAAAUGGCUGAAGUAAUUAAAGAAAGUAAAGAGAAAAUUGUUAAAUGGAAAAGCCCUGAAUAAAGAUGGAUAAAGAUAAAUUGUGAUUGGGCUAUCAAAGAAGGAAACCAUUUGUGGGAAUGUACUUUAUGGAAACCUUUUACCUAGCUUCAUUUCAAACAAAUUUUCUUCUAUUUCCCAUUGGAAACAUCCUAAAGACUCAACCUUUAAUUACUUUAUAUUACAUCCUUUGAUGAAUUAGCUUCAAUCUUAAUCUAGGUUUUUGAAUUUUUGAUUGAAACAAAAAGAAAUCCCAAAAAAUGAAAAAAAAUUUUGGGUUUUUUUUUUCUAUGAGGUGCUGACUCGAAUAAAUAAAGUGAAUCAACUAAGGCUACAUUGGUUAAAGUAAUGAAUAGUAAAACAUGGUAGACUUGGAUCUGUAUCAUAACUACCCCACGAGCAGUUAAGCAAGGUAAAGAAAAUGGGGCCAAUAAAAAGUUGUUUUGGCAAUAUGGCAGCAAAAGAAAGUUUUUGAUUUGAAAAGAUUGGGCACACUCAUCAAGAUCAAAACACUUGCAAAUAUGAUAUUUUUAUUACAUAAACAUCAUGUUUGUACUUUUAAAUUUUUUUUAUUUUUACUUAAAUACAAUGUUUUUCAAAUCAAAUAUUGCGUUUCUGUUUAGAAAAAUGUUGUUUUGUUUAAUUUCUAUUUUUUCUAAGACAAUCACGAUGUUUUUAUUACAUUAAUGUACUCUUUUAUUGUAUAUUUUUUAUUUUUUAAUAAAAAAUCUAUAUUUGAAUUCACAUUUUGUUGGUCAAACACUCAUUAGAUUUAAUAAAAAUGACAUAUUUGACAUGUAAUGAAGGAUAUUAUUGUAAAAAAACUUUAUUAAGUAAUCUAACUUUCUCUCGAACCAAACAUAGGAUUCUUACAUUUUAUACCACAUAGAUCACCUUUGUAAGAAAUUCACGACUUUUUUUGAAAUCAUUUUAUUCUCCCGAAUGUAAGAUUCGGAUGACCAAAUGCCCACUUAAAGGUUUUGUUUCUUCCACCAGCUGUAUUCCCUACUUUAUCCUUUUUUAUUCUUUUCCUCAGUUUUACCCCGAAGAUUGGCCAUAAAACUUAGAACUCUCCCUGUCAAAAAGAAAAUGGACCCUGUCAUUUUUUAGGCUACCAUUUCAAGUUAGGCUUAAGCAUUUUACCAUGUUAUCCACUUUAGGGGUGUAGGGUUUAUUGCUUUUAUCUACAAGUUUUCUCUAUUUGGUUUUCUCUGGUUUUAUGUUGUUGCAUAAUGGGUACCCCUCUCACUCCGUGAAUGGUUCAGGCUUCAACAAUUCCUCACUAUACAAACAAAAUUGUUAAGUUAUCGUGAAAAUUAAAGUAAGAGGUUUUGAUAAACACUUUAAUCCCUUUCAUAUCUAGAAAAAAAGAUUAUAAGAAACGAUUACUCUAUAUUAGUAUAUGUACUUUCGUUUCAAAUUAUGCAAUGUAAUCACAUUAAAUGAAAAUCAACCAUUUAUUACGCAUCAUAUGUGACAAUUAAACAAUGAAUAUUUAUUUCAAUAGACUCAUACAUCAAUAUGUAAUAAAUAGUUGAUCUUUUUCAAUAAUAUGAUUAUGUGAUAUGAAUUGAGUGGAAGAGAUAAAUGUUGCCAUUGAGUAAUCGAUUCAUACAAUAUUUUCUCUUACUCUAGAUGGUUUUAAUUGUUUCAAAAAAUUGCAAAAUGUCAAGACUUUGACUAUCCUUGUUAUGGGCAAAGGCAGUGUAGGAAAGUCUUCCACUAUCAAUUCUCUUCUUGGGAAGCAAUUUGUUCGAGUCAUUGCUUUUCAGGUGAAUAUUGCUUUUGUCUGUUCUUUAACAUUCUUAGGUUAAUUCUUUUAUGCUAUUUUCAAUUUCAUAAGCUUGAAUUGUCAUUGCAUUUGUUUGUUUGCAAUCAUAAGGGUUGAGAUCUGUGAUGCUGUCAUGCUCUUGGGUAGGGUUUACAUAUAAUGUAAUUGAUACACCAGGACUUGUAGAGGCUGGAUAUGUCAAUCUCUAAGCUUUCGAGUUGAUUAAAGGUUCAGCACUUGAAUUAAGCAAUGUAAGUUAGAAUUUUAUUUGUUGUAUGAUAAAUUUAAUUUAAUUAUAUACUUCUCACUAAAUGAUAGUAAGAUUUUCUUUUUUGAAUUAGUUUUACUACAUGAUGCAAUUCAUUUUAGUUAAAAACAAAAUCUUGUAAUCAUCAUGCGUAUUUCUUUUGAAUAAGACUAUAGAUAUUUCACUUUAUGUUGACCGCCUAGAUGCAUAUAGAGUGAAUGACUUGGAUAAGCAGAUCAUUAGGGCUAUCACUGUUUUGGCAAAAAAAUAUAGCAUGACUUUAGAUAAAACUCAAAUCCGACUCAAUUAUUAUCGAAUUGAGUUCAAGCUCGAAUAGCUUAAUUUAUUGAGUGAGUCGAGUUCUAGUAUCUUAAUGCCUAACUCGAAUAGUUCACGAGCCUAAUCGAGUUUUUAAAUUUUAAUAUAUUUUAUUACUUUAAUUAAAAACUAUUAUUUUAUCUUUAUAUAUAUCAAUUCGAGUUUGAGCUCGAGUUCGAAUAUAUAAUCUAGCUUAAAAUUGAGCAUGAGAAUAUAGUUCAUUUUUUAUUAAACAAGCCUAAUCAAACGAGCUUAAAUAACUUGAUUUUUAUUUCGAGUCAAGUUCAAGUUUAAAAAUUAAAAUUUGAUCAAGUUCAAGCUAAGUUUUGAGCAACAAAAUUUAAAUCGAGUUUGAGCUCGAGCCUCUUAUUAUAUUGAUUCCGCUAUGUUUGAUUACAUCCCUAAUUUAGAUAUUUUGGUACUUCAAAUUUUUAAAAUUUGAUCUAAAUUCAAGCUUUAUUAAAAUUGAAGAAUCCAAAUUUUAUUGAAAUCGAAUUGAUUCCAAUUGAAUUUUACAAUUUAUUUAUUUAUUUUUAUAUUAUAUAAAUAAAUUUAAUUAUAAAAUAAUAUUUUUACUUAAUAAAAAUUUAAAAUUUAGAUAAAAAUUAAUUAAAAAAUAUAAUUCGAUUUGAUACAAACAUUUUUUAUUUUUUCAUGUCAUGAUUUGAAAAUUAAUUCAAACCGAAUUGAAAUAUUUCAUAUUUUAUUUGAAUCAAAUAGACAAUAUCCCGUUCGAAUUGAAUUAAAAAAAAAAAAAAACAAUCUGAUUCAAAUUGAAAUAUUGUGUAAACACCAAAUUUUGUCAAGAUCAAUUCAAACAUGAUUGAUUUUUAUGCUUAAGUUACAUGUUCAUAUUUGAGCCAAUUUAAACAUUAAAUCAAAUUAAAUUUAUUUGAGUUUAUUUGGUAUUAAUCAUUUUAAUUUUGAUUUUAUUAUUAUUAUUUUUUUAUCAUUUAGGAUUUAUUUAAUUAAUAAAAAAAAGUAUAAAAUAAAAGUUAAUUAAUUACAAAAAAUUAAUUAUCAAAUAAAAAUAAAUUACAAAAAAGAAAUAAAUUACAAAAGGGUAGAAAAACAGAACUAAAAAAACAAAUUGACGUGGUCGACAGUCACUGUAUCAAGGCAAGAAACUGCCUAAUUUUGGCCUUAACAAGCCAGGGUCCUGUGUCACGGGUCGAGACUUAAUCUCUUAACCCGCGCGGCUCCUAGACCCGAGCAUUCACCCUUCCGGCGUCCCAAAUCAGCCUGACUGCCACAGUUCACACCCUUGUAAGGUAUUAUUCGCUCUGACCCCCUUGACCUUACGGUUUUGUCCUACAAAAAGCGCCUCAUAAGGCAGAGGUGGUGUGAACCCUUUUAUACUCCAGUAACACUCUUAUUAUGUUCGAUGUGAGAUUCAUGACUCUUCCUUAGGUCCGUGACAUUCUCCCGCACCCAACUUCGUGACGCCCUUGUCACGGAGGCUGACCACCCUACCUGCCUCCCUUGAGGUGCUUGGCGUGAAUCGAACGAUUUAUGGCUGACUCUGAUACCACUUGUCACGGGUCGAGACUUAAGCUCCGAAUCGACGCGACUUCGGGACCCGGGCAUUCACCCUUUCGGCGUCCCGAAUCAGCCUUCCUGCCACGGUUCACACCCUUGUGAGGUAUUGUCCGCUCUGGCCCCUGACCUCACGAUUUUGUCCUAUAAAAGACGUCUCACAAGACAGAGAUGGUGUGAACUCUUAUAUACCCCAGUGACCUUCCUAUUAUGUUCGAUGUGAGAUUCAAAACUCCUCCUUAAGUCCGUGAUAUUCUCUCUCACCCAACCUCGUGACAUCCUCGUCACGGAGGUUGGCCACCCUACCUACCUCCCUCGAGACACUCGACGUGAAUCGAACGAUUUAGGGCUGAUUCUGAUACCACUUGUCAUGGGUCGAGACUUAAUCUCUUAACCUGCGUGGCUCUGGGACCCGGAUAUUCAUCCUUCCGACGUCUCGAAUCAGCCUGACCGCCACAGUUCACAUCCUUGUGAGGUAUUGUCCGCUCUGACCCCCUUGGCCUCACGAUUUUGUCCUACAAAAAAUAUUUCACAUGACAGAGGUGGUGUAAACCCUUUUAUACCCUAAUGACCCUCCUAUUAUAUUUGAUGUGAGAUUCAAUACUCUUCCUUAAGUCCAUGACACUUGCACUUCACCAGCCAACACCUUGUACACUGCCAGCAGCCACCAAACUUUGUAAAUUUUCUUCAUAAUAAGAAUUCAUAAAUUAAAAAGACUAAAAAAAAAAAAGGAAAGAAAAACAAAUGGGUUUAAACAUCCAUUUUUUUUCUGCAAGCACCAAGUCCCCCUCACCAGCCUAGCUUUAGUCCCUGUAUCUUUUUUCAUCAGCCCUUCCUCAACACCAAAACCCUUCCCCAGUGCCUAUCCAGAACCAAAGUCACGCCCUUCCCUGGUCACUCCCUUAACCGACACCAUCACUAAACCCCUUUAAACACCCUGACAAACCCUAGCUAAACACCAACCAAGCCUGUACACACCAACAGACCCCGACCAACCCUUUUGCACACAACCUACCCUAGCCUUUCCUUCGAGCACCAUUCACACCACACCAACACCCGAUUGACCCCUAUAGUUUUGCCUGCUUCACAGCCCCGGCACCUAAAACCCACCUCCAUCACCCAGCCUCAAGCACCAUUAAUCACUAACCCUCGCCAUCGGAACCCAGUACUGGCCCUCCAAAAUCUCCUCACAGAAACCUAGGUCCUUAAUAGCCAUCCAUCCACACCCAUGGAACCACCAUAGCCCCUGAACAAAAACCCAAGCCACCUUAAACAAACCCAGAACUAGUGCACCAACACUAGCCAUCCGCACCACCCUCAGCCUCCUACUCAACCAACCCCUAAGCACCAAACCAAAUAACCCCACAUUUGCCCUCCUACAACUGGCCAUAACCAAAAAUAAAAAAUAUAUAACAAUCUUCCUCGAAGGGAGGAACCUUAGUGCCCAAAGCCAUUUUAUAAAAAAAAUAGUUAGAUUCAACUGAUAAAAAAAAUGAGAUUUUCAGGCAAGGUCUCUAGAGGAAAGGAAGGUUUCAGGGUGGAGGUGUACAUAUUAAAAGGAAAGGGCAUUUGAAGCAGUGGAAAGGAAGCUUUUGAAGUAUGAAAUCACCGACUUUGAACCUAGAUUUAGGAGUAGACUCAUUUUUUGGAAAAAUCAUCUAGAAAACAAGAAGAGGGGCUUAAGGAGAUCACGUAGGUUAAUUUUGGGAGACGACUGGACGGCGAUUGAAGAUUAGUUUAUAUUUUUGAAGAGUUGAGAGAGUUUUUUUUUUUUUAAAUGAAGGUUUGAAAUGAAUUAAGAAAAAAAUUUAGUAUAUAAUUAAAAAAAAAAAAAGAAAAAGUUGAACGAGAAAACGCGACUCGGUAAUUCAGCCCCUGACCUAUUCAACUUGGACUUGCAGCCCACAAAUCAUUCUACUAGCCCAGCUACCUUGGAUCCGUUUUGGUUGCUGCACUCCAUUUGCUUGGGCUAAGUGAGUAGAUGACCUUGGGCUUCAACAUAAAGUUUUAUUUGGGUAAUUUUUAUUUAUACUUUUGGGCCUCUCAAUGAAUGGUUUUCACAUUGUUCAUGUUAAUAAAAUAUUCAUGAAAUAUGCAUGUUUUAAAAUAAUUAAUAAUGCUCAUGAAAAUAAAUAUUAUUAUUAAAUACUUGAAUAAAAAAUUAAAUAUAAAUUUUUGAUGAUGGGAUUUCAAAAAGUUUGAAUAGUGAUUUUCGAGAAUUUUGUAAGUGAGAAAAAAACUUCUAAAAAUUAUCAAAUUAUUAGAAUAUUUAGAAAUUCUUUUCAAAACAAAAUUUUUUAUUUUUUCUUAAUUUGAUUUUUUUAGAGAUAAAAAUAUAAAAUAUUUAUAAAAGUAUGCAUUUUUUAAGGAAAUAAAUUCAUUUAUAUAAUUGUAUUAUUGGUAAUUUUUUAAAUAUUAAUAAUUAUUAAAAAAAUAAAAUCUUCGAGAAUGAUAUUUUAAAUAAGUUCGAGUAGUGAUUUUUUAAGAAUUUUUAGACAAAAAAAUCUAUCUAAAAUGCUAUCAAUAUAUUGAAGUAUUGAGAAUAAUUUUCGAUAAAUUUUUUUUAUCUAUUUUUAAUAAAUUGAAUAAGAAAUGAAUUUUUUUAAUAUUAUCAUGAUUAAAUUAUAGUUAUCAUAUCUUAUUACAUGUAUAAAUCUUGAUGAUAAAUAUGAAACACUAAGGUUGAGAUAUUUAAGAAGUUCGAGUAAUGAUUAUCAAAGAUUUCCUGGAUGAGAAAAAUUCUUUCAAUAUUACCACCAUAUUAAAAUAUUUUAAAAUUUCUUUCAAUAACAGGGUUUUAAUAUUUUUCUCAAAUAAGAAUAAUUAAACAAAAUUAUUAAAAUUAUUACAAUAAAAAAACAAAGAAAAAAAGAAAAUUAAUUUAAAAUACCAAAAUUGAGAUCUUUUAGUUAAAAUUAAAAGAUAACAUAUAAUUAAUUGAAAUUAUUUUAAAUGGAUACUAUAAAUGUACUAAUUUUUUUUGCGUAUAAUUGACUAUCGAAUCUAAUUUUUUUUCAUAAAUAUAAAAAAUUAUAUUUUUAAUAAAUUUUGAUUAAUUUUAAAAUUUUAUUAAAAUGAUAAAUUUUAAUGGAUCAUCAAUCACAUCUAAUAAAAAUUUUAAUUAUAACUUUUGUUUGUUUUUACAUUUAUCCUAACAGUCCAAAAAAUCGAUACAAUAUUUGAAUGAAAAAAAUUGAUCUACAUCAAUUUUUUUUCAUUUUUCCUAUAGCCUUAUAUGUGAGGAUGGAGGUUACGUUGCAUAAAAACCAUGAUGUGCUUCAAGCAUAAGCCGUGCCUUAAUAGAACUUAUCCUCCGCCAACCUAUGAUCCCAAAAGGCCACUAUUUCCACCCACCUAUGCAACCCAUCUCUUUCUGUUUUGUUCUUUAGGCUCAUAAAAGUGUUAGGAGCAGCUAUGGAUUACCAUGACGGCCCCACCACCUCAGGCUUGGUAGCAAUACAAUACAGUUGUUUCACCUUUUCGCUGCGUGGAUUGCGGGGAUCUGCGUGGGUAAAAGUGUUUAUAAUUUGAUUAAAAUUAAAUUAAUCAAUUGAAUUAAAUUAAUUUGAUUAAUUAAUUUAUUAUUAAAUUAAUUUUGAUUGAUUAUUUAUUAUGAUUUUUAAAAAAAUUUAAUUUUUAAUUAAUUUGAUUUGAUAAUUAAUGUAUCAAAAUAUAACAAAACCUUAUAUAAAACUAAACAUAUAUAAGAUAAUUUAAACUUAAUAUUUUGAUUUUGAUAUUUUAUUGGAUGAUUUUAUUUAAUUUAUUUAAAUAUAAAAAAUUAAAAAUAUAGUUUAACUUGAAUAUAUUUUUAUUAUUUAAUUAAUAAAAAAUUAAUUAAAUCAAUUAAAUUAAUUUUGAUAAAUUAAUUUUUGAAAAUUAAUAAAUUUAAUUUAAUUUAAUUUUAUAAAAAUAAAAGUAAAUUAUUUUGAUUUGAAAUUAAUCGAGAUGACAAGAAUGUUUGCGCACGUAUGGUACAAGCACGUAUGUUAAAUUUGUACCGGAGAACCUGUGUUGGGAGCAGAGGUUCGAAGAUUUUAUAAGCUACGGAUUCCAUUUGUGUCGAUUCUAACAUGUAAUGAUUAAGUUCACAUCCUAGGCUGUUGAUUCUAACAUGUAAUGAUUAAGUUCACAUCCUAGGCUGUUGAUUCUAACAUACAAUGAUUAAGUUCGCCAUAAUAGGCUGCAUACACGCACUUUAAGCACUGUAAACCAACCAGGUUUCAUUAAUCAUUGCCACUGCAAAUGUGGUCAAAUUUAACUGCUACUAUCAUUGGUUUUUGAACAUUUUUUUGGAUGAAGAUUUGGAAAUUUUGAGCCACCAAUGUCACGGAAGAUACAAAUAAGCUUAAAAAUUAAAUUGUACGAAAUUGAGAUGUAACAAAAUUUUUGAGAUUUUCAAAUAUUUUUUAUGUAAAAAGAUGUAAUUUGAUGAUAGAAAAAAAUUAUAAAUUAUAAAUUAUAAAUUUUAAAAUUAUUAAAUAUAAUUUUUAAAAAUAAUUACAUAAAAUUAUUUCGGGUAUGAUAAUAUUUUUUAUUUAAAAUUAAAAUGAUCAAACGAUUAAGAUUUAAGGGUAGUUAAAAUUAAUAAUUCUACAUCAUACCAAAUUAGUCCUUUGACACGGAGUAUGACUAAAAUCACAACUUCAUAUAAAAAUUUUUUAAAAAUAAUUAUAUAAAUUAAUUAAAUCAAAAUUUGGAUUUGGAUAAUAAAUUUUUUGUAUAUAGCAUAAGCAUAGCCCAUUGAAAAUGGAGGAAUGUUUUGAUUUGAAAUCAAAACUUUUAAUUCUUUCUAAGAGUUUUUUAAUCACUAUGUCAAAAUUUCAAAAAAAUAAUAUUUUUUUAUAUAAAGGAAUCAAUAAUAAUCAUAGAGGGUAGUAGUUUUUUUUUUUUUUAACAAAAUAAGCUAUAAUUUAGAAAUAAAAGAAAAAAGUAAACAAAUUAAAAUUAAAAUUUAUUAACAAAAUAAUCAUAGAGGGUGAUAUUCUUUUUAACAAAAGAAGUUAUAAUUUAAAAUUUUAAAUUUAUUAACGAAUGAAAUCAACAAUUUUAAACAUGGACCAUGAUGAUACGAUACAAAGAUACGAACAAAGAGCUUGAUACGGUAUAAAAAUUUUACAAAAAAAAAAAAAUUUAUUUUUUAUAUUUUGACGUGUGAAAUUAAUUGUGAUGUAAUAAUUUCGUAUUUUAUACGUGUCUGAUAUAAGAUAGAUAGACAAAGAUAUAUGAAUUGUCAUAAGGAAAGAGUAGUUUUUGUGAAAGCUAUAAUUUGUUGCUAUUGUUGCAGUAAGCAAGAAGCAAAUGUCAUACUUGAGUAUCUGUCAAUGGUAUCCAAAUUAAUAAAGGUGCUGAUGACAGAACAUGAAACUAACAUGUAACUAAACUCUGCAGAUAUUUUUGUUUGGGUUAUGUCUUCCACUGUAUGUCGUGCACUUCAUUGAUAACCCCUUGAAUAUCUGUGAUUUUGUUGCUGCUGGAGUUUGUUUUGUGUGGCAUUGUCAUAGCGUACUUUGAAGAUACACAACUGCAUAACUUUGUCACUUAGAAAUAGCAAGCUAAAAGAGCUUGGAAAGCCUUUGGUCCCUAAUCUUGACCAGGGCUUGUGGCAGUAUUCGCCAUCCGAAACUAUUUUGGGGAGAACCUGUGGUGGUGGGGGCUGGUUGUAUUUGCAUGGAACCUGGGACAUGGAUGGACCUUUGUCGGGCCUUUGAUCAUAGCAUGUGUUUAGCUUAUCUACCGUGCUUGUGGAGCGGCGGAUGUUGAAACAAGAGUAAAGAGCUGAAGCAUACAGGUUAUAUCAAAAAGACAACCUCAGCAUGUGUGCCUUGGUUCAGAUCUUCUGCUAUAGCAGUGAAAGAUAAGAUUCCUGAUCUGAUGUUUGUGUUGGUCUAAUGCUUUGUUAUCCUGUCUUGAUGUGGCCAGCACUUUUGAUGUAUUCUGCUGUCUUUUGAGAGAAAAUGGUUGUUGUCUAUGGUAGCCAAAGAAAAUCAGUCUAUGAAAUCAUGUAAAUUCUUUCUUCAUUUGCUAUAAAACACUUUUUCUUGUCUGAUUUUCUCGUACGUUUAUAACACGUAGAUCUGUAGGUCAUAUCAAACUUAGAGCCGGGGGCAGAUCCACACUCAAAAAGUAAAGUGUUCAUGGACACUCCAAAUAUCAAAAUUUUUCCAUCAAAAUUUUUUCGUCGACAGAAUUGAUAAAUCCGUUGUAGUUUUUUAUAUGGUAUAUAAAUAGACACCCCCGAAAAACAAUCUUGGAUCCGCCACUGCUUAGAGCAAGCUUAUAGUUGCAUGAAUGGCCGAAGCAAAUAUUUGGCUAUAUAGAGAUUUAAACUGGUGUUUAGAUGGUUGUUUAGGAUGCUCAUGAUCUCUGCAUCUCUCUGUUUGGAUGCCAGUCAUCUUGUUUGCUUAUGUGAUUUUUCAAACAGCAAAAAACAUCGCAUCCUAGGCAGAAAGAGUGAUUGAUUGAUUGAUUAUGGGUAUUAUAUUUGCUCUUGUUACAAAGCUUGUAAGUAGUUGGAGUUGGGCAUCCUGUUCUAUUCCAUCAAUAGGUUCGUCUCACAGGGCUGAUUCAAAUAAUUUUAUGGAGGAAUAUUCUUACAAGUAAACAAUUAGCUAGAACAACAAAAAUCUUGAUUUUCAUGGUUCAUGUGCAAUAAAAAAAGUGUUGUUACAGGUUUUCAUUCUCUCUUUUGGUGUAGAAGCAUCUGCAAUAUCAUGUUUACACGACACAUGUAUAAAAUAUGAAAAUUAUCAUAUUAGUAACAUGUCAAAUGCAAAAUACAUUUUUUUGGUUUUUAUCGAACUCAUAAAAUUUUUAUUAAAAUUUUAAAUUGUAUUUUUUCUAUCACUUUUGUAUUUUGUUUAUAAUUAUUUGAUCUUAAUAUAAUAGAAAUCCCACAAGCAUAUCGCACAUAAUGAGGAAAGUUUUGCAGAUCAAGUUGCAACUGUAUUGGAAACAAAACAAACUUGUUUUAACAAUGAAUACCGUAUGUUUAAAAUUCCGCAUAUAAUUAAAAUUAACACUUAAAAAUUAUGAGUUUAAAAAAAUUUAUGCACGUAAUAUUUUUUUUAAUCAAAUAAAUAAUAAAAUAAAAAGAUUUAAGGGUAAAUUAAAAAAAAAAAAAAAAACUGGGCAAGCUCAGGAAGAGUUGGGAGAAGUUAAUUUCUCUUGAAAAUUAGCUUUUGUGGAUUCAUGGCUGACUACGUUCUCACUUGGCGGCAGGUUCUUAACUCCUAAGUACGGACACAUCUGAAUCAAUGUGCACCCGUGUGGUAUUCGUGCUUGAUAUUUUGACACUUUUGAUACGUUAAAAUACGUAUCAAACUUGGCCAAAUACAACAAUGCGGGUAAUGGUACUCUAUAUUCAUUUAUUGUCGUAUCUAUCAUUAAUUUUCCUUUAAACCUGUCUAAUUGCUAUUAUACAUUUUUACCUGUUAAUUAUAAUAUAUUAAAAAAUAUUUUUAUUAUUAUCUCAUGUUAUAUUUAUAUCUUAAUUUUUAGAUAUUAUUGUAUUAUUAUUUUCAUAUCGUAUUAUGAGUUAUUACUUGUUUAUAGAUCUGACAAUUUAAAAUAUAACAUAAUAACAUGAUAUAAAAAUGAUAUAAAAAUAAGACACGAAUGUGAUACAGUUUAAAAUUAUAAUAAUAAUAUAAUAGUNNNNNNNNNNNNNNNNNNNNNNNNNNNNNNNNNNNNNNNNNNNNNNNNNNNNNNNNNNNNNNNNNNNNNNNNNNNNNNNNNNNNNNNNNNNNNNNNNNNNNNNNNNNNNNNNNNNNNNNNNNNNNNNNNNNNNNNNNNNNNNNNNNNNNNNNNNNNNNNNNNNNNNNNNNNNNNNNNNNNNNNNNNNNNNNNNNNNNNNNNNNNNNNNNNNNNNNNNNNNNNNNNNNNNNNNNNNNNNNNNNNNNNNNNNNNNNNNNNNNNNNNNNNNNNNNNNNNNNNNNNNNNNNNNNNNNNNNNNNNNNNNNNNNNNNNNNNNNNNNNNNNNNNNNNNNNNNNNNNNNNNNNNNNNNNNNNNNNNNNNNNNNNNNNNNNNNNNNNNNNNNNNNNNNNNNNNNNNNNNNNNNNNNNNNNNNNNNNNNNNNNNNNNNNNNNNNNNNNNNNNNNNNNNNNNNNNNNNNNNNNNNNNNNNNNNNNNNNNNNNNNNNNNNNNNNNNNNNNNNNNNNNNNNNNNNNNNNNNNNNNNNNNNNNNNNNNNNNNNNNNNNNNNNNNNNNNNNNNNNNNNNNNNNNNNNNNNNNNNNNNNNNNNNNNNNNNNNNNNNNNNNNNNNNNNNNNNNNNNNNNNNNNNNNNNNNNNNNNNNNNNNNNNNNNNNNNNNNNNNNNNNNNNNNNNNNNNNNNNNNNNNNNNNNNNNNNNNNNNNNNNNNNNNNNNNNNNNNNNNNNNNNNNNNNNNNNNNNNNNNNNNNNNNNNNNNNNNNNNNNNNNNNNNNNNNNNNNNNNNNNNNNNNNNNNNNNNNNNNNNNNNNNNNNNNNNNNNNNNNNNNNNNNNNNNNNNNNNNNNNNNNNNNNNNNNNNNNNNNNNNNNNNNNNNNNNNNNNNNNNNNNNNNNNNNNNNNNNNNNNNNNNNNNNNNNNNNNNNNNNNNNNNNNNNNNNNNNNNNNNNNNNNNNNNNNNNNNNNNNNNNNNNNNNNNNNNNNNNNNNNNNNNNNNNNNNNNNNNNNAAGAUCGAUCUUUUAAAAAAUAUAAUAAAAAUCGAUUGAUUUAUUUUUAAAAAUAAAAAAUAAUUGAAUUGACAAAAGGUGAUCGAAAAAUCAAAUUUUGAAUAACUUUUUGUCAUUAAUUUUGAAUAAUUUGUAAUAAUUUUUACCAAAUAAAAUUUACUUUAUAAUUUUAUCAUCAAUAUUAUAUUUGUUAUUUUUAUAAAUAUAAAUUAUUUUAUCUAUAUUUGAUUGAUUUAAUUAUUAAUUUAAAAAUAAUAACGGGUCAAAUUAAUUCAUUAAAUAAUUUUAUCUAAUAAUAAUUGUCAAAAUUAAAUGAAUUAAAACAAUUCAAUCGAAUUUAAUUGAUUUUGAUUAAUCAAAUCAAUUAGAAACGAUUUAUACUCACUUUUAUUUAUUGGUAUAGUAGAAUCAAAAUUAGAAGCAUUUGGUCUCUUUGGGUUGAGUGGUAUAUUGAAUUAGAUGUGAUAAUUUAAAAUAUAAUAUAAUUAUAUAAUAUAAAUAUGAUUUAAAUAAAAAUUUAAAUUUAAUACAAUUUAAUAUUUUAAUAAUAAUUAUAUAUAAAUUAAUAAAUUUUAAAAAUAUAUUUUAUAUUUUUAUAAUUUACCACGUAAAUUAUUAUCUAUAAUUUUAUAUAAAAUAUGAUAUAAAUUUAUAAAUUUAAACGUAUAUAUAUAUAUAUAACAAACACGAAUCGUCGUGUCUACAGUAAAGGACCAAAGUUCAUGUCUACAUUAAACCAGAAAUUCACUAGUUAGUGAGUUGGUCCGGGCCUGAGUUAGUAACGAGUACUGUUUUCCCACUAAACGGGUCAUCCAUUUCCCAAAAAAUAAACAAAAAAGCAAAUUUCAUUGCUUACCAAAAUCCAGUGUUUUAACAUUCUCCGCCCCGCCUAUCUUCUGUUAUUUCUUUACUUCCCCUCACUGUGUCAAAAGAAUCUAACGCAACCAAAGAAUCUAACGCAACCAAAGAAUCUACCACUAUUCAUUUCUCUGUAAGACUUCAUAUCUUCCCACAUGCUUUCGUUUUUAUUUACUUUCGCAGUUUUUCAUUUACAUUUUCGUAAGUUUUAUAUGAUAUUUUUGUUCUAAUUCUAGACUCUGACAACAUUAAGCAUUUCUAGUUUUCUUGGGUGUUUUAUGGUUACCCAUCUGAACCUUGAUCUGAAUGCACGUGUCCUACAGGUGUUUCUGUUUUUUAAUAAAGUAAAAGGGUCGUCGGACAGUCCAUGAAAAAUCACUCUUAGUUUUGUCUUUGAUCUCAAAGUUGGUAAAGGCGGUAAAUGUAGACCUGGCAAUUCGUGUAUCAUUGUCAUAUAUGUUUCAUUUCGUGUCAAACAUAUGUAAAAUGUGAAAAUUAUCGUAUCCAUGUCUGACAUGCCAAACUCAUAUAUGGUUUUUAUCGAAAUUUUAGACCGAGUUAUGUGUCAUAUCAUUAUAUCUUGUCAAAAUUACUAAGUUUAGGUAACUGUUAACGGUAAUUGCUUGUUCUCCAAGAAUUUUUUUAGAAUGUUCAGGACCCAUCAUAUGUAGGCUUGAACAGAUACUGAAGUCAUUAGGUUGAUAAACUAUAUUAAUAUUUGUAAUUAGUAGGGUAGGGGGUUUAUUUUGCUUUAAUGGGGAUAUUAAUGUUUAAACUGAUAGGUAUGUACUGUUUCUAAUUGUUCUAAUUAAAUGCUUUAUUUUGUUUGUACUCGAAGUUGAUGAUAUGGCUGGAGUGGAGCAGAGGCAGAACAAGUCUGGAGGUGGUAAGUAUUUUUUUUGCUCAGGUUGGUUAGAUUUCAUUAGUAAUGUGCCAUAAAGGUGUGGCGGUUUCUAAUUGUGUGGAUGUUUUGUUGUUGUUGUUGAUUUUUAGGAGGGAAAAAGAAGGAAGUGAAGAAGGAGACUGGUUUGGGUCUCUCCUUUACCAAGGAUGAGAAUUUCGGGGAGUGGUACUCUGAGGUGCAAUGACUUAGUGCCUGUUAUACUAUGUUAUUGAGAUCUUAGUAUCUUAUUGUUAUAUCAUCAUUUUGGCUUUUGUAGGUUGUUGUCAAUGGUGAAAUGAUUGAGUACUAUGACAUUUCUGGCUGUUAUAUUCUGAGGCCAUGGGCAAUUUCAAUUUGGGAGAUCAUGCAAGUGAGUCAUAUGAUGUUUAUACUCAUAUUGCUCUUUAAAUGUAAAUAAGAAGUGUUUAUUAAUUACAAGGAAAAAAAAAUUAUGGAUUUCAUUCCUCGAUCUUUGUUUUCUUUCUAUUUCCUUUCAUGGUUAACUUAUCCAUGGUGUUAAACUGUAGACAUUCUUUGAUGCUGAAAUCAAGAAAAUGAAAGUCAAGAACUGCUAUUUCCCUCUCUUUGUAUCUCCAGGCGUUUUGCAAAAGGAGAAGGAUCAUAUUGAGGGUUUUGCUCCAGAGGUGAGAAACAAUUUUUUUUUUUUUGGCAUAAUUGACCUUGUGGAAUGCUUCGCAGCUUGAAAGUGUUGGUUUCUUUUUUUAUCAAACUUUUUGAAGCCAUUUGAAACUCAUUUUGUUCCUAAACUUUUUUGCCCUGUUUUCAAUGAUUUACUUCAUUUUGUGGAAAUCCAUAGUUUAGUUUCUAUCUAGGGCUCAAAUUGGAGAAAGUUUUUAUCUAGGGCUAAAUUUGGCAAGUUCUUCCUCAUUUGAGCAAGAUACUUUCAUGAAUAUGCUGAAAAAAUGGCAAUAUUUCGAUGUUUUUAUACUUUUUAGCACUGGACUUAUGCAACACUUAAGUUUUAUGCAUUCUUUUACUAGAAAUUUUAUGUGAUCUAAUGAAAAAAUGACAUGUGAAUGGCUUUGGGAUCCUGGUUUAAUCAGGUUGCUUGGGUGACCAAAUCUGGGGAGUCUGAGUUAGAGGUGCCAAUUGCAAUCCGCCCACUAGUGAGACAGUUAUGUAUCCCUAUUAUUCUAAGUGGAUUAGAGGACACCGUGACUUGCCUUUGAAACUUAACCAGUGGUGCAAUGUCGUUCGAUGGGAAUUUAGCAAUCCCACACCAUUUAUCAGGUAAUUGUCUUAAAAUUGGUCAACUUUAGCUUUUCCGGUGUUAUCCUGCAUCCUUUUCCCCCCUCACCUUUUCCGGAUGGGAUAUGGUAUGCCAUACAUGUAAUGAGAUGUUAAUUUUCGUAAAAUUUUCUAAUCUCGGUUCAAUUUUCUUAUCCUUAGUUAUUAAUGUUUACAGAUGAGAACAUUAUUUUCUCAAUUCUUUUGAUGCCAAGUUAGAAAAUUAAUUUAAAAUGAUUUGAUGAUAGAUUGGUCACCACUAACUUGCUUCUUAAUUGUAGGAGUCGUGAAUUUCUAUGGCAGGAAGGGCAUACUGCCUUUGCAACAAAGGAAGAGGCAGACACAGAGGUAGCAUAGACUUAAAAUUUUUACCUUUGAUCAACAUUUCAACCUUAGAGAGCUGAAGUUUGCCCAUUGUUCUAUUGGUGUACAAUGGAAUAGGGAAGGUUAAAGUAAAUAGAAAUUUUGCAUGGCUGAUCCUUUUCUUUUUCAUAUUAUCUACAAUUAAAUUUUGGUUUAAAAUGGCAUUUUGCCUCGGAAUUGCCGAAUGAAGUAUUUAAGUAAGCAUUUCAGAAAUUUCCCAUGUGAUCUUAUUUUGAAUAAUUUCAAUAUUUUGUUGGUUUCUGUGCUGUGUCAAAAGUCAAAGUCAUAUUUCAUUGCUGUUACAGAUUUCACUUGUCUUGCCUUUUGAAGUAUCAUUGAAGGAUGUGCUAGAUCCUUAGAACCUUUUAUGUGUGUCUAAAUAUGGUUUUGUUGGUGAAUAUAUUAUGGAAGGGGGACUGAGGUGGCAAAAAUGACAUGCUGAGUUAUAUGUAUUUAUUGUUGAAAUACUUUGUGCUUGGUAGAUUUUAGACUUUAGUUCCUACUUCUAAUCACUCUUGCAAUAGUUGUACUGGCUUCUCAUUUUCACAUCCUUUGCGAUAUCUCAUGCUGUUAACUAAACAGGCAAAAAAGGGACUUAGUAGCCAAUAACAAUGGUAGGGAUGUCAGCCGGGUCUCUUUACGUAUGUCCUUAAAAUUUUGUUAUAUUUCAAGGUUCUUCACAAAAUUGGAACUGUACCUCGAUUGUAUACUUGAAGAAUUCUUGGCUAUGUCCUGUUCACAAAAAGGCACGCGAAGAGUGAACUAGACGACGUAUUGGCUGGUGCACUUUACAACAACUAGUUGGUCGAGGUAUGGUAUAAACUAUUAUGCAAUAUAUACAUGUAAUAACAAUCUCUACUUAUUGGCAUGAACAACUACCUUAAAUUGUCUGCUUGCUCAAUGUGCUUUAAUAUAAAUUGAGGAACUUUUAAUCUGUUCAUAAUAUGAUAGGCAUUUAUAUCCAAACACUGGCGUGGUAUUCAGGUGCAACCUCCCAUUGUCUGGGCCAAACUUUGCAAAAAUGUUUGAGAUAUAACUUUGAAAAUGAAAAGGGGAGAGAAGGGUAUGGUCUGGCAGAAUUCCUGGGCGUAUAGUACUCGAACGGUAAACUUUUUGUCUCUUUACUUAGAACAUUCUUAGCAUUUAUCAUUUCAAGUCCUUUGUCAUGCUAUCCCUACCAUUUAUGUUUUGUGGUUUUGGGUGAUUACAUGGGGUUGGAAUCCUUAACUACCAUAUAAUUCCCUUUCUAUUCUUUUCUCCUUAUUCCUGCUACUCUGCUUAUGUUUUCUACUGUUUUUCAAAUUUUCUCAGAUUGGGGUAAUGGUUAUGGUUCAUGGGGAUGACAAAGGUUUAGUGCUGCCUCCAAAAGUAGCAGCUUUGCAACUUAUUGUGAUUCCUGUGCCUUACAAAGAUGCAGAUACUCAAGGUAUUUUUGAUGCUUGUGUUGCCACUGUGGCAACCCUCUCAGAUGCUGGCAUUCGUGCUGAAGCUGAUCUUAGAGAUAACUACUCACCUGGUUGGAAGUAUUCAAACUGGGAAAUGAAAGGUGUUCCCCUAAGGAUUGAAAUAGGACCUAGAGACUUAGCAAAUAAUCAGGUGAACCCCCCCUUUUUUUUGGAUGCUGCUUUCCUUCUAUUCUUUUAUUUAUUAAUUUGCUAUUGUACUUAUACAGUUAAAACCAGAAAAGUGCUUUAUUUGACAGGUACGUGCAGUUCGCCGUGACAAUGGAACAAAAACUGAUAUCUCAAGAGUCUUUUUGGUUGAACAAGUAAAAGGAAUGUUGGAUAAGAUUCAACAGAACCUGUUUGACGUUGCAAAACAAAAACGAGAUGCCUGUGUUGAAGUUUUAAAAACUUGGGAAGAGUUUGUAACAGCUCUUGGGCAAAAGAAACUGAUCUUAGCUCCUUGGUGUGAUGAGGAGGUAUGACUUGAAUUUGCAGAAUCCUUAUUCUUUACAGGGACCAUGACUAUUUAGUAUUUAAUCAGUGUUCCUUUAGUGCUUAUCUGCUACACUUAGUCUUUGCAUUGAAUCAUUAGGCUGAAGUGUUUUGUUGGUUAUAAAAAUGAGUUGGAUCAUAUUUAGAACGUCAUUAAUUUCCAAGAUUACCUCUCCAGGCAUUUGUUGGAUAGAAUGGUCUUGCUCAGUUUCAUAAAAGACUUUUAAUGUUUUGUAUAAAUGUAGGAUGUGGAGAAAGACGUGAAAGCACGAACGAAGGGUGAUAUGGGAGCAGCUAAGUCUCUUUGUACCCCGUUUGAACAGCCUGAACUCCCAGAAGGUAAAGCAGGCAUUUAUUUUAAACAGUAGGAUACUUUCCCUCCCUCAUAAUACUAGUAGUAUUUUGUUUUUUAAUAAACUGUUACUACACCAGCAUGCACUAAUCAGCAACUGCCAAGAAUCUUAAUCUGUGACAAACUACAAAAAAUUAUUGGAAAUUUAGAGAAAUCAUACUACAUUAAGAGGAAUAAGAGAUAAUAAAUUAAUAUUAAUCAGUAGUUCAAUUAAUUUGAAGGAUUAAGUAAAAAUCCGGCACCCAGUGAGCUUGGUUCAGGUAAGAUGUGAUUGCAAAUGUGUCAUUGUGAUUGAACCUGAAGCUUAGCUCAGUUGGUUCAUGUAAUCACUCUUAAGAAGUGGUAUCUAAUAAAUCUAGGGUUCCAAUCUCAGCACCUGCAUCCCCCUCUCUUCUCCAGGCUGCAACCACUUUUGUAUCAAAAAAGAAAAGCUUACUUAAUCCUUUUGUAACACACAGUCUUUUCUCAUUUAGAAUUUUUUAAAUUUCUCCUUACAUUAGUAUUGAGGGAAUUCAUGUGUAAAUGCUGUUUGAUUAUUUGUAACCUUACAUCCACAAAAAGAAAAGAGGAGAUUAUACGUCUUCUAUAGAAUUCUCUUCUCAUAAAAAAUGACAUUAUGCAGGUACUAAAUGCUUUGCCUCUGGGAAGCCUGCAAAGAAAUGGACCUAUUGGGGUAGAAGUUACUAAGAUUAUUCUCUUUUUAUGACCAUCUCCUUCACAUUGUCCUCUGUCUGAUGUCAGCUGUGCUGGUGUGUGGACCAUUCUUAACAGGAUAAUUUUCAAUUUGAAAUUGUUAUAUGAAACUGAUGAGUACUUGGUUUUAUUAUCAUAUAGUUAAGAGUUCACUUCGAUGCAUGGUGGGAGAACUCCCACCACGCCGCGCAUGUCAUUUUAUUCAUUGGACCCUUGGAGGUUAAGUCAUAAAAAUGCAAUUACGGCGCGGUGAAAGUCUCUCUCACUAUGUUACCAAAGGGACAUUAAAACUUGUGGGAAUUUUUUAUUUUUAAUUUUCGCCAAGGGUGUAUUGUAGAACUUUUGCUUUGCUACAAUUGAUUUACUGCUCUAUUUGUGAUAUUACAAUAUUAGAAUAUGGUGAUGGUACUUGAAGGUUAUAAGUUUCUUGUUUGGAUUCAUUUGGUGAUGGCUUUGACUUUUAUUUCUCUGUCAUUGUUUCUUGAUACGGUUCAUUAGUGGAUUGUUCUUCAAUUGAAGCAGUUGAAGGAGAAUUUCACGAAUUACAAUGACACGUAAAUGAUAUCAAAAAAUAUUAAAAUAAUAUGAUUUAAAAUUUUAGUAAAAAUAAUAUGUUAAGUUUAAUAAGAAUAAAAAAUAUAUAUUUCGUAUUUUUUUUUUGUUAAUAUUAGUUGUAAUACAAAAUUUUUAUAUAAAAUAUGAUAUGAAUUUAUGAAUUAUUAAUAUUUUUAUAACAUAAAUACAUGAAUUAAUUUUUUUUACAUGAGUAAAUGUCACUCAUCUGUCAUUUCUUUUUGGUGAUUAAAACAUGCAGAAUGGCAAAAUAGUUAAACUGUAGUAUGGAUGUCCUCAUUUCCAACUGGUCAAAAUUUACCAUUAAGGCUCGUGCCUGGCCUCAAACAUUUAAACGUAAAACUUACUCUCAUUGGUUAUAGCCAAAAAUAACCAAAAAUUUUCAACUUCACAAUGUAAUAAAUUUUGAAUCCGAAAAUUAAUUCAGUUGAUUCAUACAAUCAUCUUUAAAAGAUAGCAUAUAACAUAUUUGAAGUUCAAAUCAUUUGUAACUCAUUCUUCUAUUCCUAGAUUACAACCUCUUUAUUUAUAUAUAUAUAUAUAUAUAUAUAUAUAUAUAUAUAUAUAUAUAUAUAUAUAUAAAGAACAAAUUCCUGGCUAAAUUCAUCGGUUCGUUUCUAUUCUGACCACAAAUAACUGGCAGGUCAUUGAACAUGGCGGCAAAAACAUAUCUCAUUGGACUUCAAGCAAUGCUCCUUGAUUCACUUCAUCACCAUCAAGAAGUUCCUGGAUUAUUUGAUUGAUAGCAUUUCCUCGAGCCUAUGUUUUGUAAGACAAAUAUUUCAGCACACAAUCAAAACCACAACAGGAUAAGACAAUCUGCAAAGCGGAAACCCCUAACCUUUACUCCAAUUGCAAUUGCUGUUUUUAGCUUUACAAGCUCACCCAAUCUUAGGGACCCCUUUUUAUCAUCUCUAACAAUCAUCAAUGGUACCUUCCUUGACAAAGCCAACGUUGGCAGGUGCUUUAUUAGCCACUUUGGACUGCAAUCAGCAGCUAACAAAAUAGCCUACAAGCUCAAAAAACAUAUAGCAAACCUUAAGCAGUGCUUGUGAAAACAUGACAGCUAAGGAUCCACAUGAAUGGAUGGCGAGAUUCAAAACAGCGGUGGUAAUGAGAUUACAUGAAGUUUAAUAUGCAAGCAGUAAGAUUAAAAUCAAUGAUGAAAAUAUGUAAUUGAAUAUAAUCGCAAAAUGAUGGGAAGAUUGAGUAUAACAAUCGGUUGCCUCACUAAAGCCAAUUGAUUGUCACAAUUGCAAAAUGUCUUCAUUUUCAUUUUUACGCUAAGGCAGUCGACUGCUCUAGGAUCUAGAUGUUCACUGAAUCCUUUCCCCCAGCCAACUGCACCGCCGGGUGCUUUUGCAUAGCAUCGUGCGGUGCAGUUGGCCCAAAAAAAGGUUGCGGUGGAAUCAAAACUAGCCCUUAGUAUAACAAACAUAUUGCAAUAAACAACUAAGUAUAGAUUGUUAUAAAGGCAUGACAGAUCACUCAAAAUUUAAAUCUAGAAACAGGGAAGCCAACCUGAAGCCUAACACAAGGAGAUUGAGCAGAGCUUCCAUUCUCAACACCGGGUGCCAUCCGUUCAAGUACACGAGUCACAUCAUUAACACCAAUGGCAAAUUGUUGCUAAUAACGAUGCACCAAAUACAAUAUAACAAUCAGAUAAUAAUAAAACCACAAGGAUCAUCAAAGAAAAUCAAUAAAGCAUUGAACAAGAGAUCAAACCUUAAGCCAUACUUUUUCAGGCAAGGAGUUUUCAGCCAAUGCUCUUGCUGACUCUACCCCUCUGUUCAUUGCAAUAACUUCAACUAUUACCUCUGAAAAAGAACAAGAAUUUGAAUACCAAAAAAGGGUAUUGUUUAAUUAUUGAUAAUGUGUUCGAAUCGUUUACCUUUGGAUUGAUUUAAGCACGUGAACAAGACGCUCCCCUUCAUAACAACUGCCAAGAUAAAAAAUAAAGAAAUUAAAUCAAAGACCCAAAAUUUGCAUAAAAUCCAAUGAAACAAAGGCAGACUUACUCUUGCUGCUGAGGAACGGAACCGUCAACAAUGUUGUUUUUGGCUGCCUUAUUUCUAGCCUUCAUGUUUCAUUUUAGAGUUCGCUACUUGUUUGAUGAAAAGCUUGAAAAAAAAUUGGUGUAAAUUGCCUAAUAUAACUUUGAUUUAAGCCCAUAGGAUUUGGGUAUUGGGCCAUUGAGCCUUUUGCGGCCAAUGCAUUUAAUUAUCAAGAUAAUUAGCCCACAGCUAUAUCCAGGCUUUGAGCUCUUAUAUUUUAAUUUUCAUUCCUUUUAUUAUCAUUAAAGAAAAAAAAAAGAAAUAAAAACUCAACCCAAUGUAAUAAAAAUCUUCUAUAAAUAUAUAAAAAUCAAAACUUUUGGUAAAAAAGAAAAUAAGUCUAAUGUAGAAUUUCUAUUAUUUUCAUAUGUGGAUAAUUUUAAACAAUUAUCACGUGUCUUGCAUCUAACAAAUAUACAUUCUUAAUUUAACAAAUAAUUUUAAAAAAUUAAUUGCAAUUAUUACUUCUAAAUAACUAAUAUUUACACCAUAUAUAUAUAUAUAUAUGGUAAUAUGUAAAUUUUAUGUGAAAGGAAUUUGAUAAUGAAGGCAAGUAUUUAUUUCCUUUUUUGCUUUGCAAAAUUAGUCAAAUUUUAAAAUCAUAGGGAUUUUUCCUUUGCCAUAAAUAAUUUAUGUUGGCUAUAAACACCAUCCUAUAAAGGUGAUUGUAGACAUGGAUUUUAAACUUAAUCGGCUAACUUUUUAUUUAUUGUAUUUUUUAUGCAAUAACCAAUGGGUGUUAAAACAUUUUUCUUUCAUUUUUUUAAUACAAUUUAAUUUUGUGCUACCUUAAUUUAUCCGUUUGUAGUAUAUUUUAUAGUAUAUUUCCUUGGUUUUAUAUAUUUUAUAUUGUUAUUUUUUACAUUAUUUUGAUUUAUCAAAUUGUUAGAUUAUUUAUAUUCCUUUGGAUACUAUACAAUUUUUUUUGAAUGUUUAUUAGCAUAUCUUACUUUUUCAUAAACUUAUUUUAGUACUUAGGAAGCUUGUUUUGUUAUUAACAUCUCUAUAUUAGUGGUAUUGUCAAUGAUUUUAUUUUUUAAACUUUAUUAUCUCCUUUUCUAAUUUUUUUUUUUAUGAAUAAAUGUUUAUAAAUAAUAUCUAUUAUAUCCCAUAUAUAAGAAAAGUUGUAUUUUGAAAAAGAAUAAUAUUUUUAUAAAGUGUGCAUUUUUUUUUAAAGUGGGUAGUUUUUUUUUUCAAAUAAAAAAUAUAUACAUAUGCAUAUUUAGUUGUAUAUUUUUAUAUUUUAUUUUAUUUUGUAAUUUUUGUAAUUAAGCUAUAGCAUUAUUAUAGAUGAAAUACUAUUUCGAUGCGAAAUACUUUUAUAUAAUGUCCUUUAAUUCCAUAAGACCACGUUUUAACUCAUAAAAAAAUUUGUACAAAUGUAUAUCUAAUUUUUUUUUUGUUUAUCAUUUUUAAGUAUGCAUUAUUUAUAUAUAAAUAUCUUCAUAACCAAAAAGAAAGCGAGAAAGAGAAGAUUUUAUAUUUAUCUUUUUUAUUAAUUAUUGUAUUUAUUAUUAUAUUUAAAAACAUUAUGAGAUAAAAUUUUUAUUAUCUAAAUUGGCAUUAUUCAUUAGUAUUUGAAAGAGAUUUUAAAAACCAGAACCAACUAUUCUUGACAUAAACUAUUUUUAACAUUAUUUUUGUAACAUACAAAUUUGCAUUUACAACGAAAAAUUUGCUAUUAUGAAAAAAAAAAAGAAUUUGCUGUUGAUGAUGAGAAUUAAAGUUUUAUUAUCUUUUAUAUGAAUUUUAACUUGGAGUAAUUUAAUAUAAAUAACAAAAAAUAAUUUUGUAUUUAAUUAGUUAAAAAUAAUAAAAAUUGACUAUUAACAAAAUUAGAACUAAUUAUAUUGAAAAUAUUCAAAUUAGUAGUAAUUACGCAUUUAAUAUUUUGUCAAACACUCCCAUAAUAAAAGCAAGUAAUGGAAAUGAAAUCAAUGAAAAUUUUAAUACUUAUAUAUAGUUUUCAAAUUAUUAUACUAUAUCUUUUUGACAAUUGAUUUUGUAGACAAAUAUUUAUAUUGGUUGCAAAAUCCUUUUGUGUAUUUGAAUUUUGGUAAUUGAAUUUUCAUUUAUAUAUUCAUUUGGGUUAAUAAUUACAUGAAAGUGAGUUAUUUUUAUAAAUCUAACAUAUAAGUUUAUUUUUUUAAAAGAAUAUUAACUUGUAAAUUGGAAUAAAUAUAAACAAUGCAAAAUUAAUAAAGUAAUCUUGAGUUAAUUCAGAAUUUUCUAUAAGAUAUAUUCACUUUAUUUUCUUUAACAAUAUUGCUCAUUGAAUAUUUUAAAAGUUUUAUUUUCUUAAAUGUCACAUAGAUAUAUGUAUAUGUAAAAUUUAUAUUUUUUUAUUAAAAAAACUAUUUGUGUGUAUAAUAAUAUAUAUAUAUAUAUAUAUAUAUAAACAUUAACCCGUACAUCUCAUGGGUUAUAAACUAAUUAUAAAUAAAGAGCAAAGCAAUAGGCAAUUUAUUUGUACGAACUUUUUUUUUUUUUUAAAUUUUAGGAGCCAUGAAUUGGGAACCCAGGACAAUUUUCGGUAUUGGUCCUAUAUCCUUGACAUGUUUUUAGCCCAAGUGAAAUUACUGGAAUAAGUUUCAAAAAUUAAAAUCAAAAGUAUCAAUAUAAUUAAACCUGAAGUUUAGCAAAAUUAGUUCGUACAAUUAUUUUAAAGUUUAGACAUCUAAUAAAUUUGAGGUUAAAUCGCUAUUCAUGUGACAACCUUUUUUCCUAUUAUUAAACUACAACCUCUUUUAUGAAAAAAUAUCAAUAUGAUUAAUAGGUAGUUAAGUUAAAAUAAUGAAAAUCAAGCAAAGAGUUAUUAUUGCUAGUCUUCAGUUAAAGAGCUUUAAUGGAAGUUUGUCAUAAUUUAUGUCGACAUAAAAACAUGAAAUACAUAUUUUUACAAUUUGUGGAUAGGCUUGUUUUAUUCAUUUAUUGAGAUUACAAGGUUCGUUAAUUAAAUGAACAUAUUGCGAACAUAAUAAAGCUCAUUCAUAUUUUGUUUGUUUACAUUUAAGUAUAUAAAUAGUUCAUGAACAUGCUUGAUUUUUGUUUUUUUAUUAAAUUUAACAAACAAUCACAAACAAUAUUUUAGCUUCGUUAAUUAAACGAAUAAAUCACGUAUAUAACAAAAUUCAUUCAUAUUCGAUUGGUUUACACCAUUACCUUCUUUCGAACUAUCAGUUAAAGUAUAUAACAAACUACUAGUAAAAACACAACAAAAAAAAAACAGUACACAAUUUUAUAAUUUUAUAAAUUCCUUAUUUUCAAUGAUGAUGUUUUCAAUGAUGAUGAUGAAUGAGAGGUUGAAUUUACAUGUGGCAUUUUUUUAACGUUUUCAACAUAUUUUAUGAACUAAAUUGAAAAAAAAAAUUAUGAUCUCAUGAAAUGAAAUAGGAAACUGGAUGGAUUAAAGAAUUUAGGAUUCCUUAUCUCUAUCUUAUACAAGACUUUUAAUUUUUAAAAAAGUCUCUCAAGAAAGAGCACACCCAGAAACCUUACCACACAUGAUAUACCAUUACCAACUACACCCGUUUUCAAUUUCAUCGAGUAUGUACUUGUUUUUAGCUUCAUUAAAGCUAUUAACUUUUUUGGGUAAUCCUUCAUUUCUUCUUAUUAGUGUAUUGUAUAGAAUAGAAGGAAUGAGAAAAAAAAUUAAUGGAUCAGGUGAAGAUAUCAGAGGGACUUAUUGGUUAAUUUUAGGUGAGCAACAAUGAUCACCUUUAAUAGUUUUUCUUUGGGUGGUUUUAGUGGUUUUCCUAUUAAACCAUCUAAUCACCCAUAUUUACACACACUCUUCCUCAUUUUCCCAGUAUAUUCCUUUGCCUUUUUUUUGUUUUGAUCAAAUAAAAAGAAGAAGGUUUUAGUUGGAAAAGUAUGAGUUUUAUCGCAUCUGCAGGCUGUCUUCUUAAGUGUUUAAGAUGAAAGAGAAAACACACAUCUCAUGUAGAAUGAAUUCUUAGGUCAUUGCUUUUCCUUUUCAUUUUUUGUUUUGUUGUUUUGAGUUUUCAUUUUCUUUAUUUAAAUGUGACUUACUUUGUUUCUAUUAUUUUUGCUACAAAACUAAGUUCUUAGAUUUUGAACAAGAUCUUAAUCAAAUACUUAAAUUGUGUUAUGAAAGAACAAUUUGAUUGAUCUAAAUUUUUUUAUACAUGUUGUUGGGAUCUAAAUGAGCAAAAUGGGAUUUAGUAAAUCAACAUUUAAAGACUAUAUCUCCUUGAUUUUGCACUAGUCAUGGGAUUCUUUAGAAUUUACAAAAACCAAUCUUGCAUUCCAUUUUAGCUUUGGCCAAAUAUCAUUUGGAUACUAUGGGUUUCUUGGUUUAUGCUAGGCUGGACAUGAUUACCACAUUUGCAUGGAUCACUUAUCUUUGCAUGCAUGGCCUCAUCUUGUCACAUUUGUAUGUUUUGCAUGGAUUUUAGCAUUUACAUUCAAAGUAAUUAAUUUUUUCAUGCAAACCUGAAAAUCACUAAUUUACACCGUUAUUAAACAAAAUUCAUGAAAAUUUUUAAAAUUUAAAGUCUCAAAUGUUAUGUAAAUAACAAUAAAUUAUAAGGUCAUAACACCCCACACUUAGUUUUUUGCUUGUUCUUAAACAAAUUCUCAAGUUAUUAUUGCCAACAAUCACAAAGAUGCGUUCAUAAUUAACAUGUCACAAGUUAUCAAUCAUGCACUAUAGUAUAAUGUCAAGAUAGUUGUGAACAUAGUUAAACAUAAAAUUUAAUCAUAAGUAAGAUUUCAUUUUCAUGCAUUUUUCAUAUAUGUGUAAUCAAUCUGUCUUUAAUCUAUGUAUGUAAUUUAAGUAAAAAGUAUAUAAAAUAUGCCAUCACAUAUUGAAUCAAAGAUAAAGCAUACUUCAUAAGUUUACUUUUCUCAUUCCUUUUCCACUAAUGUAGGCUUAUAUACUUGAUUUAAGAUCAAUAAGUUUUUAUUGACUUGUAAUGUAAAGUUAGGAUCAAGGUUAGAAAAAAAAAAUUUUAGGUUUAGAACCCUUUGCUUACUCAAAUUUGGAUUUGAGAACUUUUACAAAGCUUUUCAAGGUAAAGACAUCUUUGUUUUUUUUUUUUUUUUUCCAUAGCUAUUUUCGAAUUUUUCACUUUUUUUUUACUAAGCCAUUUUUGGCUUUUAUUUUUUUUUUUCAUAGCCAUUUUUAGCUUUUGUACUUUUUUUUCUUUUUUUUUCUUUAUGCCUCCCUUACUCUAUGUAACUUGUUCUCUUAUUUUAUUCUUAACAUGCAUAAGCAAUAUGGUGAGAUUAGAAAAAGAUAGAUAAUUCAUAGAAAGGCCUUGAGCUUAUCAAUCUGGUUAAAUAACAAAGAAAAAAAAUAUAAAGGCUAAAAAAUAAGGUACUAAGGAUGUUUAUUUAUAGGUGGGCUUGAAAAAGACUUAAAUGGUUCUAUGAUGGCCUAAAUCAUUUAUUAAGUCAAACAUAGUCUAAGAUUUUGUCUCAAGGUUUAAGUAGGCAAAUUCUAAAGUUAUACUAAUGUCUUAAAUUUUUAUGCAAUUUUAUAUUCACAUGACUUUUCACAAAAAUUAAUGCAUGUCAAAUAUCAAGAUUAAAUUCACAUGUAUAAAAAUAAGCAAUCUAAAAAAUAACAUACUUAAGAUUUCAUUUCAUGUUUUUCCUACAUUCAUAUUUGUCCUAAGAUUAUACAUAUGUCACUCAUGAUUAACUUGUUAGAACUUAACUAAAAUUGCAUUAUUAUGAUUGAAGGCAUGUUAACUUGAUUUGAAAAUAAAAACUUUUAGGGUAACUUUUGAAAAGAUUUUGAAAAAGCAUUUUGCACAAAAAUUUUCCCUCCCCCACACUUGAAUUGCAUGACAUCUUAAUUAAAACAAUUAAAAAAGUUAGGGCAAAGCAAAACUACUCUAUCUUUUCUUCUUUUAAGAUCGAAACUUGUAGACUUGCUUAGGAAUCAUUUAUUCAUCCUUACUCUAUACUUAUCCUAAAACAAAUAAAAUGAACAAACAAACCAGAUCAAUGCAUACCUAUUCUAAAAAAAAAAAAAAAAAAAACAAAUAAACAUAACUUAACAAUUAAUAUAAAAAUUAGGUUAUUUCUCAAGCAACGUUAGUUUUAGUCAAGCUAGAUCAUACCUAGAUAUCUAAAAGGUUAUGUGACUACCCUACACUACAUACCAGCAUCCACCCACUUAAUAGUCUUACUUCUUAGUCUUUAUCAACAUUAGGCUCUAAAAGGUAAUAAUGCUCAAUUGUUGUGACUAGAUCUCCUACCUCUAACAAUGCAUUCAUUAUAAAUAUACUACAGUAAGUGGGUACUGGCUUCAGUACCAGUGAAAGAGAUAUAACAAUGAAAAAUAUAUGGUUAGUCUCUUAGGUUAAAGGUUCCUCCAUGGUUGGCAUAAUUAGAGUGGGUGAUGUGUUCUUUUUUUUUUAAGCUUGACAAUGGGUUUUUUGAAAGUUUAAGCACAUUUUAAAUAGAACAACCCUCAACAACAUGUUUUUCCACCUUAUUUAAUUUCAAAUCAUAAUCUUCAUAAGGUUGAAGAAUUGGCAAGGGUGGAUUGUAAGGCUCAGAGUCAACUUCACUGUGAUUAAUGUUAGAUUCAUCAAUAAUGUUUGGUAGAGUCGAUUUUACUUCCAUGACAUAAAAAUGAUCUCCCACCUCCAACACCUCUUUGUCCACACCACCUUAACAAAUGCUGGUAAAUGAAUCACAAUGAGCAUUUUAUCAUUUUGCUUUUGUUUAGUCAUUCCUUCUUCAAAGCACUCCUCUUCAGGUUUUUUUACAAAACCCAACAAGUUAACUACCAUUGGUUCAUCCAUUAGGUCUUUAUCGUUGUCAUUAGCAACAUACACCACUUUUCAUUUCCUUUGAUCAUCCUUUAAUGUACAUUCCAUUUCACCUAACCAACUUGGAUCUACAUGGUCGUUAAGGUUUUCAAAUUGGCAAUCUAAGCUUUAAGGACGAUGGCUUUAUUUUGAAUUAAUCCUAUGAAAGUUUCAUCAAGGGCAGGUUCUGUUUGAGGAAGAGAUGAUGGGUCAUAUGAUGGCAAGUGUUAUGGUAGUGAAAAGUAUUGAAAAGAUAAAAGGUACAUAUUAUAGUUAAAGGUAUAUAUGGAUGACUAUUUUUUAUUUCUCCCUUAUGCAUAACUAGGAUAAUCCUCCCUAUCUAGACUAUAAAUGUUUAGGUAAAAGUUGGAUUGAUUAUCUUGACAACUAUUAUUAUAGUAUUACACUCUAUAACUAUGACAUUUAUUAAAUAUGCUUUGAACUGACUGAACAUGUCUAAGUUUAUGUUUUCUUUCAAGAGCAUCUACUUUUUAGUUAAAGAGGCUAAUUGUUAUGCUAUGACUAUAGAGGGUUUUCAUUAUACAUUUCAAUAGUGCUUCAUGAUCUAAGGUCUUAAAAUGACAGUUAAAUGCAGGAAUACUCAUAAGAUGGCUUAGCAUAGUCCUCAAAGGUUCUGAUCUCACUACAAUAAAAAUUAGACAUAUAGAAAGAAAAAUAAAGAACACACUAGAUCAAAAAUAAAAGUCUAAAUUACAAAAUAAAAAGAAAUGUUAUUAAUAUUGGUCUUCUAGCAUCGAUAUAAUCCUAAGCAACAUGCCAAAAACUUGAUUGUUACUUUUUAGGUUGCAAGUGCAUAAAUUGCAUCAAGUAAUAAAGUGAGUAAGUAGAGUAUCAUUCUCACAAAAAUUAUGUGUUGGGUGCAGAGCCAAGUACCAAAGGAUAUUUUUUCUAGCUUUAUAUUUAAACAAAUUGAAAAGUUGAUUGGCUGUAAUUGAAAGAAAAGUAUUGAAAAUGUGAUAACUGAAUGUCAAGCUAACUAACUAUCACUUAGUAGCUUCAAAAGGCAAAACAAUUAUGCAAAAAAUAAAAAAAAAAUAAAAAACUUAUAAAAGAGUUAAAUAUUUCUAAUUGUAAAGAAAGCAUAAAAUAGAGAUUUGAAAGCUUAUAAAGAAAAUAAAUAGUCUAUGUGAAGAUAGAGAAAGAGAUUUUAGAAUAAAAAUAGAAAAAGAACUUGUAUUAAGAAAAAGCUGUAGAAAACAAAACUAUGGUUAGUUUGUCACCCUAACCAAGAAUUACAAAGGAAUUAGAAAAGAUUUAGGCUAAUUUAUCACCCUAGUUUAAUGUAAGUGACAAGAAAAAGACUUAGAAAACUAAGAGAUUUUAAACUAAAGAGAGAAGAAUGAAGAAGGGAUUCAGAGUGAAGGUCAUGGCUUUUUUAUAGCACAAGGUUCGACUAAGGAGGGAUGAACCUAACAUUCUUAACUUUAGAAGGUGAUCUUAAAAUCAAUUAAGGUCCCAUUGAUUAAAGAAUCUUUAAAAAUGUGGUUGAUCUUGAUUAGUCGAAUUUUGCUCUUACCUUUAAUAUUUCUAUUGCCCUUUCUUUAAGCCAACAUAAUUUACAAUUCAAGAAGAAGAUUCAGCCAAAUAUUAAAGACCAUAUCUAGGAGAUUCAGCAAAUCAAAAUUUAUAGACUAUAUCUAUUUGAUUUUGCACUAAUCAUGUGAUUCUUUAGAAUUUACAAAAAUCACUCUUGUAUUCCAUUUUAGUUUUGGCCGAAUAUCAUUUAGAUCCUAUGGGUUUCUUGGUUCAUGUUGGAUUGGACAUGAUUACCAUCUUUGCAUGGAUCACUUUUUCUUACAUGCAUGGCCUCAUCUUGUCACAUUUGCAUGGUUUGCAUGGAUUUUAGCAUUUAUUUUCAAAAUAAUUAAUUUUUUCAUGCAAACUUGAAAAUCAUCAAUUUACACCAUUAUUAAGUAAAAUUCAUGAAAAUUUUUAAAAUUUUAACUCUAACAUGAUUUGUAAAUACCUAUAAAUUAUAAGGUCAUCAAUGUGUAAUUGCUUUAGUUGCUUUUUAUUAUCAUUAUGCCAUGUGGUUUGUCUGACCUAUGUAAUUGCUUGACUUGCCUUUUAUUGUGAUUGUGCCAUAUGGUCUAUCCAACUUGUUUUGUGAAAAUUUUCAUCCUUUUUUAUGAAAAGAAAAGGCAAUUUUCAUGCUUUUAGAAGGAUAUAUAUGUUAGAAUUAUUUUCAAAAUAGGUGAAAGAAUAACUUAAACAAGCAAUGAAGUAACAUAAGUCAAAUUUCAUGAUGUAAAACACCUAAGAAAGAAAACUUGUCUUAAUAGUGGUUGAUUACUAUAAUUAAUGGAACCAACUGUUAUAGGCUAGGCAUAAGGAGCAGUCAAUUGCCAUGCACUUUAAAUAUGUACCAAAAUUUUUAUGAAUUUUGGAUUUAAUAUAACAGAAAACUAAUUGAUUCCUAACCCUUUUGCAAUCAACUGCUAUGGUUGGAAAUCAAACUAGUCUAUUGCUUAACUUAGAGGCAAUCGACUUCUUGAAAUUUGAAAGUCUUCUAUUUCAAGAAAACACAAAAGUAGUCGACUGCUAUAAACUAGAAUCGAUUGUUCUCAUGUGUGAAACCUUAUAUAUUUGCAUCAAAGUUGACUGUCUUAAAAGAAGCCAAUGCAUUUUGGAACUCAAGGAGAUUGUUUUUGUAUUUUUGUUUUGAUGAUGGCAUAACAUGAGAGAACAUAGUAGGAAAGCUACAAAAUUGACACCUUGGGCUUGAAAACCUUUUUAAUGAACCUGGAAACCAGUCUUUGAAAGUGAAAGGAUAAUAAAAUUAAAGGAAAAAUUUUUUUGAACAUCCCAUAAAUUUUUUAAUAAAAUUAAUCUAAUGGUUAUAAACUUUAUAACCCUUUGCAUUCAAAUUCCCAAUGGCCAAAUUUAUUUGUAUCUUCUUUUCUUUUCUCUUUUUUGGCCAAAUUUGUUUUUCUUUUUAGUAAUUAAAAGUAAAUACUUGAAUGACUUUUAAUGAUAUGAAUUUAUUAGCCUUCAAACAAAAGCCUAGCAACGACAACAAAUAUACUUAUGUACAAGUCUAAAUGCAAGAUGUAAAUAAGAAAUGGAUAAAUUAUAUUUUAUUGAUUACAAGGUUUUUUUUUCUAUCUUUUAUCAUUUCAUUUUUUCUUUAAUGUUAUUUUGGUUAAUUUUUUAAAAAAAAUAAAAAAAACUCAAAAUUUUUUAUCACAAUUAAUAAUGAAGUUUAUAGAGUUCACAAGUUGAAUUAAUAAAGUAAUACAUACAAUAAAAAAUUUAAUAAUUAGAAAUAAUUAAAAAAUUAAUGCAUGUGACAAGCUGAUUGUGAGAACUAUGCAAUGAACUACAAAAUAACAUAUAGUUGUGAAUAUGUCCUUUAUAUAUUGGCAUAUAUGAAAAAGUAGAUGUGAAGCCAAUAUUAAUAAAAAUGAAUAAAGAUUGUGAAAACUGUGCAAUGAGCUUGAAAUGCAACUACAAAGUAUGGGGAAAUGUUGAAGAUUGAGAAAAUGGUUGAAGUAAUUAAAGAAAGUAAAGAGAAAAUUGUUAAAUGGAAAAGCCCUGAAUAAAGAUGGAUAAAGAUAAAUUGUGAUUGGGCUAUCAAAGAAGGAAACCAUUUGUGGGAGUGUACUUUAUGGAAACCUUUUACCUAGCUUCAUUUCAAACAAAUUUUUUUCUAUUUACCAUUGGAAACAUCCUCAAGACUCAACCUUUAAUUACUUUAUAUUACAUCCUUUGAUGAAUUAGCUUCAAUCUUAAUCUAGGUUUUUGAAUUUUUGAUUGAAACAAAAAGAAAUCCCAAAAAAUGAAAAAAAAAUUGGGUUUUUUUUUUCUAUGAGGUGCUGACUCGAAUAAAUAAAGUGAAUCAGCUAAGGCUACAUUGGUUAAAGUAAUGAAUAGUAAAACAUGGUAGACUUGGAUUUGUAUUAUAACUACCCCACGAGCAGUUAAGCAAGGUAAAGAAAGUGGGGCCAAUAAAAAGUUGUUUUGGCAAUAUGGCAGCAAAAGAAAGUUUUUGAUUUGAAAAGAUUGGCAACUCAUCAAGAUCAAAACGCUUGCAAAUAUGAACAUUUUUAUUACAUAACAUCAUGUUUGUACUUUUAAAUUUUUUUAUUUUUACUUAAAAUACAAUGUUUUUCAAAUCAAAUACUGCGUUUCUGUUUAGAAAAAUGUUGUUUUGUUUAUUUCUAUUUUUUCUAAGACAAUCACGAUGUUUUUAUUACAUUAAUGUACUCUUUUAUUGUAUAUUUUUUAUUUUUUAAUAAAAAAUCUAUAUUUGAAUUCACAUUUUGUUGGUCAAACACUCAUUAGAUUUAAUAAAAAUGACAUAUUUGACAUGUAAUGAAGGAUAUUAUUGUAAAAAAACUUUAUUAAGUAAUCUAACUUUCUCUCGAACCAAACAUAGGAUUCUAACAUUCUUAUACCACAUAGAAUCACCCUUUGUAAGAAAUUCACACUUUUUUUGGAAAUCAUUUUAUCUCCCGAAAUGUAAGAUUCGGUGAACCAAAUGCCCACUUAAAGGUUUUUGUUUCUUCCACCAGCUGUAUUCCCUACUUUAUCUUUUUUAUUCUCUUUCUCAAGUUUUAACCCCGAAGAUUGGCCAAUAAAACUUAGAACUCUCCCUGUCAAAAGAAAAUGGACCCAUGUCAUUUUUUUAGCUAUAUUUCAAGUUAGCUUAAGCAUUUUACCAUGUUAUCCACUUUUAGGGUGUAGGGUUUAUUGCUUUUUCUUACAAGUUUUUUAUUUGGUUUUUUUGGUUUUUAUGUUGUUUGCAAUAAUGGGUACCCCUCUCACUCAUGAAUGGUUCAGGCUUCAACAAUUCUUCACUAUACAAACAAAAUUGUUAAGUUGUCGUGAAAAUUAAAGUAAGAGGUUUUGAUAAACACUUUAAUCCCUUUCAUAUCUAGAAAAAAAGAUUAUAAGAAACGAUUACUCUAUAUUAGUAUAUGUACUUUCGUUUCAAAUUAUGCAAUGUAAUCACAUUAAUGAAAAAUCAACCAUUUAUUACGCAUCAUAUGUGACAAUUAAACAAUGAAUAUUUAUUUCAAUAGACUCAUACAUCAAUAUGUAAUAAAUAGUUGAUCUUUUUCAAUAAUAUGAUUAUGUGAUAUGAAUUGAAUGGAAGAGAUAAAUGUUGCCAUUGAGUAACCGAUUCAUACAAUAUUUUCUCUUACUCUAGAUGGUUUUAAUUGUUUCAAAAAAUUGUAAAAUGUCAACAUUUUGACUAUCCUUGUUAUGGGCAAAGGCAGUGUAGGAAAGUCUUCCACUAUCAAUUCUCUUCUUAGGAAGCAAUUUGUUCGAGUCAUUGCUUUUCAAGUGAAUAUUGCUUUUGUCUGUUCUUUAACAUUCUUGGGUUAAUUCUUUUGUGCUAUUUUCAAUUUCAUAAGCUUGAAUUGUCAUUGCAUUUGUUUGUUUGCAAUCAUAAGGGUUGAGAUCUGUGAUGGUGUCAUGCUCUUGGGCAGGGUUUACAUAUAAUGUAAUUGAUACACCAGGACUUGUGGAGGCUGGAUAUGUCAAUCUCUAAGCUUUCAAGUUGAUCAAAGGUUCAGUACUUGAAUUAAGCAAUGUAAGUUAGAAUUUUAUUUGUUGUAUGAUAAAUUUAAUUUAAUUAUAUACUUCUCACUAAAUGAUAGUAAGAUUUUCUUUUUUGAAUUAGUUUUACUACAUGAUGCAAUUCAUUUUAGUUAAAAACAAAAUCUUGUAAUCAUCAUGCAUGUUUCUUUUGAAUAAGACUAUAGAUAUUUCACUUUAUGUUGACCGCCUGGAUGCAUAUAGAGUGAAUGACUUGGAUAAGCAUAUCAUUAGGGCUAUCACUGUUUUGGCAAAAAAAUAUAGCAUGACUUUAGAUAAAACUCAAAUCUGACUCAAUUAUUAUCGAAUUGAGUUCAAGCUCGAAUAGCUCAAUUUAUUGAGUGAGCCGAGUUCUAGUAUCUUAAUGCCUGACUCGAAUAGUUCACGAGCCUAAUCAAGUUUUUAAAUUUUAAUAUAUUUUAUUACUUUAAUUAAAAAUUAUUAUUUUAUCUUUAUAUAUAUCAAUUCGAGUUUGAGCUCAAGUUCGAACAUAUAAUCUAGAUUAAAAUUGAGCAUGAGAAUAGAGUUCAUUUUUUAUUAAACAAGCCUAAUCAAACGAGCUUAAAUAACUUGAUUUUUAUUUCGAGUUAAGUUCAAGUUUAAAAAUUAAAAUUUGAUCAAGUUCAAGCUAAGUUUUGAGCAACAAAAUUUAAAUCGAGUUUGAGCUCGAGCCUCUUAUUAUAUUGACUCCGCUAUGUUUGAUUACAUCCCUAAUUUAGAUAUUUUGGUACUUUAAAUUUUUAAAAUUUGAUCUAAAUUCAAGUUUUAUUAAAAUUGAAGAAUCCAAACUUUAUUGAAAUCGAAUUGAUUCCAAUUGAAUUUUACAAUUUAUUGAUUUAUUUUUAUAUUAUAUAAAUAAAUUUAAUUAUAAAAUAAUUAUUUUUACUUGAUAAAAAUUUAAAAUUUAGAUAAAAAUUAAUUAAAAAAUAUAAUUCGAUUUGAUACAAACAUUUUUUUUAUUUUUUCAUGUCAUGAUUUGAAAAUUAAUUCAAACCGAAUUAAAAUAUUUCAUAUUUUAUUUGAAUCAAAUAGACAAUAUCCUGUUCGAAUUGAAUUAAAAAAAAACCAUCUGAUUCAAAUUGAAAUAUUGUGUAAACACCAAAUUUUGUCAAGAUCAAUUCAAACAUGAUUGAUUUUUAUGCUUAAGUUACAUGUUCAUAUUUGAGCCAGUUUAAACAUUAAAUCAAAUUAAAUUUAUUUGAGUUUAUUUGGUAUUAAUCAUUUUAAUUUUGAUUUUAUUAUUAUUAUUUUUUAUCAUUUAGGAUUUAUUUAAUUAAUAAAAAAAGUAUAAAAUAAAAGUUAAUUAAUUACAAAAAAUUAAUUAUCAAAUAAAAAUAAAUUACAAAAAAGAAAUAAAUUUCAAAAGGGUAGAAAAACAGAACUAAAAAAACAAAUUGAAGUGGUCGGCAGUCACUGUAUCAAGGCAAGAAACUGCCUAAUUUUGGCCUUAACAAGCCAGGGUCCUGUGUCACGGGUCGAGACUUAAUCUUCUAACCCGCGCGGCUUCAAGACCCGGGCAUUCACCCUUCCGGCGUCUCGAAUCAACCUGACCUUCACGGUUCACACCCUUGUAAAGUAUUGUUCGCUCUGGCCCCCUUAGCCUCACGGUUUUGUCCUACAAAAAAUGCCUCACAAGGCAGAGGUGGUGUGAACCAUUUUAUACUCCAGUGACCCUCCUAUUAUGUUUGAUGUGGGAUUCAGGACUCUUCCUUAAGUCCGUGACAUUCUCCCGCAUCCAACCUCGUGACGCCCUCGUCACGGAGGCUGACCACCCUGCCUGCCUCCCUUGAGGUGCUUGGCAUGGAUCGAACGGUUUAGGACUGACUCUGAUAUCACUUUUCACGGGUCGAGACUUAAGCUCCGAAUCGACGUAGCUCCGAGACCCGGGCAUUCACCUUUUCGGCGUCCCGAAUCAGCCUUCCUUCCACGGUUCACACCCUUGUGAGGUAUUGUCCGCUCUGGCCCCCUGGCCUCAUGGUUUUAUCCUACAAAAGGUGCCUCACAAGACGGAGAUGGUGUGAACCCUUAUAUACCCCAGUGACCUUCAUAUUAUGUUCGAUGUGGGAUUCAGGACUCUUUCUUAGGUCCGUGACAUUCUCCCCCACCCAACCUCAUGACGCCCUCGUCACGGAGGCUGGCCAUCCUGCUUACCUCCCUCUAGACGCUCGACGUGAAUCGAACGAUUUAGGGCUGACUCUGAUACCACUUGUCACGGGUCGAGACUUAAUCUCCUAACUCGCGUGGCUUCGGGACCCGGGCAUUCACCCUUUCAACGUCCCGAAUCAACCUGACCGUCACAGUUCACAUCUUUGUGAGGUAUUGUCCGCUCUGGCCCCUUUGGCCUCACGAUUUUGUCUUACAAAAAAUACCUCACAAGGCAGAGGUGGUGUGAACCCUUUUAUACCUUAGUGACCCUCCUAUUAUAUUUGAUGUAAGAUUCAGGACUCUUUCUUAAUUCUGUGACACUUGCACUUCACCAACCAACACCUUGUACACUACUAGCAGCCACCAAACUUUGCAAAUUUUCUUCAUAAUAAGAAUUCAUAAAUUAAAAAGACUAAAAAAAAAAGAAAAGAAAAAGAAAGAGGUUUAAACAGCCAUUUUUUUUCCGCAAGCACCAAGUCCCCUCACCAGCCUAGCUUUAGUCCCUAUAUCCUUUUUCAUCAGCCCUUUCUCAACACCAAAACCCUUCCCCAGUGCCUAUCCAGAACCAAAGUCACGCCCUUCCCUGGUCACUCCCUUAACCGACACCAUCACUAAACCUUUAAACACAUUGACAAACCCUAAGCUAAACACCAACCAAGCUGUAUACACUAACAGACCCGACCAACCUUUUGCACACAACCUACUCUAGCCUUUCCUUCGAGCACCAUUCACACCACACCAACACCCGAUUGACCCUAUAGUUUUGCCUGCUUCACAGCCCCGGCACCUAAAACCCACCUCCAUCACCAGCCUCAAGCCACCAUUAAUCACUAAACCCUCGCCAUCGGAACCCAGUAAUUGGCCCUCCAAAAAUCUCCUCACAGAAACCCUAGGUCCUUAUAGCCAUCCAAUCCACACCCAUGGAACCACUAAGCCCCUGACCAAAACCCAACACCUUAAACAAACCCAGAACUAGUGCACCAACACUAGCCAUCCGCACCACCUCAGCCUCCUACUCAUCAACCCCUAAGCACCAAACCAAAUAACCCCACAUUUGCCCUCCUACAACUGGCCAUAACCAAAAACAAAAAAUAUAUAACAAUCUUCCUCGAAGGGAGGAACCUUAGUGCCCAAAGCCAUUUUAUAAAAAAAAUAGUUAGAUUCAACUGAUAAAAAAAAAGAGAUUUUCAGGCAAGGUCUCUAGAGGAAAGGAAGGUUUCAGGGUGGAGGUGUACAUAUUAAAAGGAAAGGGCAUUUGAAGCAGUGGAAAGGAAACUUUUGAAGUAUGAAAUCACCGACUUUGAACCUAGAUUUAGGAGUAGACUCAUUUUUUGGAAAAAUCAUCUAGAAAACAAGAAGAGGGGCUUAAGGAGAUCACGUAGGUUAAUUUUGGGAGACGACUAGACGGCGACUGAAGAUUGGUUUAUAUUUUUGAAGAGUUGAGAGAGUUUUUUUUUUCUUAAAUAAAGGUUUGAAAUGAAUUAAGAAAAAAAUUUAGUAUAUAAUUAAAAAAAAAAGAAAAAGUUGACCGAGAAAACGCAACUCGAUAAUUCAGCCCGUGACUUGUUCAACUUGGACUUGCAGCCCACAAAUCAUUCUACUAGCCCAGCUACCUUGGAUCCUUUUGGUUUGCUGGACUCCAUUGCUUGGGCUAGGUGAGUAGAACUGACCUUGGGCUUCAACAUAAAGUUUAUUUGGGUAAUUUUAUAUAUACUUUUGGGCCCCUGCAAUGAAUGGUUUCACCAUUGUUCAUGUUAAUAAAAUAUUCAUGAAAUAUGCAUGUUUUAAAAUAAUUAAUAAUGCUCAUGAAAUAAUAUUAUUAAUUAUUAUUAUUAAAUACUUGAAUAAAAAAUUAAAUAUAAAUUUCGAUGAUGGGAUUUCGAAAAAUUUGAAAUAGUGAUUUUCGAGAAUUUGUAAGUGAGAAAAAUUUCUAAAAAUAUCAAAUUAUUAGAAUAUUUAGAAAUUCUUUUCAAAACAAAAUUUUUUAUUUUUUUCUAAUUUGAUUUUUUAGAGAUAAAAUAUAAAAUAUUUAUAAAAGUAUGCAUUUUUUAAGGAAAUAAAUUCAUUUAUAUAAUUGUAUUAUUGGUAAUUUUUUAAAUAUUAAUAUUAUUAAAAAAAUAAAAUCUUCGAGAAUGAUAUUUUAAAUAAGUUUGAGUAGUGAUUUUUUAAGAAUUUUUAGACAAAAAAAUUUAUCUAAAAUGCUAUCAAUAUAUUGAAGUAUUGAGAAUAAUUUUCGAUAAAAUUUUUUUAUCUAUUUUUAAUAAAUUGAAUAAGAAAUGAAAUUUUUUUAAUAUUAUCAUGAUUAAAUUAUAGUUAUCAUAUCUUAUUACAUGCAUAAAUCUUGAUGAUAAAUAUGAAACACUAAGGUUGAGAUAUUUAAGAAGUUCGAGUAAUGAUUAUUAAAGAUUCCCUAGAUGAGAAAAAUUCUUUCAAUAUUACCACCAUAUUAAAAUAUUUUAAAAUUUCUUUCAAUAACAGGGUUUUAAUAUUUUUCUCAAAUAAGAAUAAUUAAACAAAAUUAUUAAAAUUAUUACAAUAAAAAAACAAAAAAAAGAAAAUUAAUUUAAAAUACCAAAAUUGAGAUCUUUUAGUUAAAAUUAAAAGAUAACGUAUAAUUAAUUGAUAUCAUUUUAAACGGAUACUGUAGAGGUACUAAUUUUUUUUCGCGUGUAAUUGACUCUUGAAUCUAAUUUAUUUUUAUAAAUAUAAAAAAUUAUAUUUUUAAUAAAUUUUGAUUAAUUUUAAAAUUUUAUUAAAAUAAUAAAUUUUAAUGAAUCAUCAAUCACAUCUAAUUAAAAAAUUUUAAUUAUAACUUUUGUUUGUUUUUACAUUUAUCUAACAGUCCAAAAAACCGGUACAAUAAUUUGAAUGAAAAAAAUUGAAUCAAAUCAAUUUUUUUUUCAUUUUUUCCUUAGCCUUAUAUGUGAGGAUGGAGGUUACGUUGCAAUAAAAACGCAUGAUUGCUUCAAGCAUAAGCGUGCUUAAUAGAAUUAUCCUCCGCCAACCUAUGAAUCCCAAAAGGCACCUAUUUCACCCACCUAUGCAACCCAUCUCUUUCUGUUUUGUUCUUUAAGCUCAUAAAAGUGUUCGGAGCAGCUAUGGAUUACCAUAACGGCCCCACACCUCAGGCGUGGUAGCAAUACAAUACAGUUGUUUCACCUUUUCGCUGCGUGGAUUGCGGGGAUCUGCAUGGGUAAAAGUGUUUAUAAUUGGAUUAAAAUUAAAUUAAUCAAUUGAAUUAAAUUAAUUUGAUUAAUUAAUUUAUUAUUAAAUUAAUUUUGAUUGAUUAUUUAUUAUAAUUUUUUAAAAAAUUUAAUUUUUAAUUAAUUUGAUUUGAUAAUUAAUGUAUCAAAAUAUAACAAAACCUUAUAUAAAACUAAACAUAUAUAAGAUAAUUUAACUUAAUAUUUUGAUUUUGAAUAUUUUAUUGGAUGAUUUUAUUUAAUUUAUUUUAAAUAUAAAAAAUUAAAAAUAUAAUUUAAUUUGAAUAUAUUUUAUUAUUUAAUUAGUAAAAAAUUAAUUAAAUCAAUUAAAUUAAAUUUGAUCAAUUAAUUUUUAAAAUUAAUAAAUUUAAUUUAAUUUAAUUUUAUAAAAAUAAAAGUAAACUAUUUUGAUUUGAAAUUAAUCGAGAUGAGAAGAAUGUUUGCGCACGCAUGUUAAAUUUGUGCCGGAGAACCUGUGUUGGGAGCAGAGCUUCGAAGAUUUUAUAAGCUACGGAUUCCAUUUGUGUUGAUUCUAAGAUAUAAUGAUUAAGUUCACCAUCAUAGGCUGUUGAUUCUAACAUAUAAUGAUUAAGUUCGCCAUCAUAGGCUGUUGAUUCUAACAUAUAAUGAUUAAGUUCGCCAUCAUAGGAUGCACCCAUCAUUACACGCACUUUAAGCACUGCAAACCAACCAGGUUUCAUUAAUCAUUGGCACUCCAAAUGUGGUCAAAUUUAACUGCUACUAUCAUUGGUUUUUGAACAUUUUUUUCGAUGAAGAUUUGGAAAUUUUGAGCCACCAAUGUCACGGAAGAUACAAAUAAGCUUAAAAAUUAAAUUGUACGAAAUUGAGGUGUAAUAAAAUUUUUGAGAUUUUCAAAUAUUUUUUAUGUAAAAAGAUGUAAUUUGAUGAUAGAAAAAAAUUAUAAAUUAUAUAUUAUAAAUUUUAAAAUUAUUAAAUAUAAUUUUUAAAAAUAAUUACAUAAAAUUAUUUCAGGUAUGAUAAUAUUUUUUAUUUAAAACUAAAAUGAUCAAACGAUUAAGAUUUACGGUAGUUAAAAUUAAUAAUGUUACAUCAUACCAAAUUAGUCCUUUGACAAGGAGUAUGACUAAAAUCACAACUUCAUAUAAAAUUUUUUUAAAAAUAAUUAUAUAAAUUAAUUAAAUCAAAAUUUGGAUUUGGAUAAUAAUUUUUUUGUAUAUAUCAUAAGCAUAGCCCAUUGAAAAUGAAGGAAUGCUUUGAUUUGAAAUCAAAACUUUUAAUUCUUUCUAAGAGUUUCUUAAUCACUAUAUCAAAUUUUCAAAGAAAUAAUUUUUUUUUUUAUAUAAAGGAAUCAAUAAUAAUCAUAGAGGGUAGUAGUUUUUUUUUUUUUUAACAAAAUAAGCUAUAACUUAGAAAUAAAAGAAAAAAAGUAAACAAAUUAAAAUUAAAAUUUAUUAACAAAAUAAUCAUAAAGGGUGAUAUUCUUUUUAACAAAAGAAGUUAUAAUUAAAAAAUUUAAAUUUAUUAACGAAUGAAAUCAACAAUUUUAAACAUGGACCAUGAUGAUACGAUACAAAGAUACGAACAAAGAGCUUGAUACGGUAUAAAAUUUUACAAAAAAAAAAAAAUUAUUUUAUAUUUGACGUGUGAAAUUAAUUGUGAUGUAAUAAUUUUCGUAUUUUAUACGUGUCUGAUAUAAGAUAGAUAGACAAAGAUAUAUGAAUUGUCAUAAGGAAAGAGUAGUUUUGUGAAAGCUAUAAUUUGUUGCUAUUGUUGCAGUAAGCAAGAAGCAAAUGUCAUACUUGAGUAUCUGUCAAAUGGUAUCCAAAUUAAUAAAGGUGCUGAUGACAGAACAUGAACUAACAUGUAACUAAACUCUGCAGAUAUUUUUGUUUGGGUUAUGUCUUCCACUGUAUGUCGUGCACUUCAUUGAUAACCCCUUGAAUAUCUGUGAUUUUGUUGCUGCUGGAGUUUGUUUGUGUGGCAUUGUCAUAGCGUACUUUGCAGAUACACAACUGCAUAACUUUGUCACUA